UUUCAAUAAACUUGCUAAGGCCAGAGACAAUACAUAAACAUAUUAGACUGUUCAUGACACAUAUCACGGUGGACAGUGUCUGUGUCCUUAUUACAAGCAGCGAGAGGAAUUAAAUAUGCUUGUCACCACACACACGCGCCCACAGAUGCACGACACACAUAUAGUUGAGACCAACAGAUGGACCUCGACUAGAGGUCGCCCCAUAUGGUGAACAAUUUAUUGGAGAUAAACAUGAACAUAACUUGGCCAUAGCUUGAAGCAUAGCAACAUAUGCCUAUGAAUGGCAUUCAUGCUGGUAGCAAUGCAAUCAUAUCGUUUUAGGCUUGUCCAGCUUCUUCCAUCUUAGCAAGCACUGCCAUUUCUUCCAUCUUAGCAGCAACUGUCAAAUUGAGAUAUGGAAAUCCCAUUAGCGCAUGAGUUAAUUUUGCAGUGGAAAUAGAGUACAAGAUGUCUGCAUGAUGUAAGUAAUAUGCCUGAAGUUGUGAGAUGAGAAGUGAAGUCAACAAAUUACAUUAACGGAAAUGCAUGGAAGGCCACACAUACGUAUUAGUCCACGAUAUGCUACAAAGCUUGUAUGUACAUAUAACAAAUUAAAUGCAUUGAAUAGAGUGAGUUUACUAAAUUUACCAGAAUCGGACAGAACACAUGGGAAACAGCAAGUGUUCUUGCAGAGUGAGUCGGAGCCACCUGCAGUAAUACAAGCAAAACAACAUGCUUUUGCCCGGGCGGAUACGCAGCAGCUGCACUGUGCCGCGGUGGCCGGGUUAACAUUGAGGCUCAAGAUGACCAGGCACAUGAUCACCAUCAAAGCGGUAGUCCUCUUUCCCUCCAUUGCCUCCUCUUGCUGCUACCUUCCUUGGUUACCUAGCUAAGUUUAUUGGUUUUGUGUUGAGAGGUGAUUCUUGAAUGGACGUUGCCGGCUGCAAUUUAUAGGCAGCUGCGCUAUGUGAUGAUAUGGACAAGGUGCAAAUGGGUGGUCCAAUGGCAAGGAAAGGGGGUAUUCUGCUUGACAUUCGCAUCAGACAAAGCCCAAUGGCAACUGCUGACACGCGAUUAAAAUCAGAUCCACAUCUUAUCCAGCCAUUCACUAAUAAUUAAAGUAAACCCACGCGGUCCGCGAGAUGCAGCGUCCAUGCAUAGCACUUCCCGCCAAACAAUAGGAAAAAUUAGAAUUCAGAGAUAGCAGCUGCUUGCAUGAAACACGGUUGCACAGAAAUCAGUGGUGCUUGGACGGUAAGUAGUGUGGUGUACAAGCUUAAAGCGGCAGUGAGUCACGUUGGUGUAACAAGCAGUACAUCAGCUGGAAGAUUGAUAUGUCUAUUGCCCACGCAGCAUAGCAUUUUAUUAUGAUACAUUGAGUUAUGUCAUAUUGUUACUUUAAGUUAUUUUUUAAGUAUUAGUUGUAGACAAUUUAGUUGCAAAUUUAAGCGGUUAUUUUAAAUUAUUUUUUAUAAUGGCAUAAGUGGGUAAUUUAGAUGAAGAUUAGGGGGUUACUUUAGCUUAUUUUAUAUAAUAGCAGAGGUGGGUAAUUUAGAUAUAAAUUUAGGGUUACUUUAGGCUACUUUCUUAAUGGCAUAGGUGGGUAACUUUUUUAGAAAUUAUAAUAGAUCCAAUGGCUACGAUGUUUGAGUCUACUCGUUGAUGGCAAGAUGUUUUGCUUGUUUGUGGAAAUUUUAAAUAUGUCUCUUUUUUGUAGAGUGUCCACCUAGGAUCCUAGGUGGCUUCGCUUGGAGGCUUCAAAAGGAGCUCCAAAAUUAGUAAUAGUAUGAUUUUCUCAAAAGAGACUUAAUUCUACCACUAUAACUUGAUUGGCCGCCCCGGCCUCUACCUUUUGCCUCCAUUUGACUAUUUGAGUUGGCUGUGAACGAUUCUCGGCGCUAGCAACGUUACGUUUGAUCCAAAUGCCAGCACUCAUGUGCGCCACCUGUAUUCUAUGGGAAUGCCAUGAUGCAUGUGCAGUAACAGCGCGCACAUCUUGCAGGAUUCGCGCCUCGUUUUCACUAUUGUGUCAUCUUAGCAAUUAGGAGCGAAGUGUGCUUUGGGGUGGCAAUUAGGAUAUAGACAUUAUUCUCGAAGAGAAUCUUGAAGGCUUACAUUCACCCCCUCCGGUCGCCGGUUCCGAUCCUUCACCUAUAAAUUAGGAGUAGUAGUAGGUAGUAAGUGGCAGGUUAGGUAAGUACCCGUUGAUGAAUGUUGGCUUGGCGUGAUCGGCUCUGCUGGUUCCACGAAGAUGCCAAUAUACAGCAAGGACCUAAGUCCAAAGGGAAAAACAACCAACAAGUGGGUUUGUUGCCGACCGCUAGCUAAUCAACAGUGACGUACGGGUGGAUUCGUACGUAAAUAUUUUUUCAAUCAUGCCAUCAGGCCGCUGAUAAAAUGAGCUUAUGGUUGGCUAACCUUUAAAAUAUUCUUAGAGCUGUUGGCCAUUGUGAUAACUUUGCACGUGCAUCAUGAAGAUGCCAACAUACAAUAAGGACAUAAGACCAAAGGAAAGAACAACCAACAAGUGCCUCUGCUGAUCGGUCAGGUCUCAGAGUUUGAGAAACUGGAUCUGACGGAUGUGAAAUUAAUCCAUGCGUGGCGUCAUGCAAAUUUGUUCACAGGUUUGAACAGCAUGUAAUCUUUUUCAGGCAUCUAUAUGGAGCGUGGGUGUGUUAUGUUAUCUUCUACUACACAUAUAACAUCAAAUUCAUUCAGUUUGGCCGAGAGCCCAAAAUGCAACGAAUAUGCCAUCCAACGUGAAAAAAAAAGAUGAGGAACAGUAUACUCUAUCUUCGAAAUUAGUCAACGAGAUGCAGCUUCAAAAGAGAUAAGAGCAGACAAGAGGCACCAUGGGAUGCUGCAAAAUUUGGGAUCACGUGUGAGGAUCCCUAAUUAGGAAAAAAGAAUAAUUGAGCUAGCAACAAUAGUAGGACAUCUCCAUGCUCACCUUGUAUAGUAGCCACUGCUAGUGCGCGUGGAACACGACUGCCGGCCCAGUUGGCGCUAAGACAUCGUACGUGCAUUAAGUCUGAGGUGCUAGGACAGCUUCCUCUUGCUUCCCCACCAUAUCAUGAGCAACGAUCUCUUUCUUUCUAACUCAUGCUUGACUGUGACGGUGCUAUUAUAUAUUAUUGCAUGAUCAUCAAGAUAAGAUCGUAUAGUGACUGAGUGAGACAUCUAUGUACUAACUUGCAUUUAAGCCUCGAACUGUGUGUCAUUACGUGAGCUGCCUCCUGUCCUCGCCUCUGAAUUAUUGAACCGUUCCCAACAGCUAGUGUUGGUCUCAAAGGAAUUUGACACCAAACAGAUUGAUAAAGAAAAGAGAAUAAUACUUGGAAUUGGAAAAAGUUGAUCUCUCUAUACAAUGAGGUAGGGCUCCCCUUUUAUAGUGACCCAUCAGCCACUUUACAUUCCGAAAAUAUCCUUCCUCAACCACUACAUUCUUAGGAUAUGCCAUACAUAAAUGUCAUUUGAGGUGACGUGUACAAAUUGAACUCUUCCACGUGGUCACGUUUCUCACGCCUCUUGUUUUCCAACCUCGAGACUUCAUCUCAGAGGUGUCCCCAUAGAACGUGCGAGGUUAAUGAGUUCAGUUUCUUUUACUGCCGACGCAUAACAUGCGAGGAUGAACGAAUAUGAGGAACACUAAAUGCCAUCCAACGGGAAAAGAAAAGAUGAGGAACAGUAUACUCUAUCUUCGAAAUUAGUUAUAAAGAUUCAGCUUCAAAAGAGAUAACGAGGCGUCCAAGACUCGAGUAGCCAGUCAAGAGCAGACAAGAGGCACAUGAGUGCAUGCAUCCACACCUUGGGAUGCUGCAAACUUUUAUGAGGCUGCAAGCUGCAUACAUAAGUUUAUUUCACCUUUGUUCACAAUACUCUUCACACACCAUUCACACACGUCUCAGGGAGCUCUGCAGCAAUGGUGGAGAUCUUAGCUAGACUGCUCACUUCCCUUGUUGUCGCUAUUGCCAAAAACACAAGCUCACCUCUGCUAUUGCGAAGCAGGCCAAUUUGCUGUGGAACUUUGGCGACGACCUGAAGGACAUGAACUCGGUGCUGGAGUCCAUCUCAGCAGCGCUCCAGGACGCUGACACUGCUAGAAAAACGACCUUUCAUCCUCAACAAAAGUCCCGGUAGCUUUUUUACCCGGAACUAAAGAGGUUUUAGUCCUGCGCAAACACCUUUAGUCCGGGUUGCUGUUACCAACCAAGAGUAAAGGGUACGAUGGCACCAACCGGGACUAAAGCACCCCCCACGAGUUACUAUAAAGGAUUGCAUCCUCCACUUAGUCAGAUUUACUGUGUAGGUGAGAUGGUAAGGAAGCUAUGCGUGAGGCUUGAGAUCAUUGGUUCGAAUCCCACGCACCGCGCGCGCACGCGCAUAGUUUGAGUGAAAAAUCAUGUCACUUGUGAUCGGCCAAGGAGAAGUGGGUGCAGAUGUGGCUUAAGCGGCUGAGGCACGCCGCCAUAGACAUCUCGGAUUUGCUCGAAGACUACAAAGACACUAGCGAACCCUUAACAGCAAAGGUGAGUACUUAUGCAUGUCAACAUCUAUGUUGUCCAUGCUUCCAAUGCAAUAAGAAGGACUACUCUUCCUAGCGGACUCUUCACAACCACUUGUAAAGCUAUGUGUUUCUCAAUGCAAUUUCGUAGAAGGCAAUGGAUCCAACCAACCGACUAAAUCAUUCGUCCUUGCCAAUGAUGUGCUUCAGGUUUUCUAUAUGAAGGACAUGUGACUACUAGAAAAACGAUCUUUCAUCCCUAGCCUUAGUACCGGUUGCAUUUGGAACCGGUACUAAUGUAAACUGUCCGGAGCGCACCUCGAUGACCCCUUUAGUACCGGUUGGGGGCAACAACCGGUACUAAAGGGUGAGCAUUAGUACCGGUUGUUACCUUAAUCCGGUACUAAAGGGCUACCCACCCUCUAUUACCGGUUGGUGGCAUCAACCGGUACUAAAAGGGAUACCCUCUAGCACCGGUUGCUGCCACAACCCGGUACUAGUGCGGCGCCAUGCGGAAUAGAAGGUAGAUCGAUUGUACAUGGAGGGGGAACAAAGGGAGAAAGGCAAAUCAUCAGCUUAUUAUCACAUGGUAGACUAGUCUUUAAAACAUGUUUAGGGAAGAGCACAUUACGUUUAUCUUGUUUUGCACAACAACAAAUGUGACCUUUAGAAGAUAGCCCUCCUCUAAUUAAACUAGUGCACUAUUACAGGAUGGUAUCGCACGCUUCCUUUUUCCCUAUGAAAAUGAAGUUUUUAAUGAUCUGAUAGCAGCUAGCAAAACAAAUGAUUGCAAAGAUGUUUGCAGAUGAUAAUGAUACUUAUGACCACUCUGAUGAUGAAGAGAUAGAGGAACAUUUGGUCCGUCAACGUAUUUCAAAUUAACACGUCAAAUCGCACUCAAGACCUCUCACCAACUCCUCCACCAGUUUCCAAAGGCAAAUCAACUUAUUAUCGCAUGCAUGGUAGUGUCUUUGAAACAUGUUUAGGGCACAACACAUUACGUUUAUCAUCUUUUGCACAACAUUAAAUGGACCUUUGGAAGAUAGCCCUCCUCUAAACUUGUGAUGCAUUGUAAUGAUAUGUCAUGUAUAUAUGUCUCACUUGUAUCAUAGCUGUUAAAGUACCACGUCAAAUUGCACUUGCGGUGAGAUCUCUCUGACCAAGUCCUCCACCACUUUCCAAGGCAAAUCAGACAAACUCCUUGUUAUAUUCCACAUAUUGGUUUCAUCCUUAUAUAGAUGUCCAUUUAUACUCCUUUGUUUGUCUACUCAACUUAUCACAUUGUCGUAGUGUCUUUGAAACAUGUUUAGGGAAAGUCCAUAGUGGAGGGUAGUAAAUGUCAAAGGGAGUUUGUAAGGAUAAGACAACACAAAUUUUGUAAGGGUAUUCUAAAGCAUUUGAUUCUAAACUAUCCGCGAGACCUCUCACCAACUCCUCCACCACAUUCCAAGAUAAUAUACCAUCAAAUUCCUUGUAGGAGUUUGGAUGUUGGACCAACGGGAAGUUGACGAAAGAGUGGGACAAAAAUGUGACUCGAUCAUGUCAUUGUGGGCAAAGGUCCUGGUAGCUCAUGGAACAGAUCAUUUGAAGUACACAGGAUAGGGAGGCAAUAGUCGGCACAAGGAGAGGCAUGACCAGAAGCUUGAAAGAAGUAAACUUCAAAGCUAGGAGGAAUGAUAUUCUUGCUGGUUCAAUGUGUCUUCUUAUAGAUCAGUUCAUAGAUCUUAUGUAUUUGGCUGUGAUGAAAGCUAUGGAGCCCUCCCAGCCCCUUCGAGUUGAUGCUAAGCCCAAUCUAAACUGCACAUGGAAUGUGAAAACUCUUUCUGCAAUGAGCCAAGCUAUCAAUCCAUCCCUGUGAGGCAACAUCUCGAUUCUGUGGCUACUGACUGAGGUAUUUGGCAUAGAGUAGACCAAUGGUGCAUUGUGAAUAAGCUUAUUAGAAUGUGAAUAAGUCAUAAUUCUUGCUCGUCCUCCAUUUGUUCGCUCUCUGUUCUUUUGUUUACAAGGGACUCGGUUGAUCCGCGGGACCUCUCACCAACUCCUUCACCACUUUCCAAGGCAAAUCAGCUUAUCACAUGUGGUAGUAUCUUUGAAACAUGUUUAGGGCACAAGAGGAAGGCAUAGUGCUGGAAAAACGGUUAAUGGGGUGGCGGACGGCGGGAUGCUUUGCAUUCUCGUACGAAGGAAGCUCCAUCAACUAGAUUGGCGGUCAAGUUGCAUGAAGCAGAUGCCACAGUCGACGGAGAGAGCAUCUGGGUCUAACCAUAAUAACACAAGUCUUUCCUUUAGAUAACAUGCCAUCAGAUUCCUUGCAAGAGUUUGUAUGUUCGACCAACAGGAAGUUGACGAAAGAGUGGGACAAAAAUGUGACUCGAUCAUGUCAUUGUGGGCAAAGGUCCUAGUAGCUCAUGGAAUAGAUGAUAUCAUUUGAAGUACAUAGGACAGAGAGGCCAUAGUCGGCACAAGGAGAAGCAUGACCAGAAACUUGAAAGAGGUAAGCUUCAAAGCUAGGAGGAAUGUUAUUCUUGCUAGUUCAACGGUGUCUUCUUAUAGAUCAGUUCAUAGAUCUUAUAUAUUUGGCCGUGAUGACAGCUAUGGAUCCCUCCCAGCCCCUUUGAGCCGAUGCCAAGCCCAAUCUGAACUGCACAUGGAACGUGAAAACUCUUUCUGCAAUGAGCCAAGCUAUCAAUAUCCAUCCCUGUGAGCAAACAUCUUGAUUCUGUGGCUACUAACUGAGGUAUUUGUCGUAGUGUCUUUGAAACAAGUCAAACACCUUACCAGGGAUCAAGCUCCACGAGAACGAGAGCUACUUUCAGUUCCAGGAUAUUAAUCAACAAGUCAAACACCUUCCCAGGGGAUCAAGCUCCAUGAGAACGAGAGCUACUUUCAGUUCCAAGAUAUUAAUCAACAAGUCAAACACCUAACCAGGGGAUCAAGCUCCACGAGAACGAGAGCUACUUUCAGUUCUAGGAUAUAGGCAUAGCUGUGAGGGGGGCCACAACGCCCCUUUAUAUAAGGGCUACUGGUUUUGCCCUUGCCUUGUGAAGUUGUGCCACAUAACUCCCAAAAUCCCUCAAGAAAGAUAACACCACAAACAGGAAGCCAAGUAGCUAUGGAACCUGUGACAGAUAUAGCUUCCUCAUUAUGUGACUCAUGUCAUUGUGGGUGCGGGGUGACCUUGAUCUACAACUUUGUAGUUGAAAUAUUUUUCAUUUGGUGUCAUCUUGGUGCUCAAAUAAUCGACACGAACUAAAACUUGGCACCACACAUUCAAAAAAUAAUAAAUAUUUAAUAUGAACUCAGAUAUAGAUAAACUUUAUAUCAAAAUUGUUGAUAUAAGUUCAAAUUGUUUUCAUUUGGAGCCAUCUUGGUGCUCAAAUAAUCGAAACAUUUUCUAGAUCUAAAAUUUAAUUUUAGAUCUGAAACUUGUGUCGAUUAUUUGAGCACCAAGAUAAUACCAAAUGAAAAAUGUUUGAACUACAAAGUUGUAGAUCUCGUCGAGAUGUACAAUUUUCAUAUAAAGUUUAUCUCCAUCCGAGUUCAUAUGAAUUAGUUCAACCGGCGGUAAGGCUGCUACAGUGUAGCUUCCGCCGUUUCAAACGGCGGUAUAGGUUUAGAUUAGCAAUUUUUUUUAACCCAUAUAUUUUUGCAAAAUACUAAAAUAAAAAUAUAAAAAUAAAAAAAAUCUAGUUUUAAUCAACAAUGACUAAAUGUUAGCCCGGUUAUGCCCCAUCUUAGGUCUAAUCAUGGACCAAUAAAACAUGUGCUAGACUUCACGGCCACCGGAUGCGUGUUCGACCAUGUAAUCGUAUGCUAUACCUCACAGGAGGUUGAAAAUGGCCCGAAGGGGUACAGUGGAUGAAAACGUUGGGGACGCUCGGAACACAAGAAAAUGACCACCAGAUACGUGUUUGGCCAUUGUAACUAUGCGCUAUAGUUGAUAGAUUGAAAGCGGCUCGAAGAGGCAUCAGGGAUGGAAACAUGGGGAAUGGUCGGAACACUUGAAAAUGGCACUGGAUAAGUGUGCUUAUUCCUUGCAAAACGCUGAAAAUGGCUCGGAAGGGUCAUCGAGGAUGGAAACUAGGUGGUCAAUAAGUGAAAAUGGGCAGCGGACAUGUUCGGUCAUGUAACCGUGUGCUAUAGUCCACUAGAGGUCGGAAAGCUGCCCUAGGGGCUCUAGAGACGAAAACGUGAGGAACAGCUAAAAGGUUACGUGUUUGGUCAUGACAGCCCUAUUAGGAAGCGAUAGAAGUGGAAAGAUAGCUGGUUUCAGAUUGGCAACCCAUCUUUUGCUUCCCCUUACUUCCAUCCGUAAUCCAUGGGCAUCGAAUUUAAAAGUAUACAAAUCACUUUUAGAUGUAAUUGAGGGUAAAGAGGGGAGGUUUCGUGAGACUCUACAAUGUUCAAAUUGUUCGUUCGUUAGGAGGCCUCAGCUACAUACAUCAUUGCACUUCCGGUUGACACCAAUUUAAAUGGUUCGUCUAGCCGCUACAAGGUAUCAUCAGAUAUAGAAGAAUUAGAGACUGGGGGUAAUAGCAAAAAUGGAAUAUAACUCGUUCGAGAAAGUGGGUGCAGGGCAGUGGGGUAAGGUAAUUGAAGUAACUAGCUAGUUUCUUCCCGAAACUUCCCAAGAAAAAUCCCGAAUUGGAUCCAAAAUUGACGGAUUAAUCAACCAAAAUAACCGUGAGCAGCCACAAUGUUAUAAGUCCCUUCUUCUUGACCUAAUUUGUAACCCUUAUUAGCAGACUCAUUUUCACUGGUUUCCCUGAUCAAACUAGAGGUUACCAAGGAACCGUGUGCUCUAGCCCACAGGUGGCCGAAAACGGCCAAGAAGGGCUUCGGGGAUGGAAACAACGUGGAUGGUCAGAACACGUGAGAAUGACCACGGGAUGCAUGUUUGGCCCUAUAACAGUGUGCUAUAGGAAGCCGGAAAUGGCCAGGAGAGUCACCAGGGAUGAAGAUAAAGGGAUGGAUGGAACACGCGAAAAUGGCCACCAGUGAUUAGUGGCAGGUCUAGAGAGAUAUCUCAUCAAAUCGGUGAGUUAUAUCCGAUUUAAACGAGGAUAAAAAUGAGUGUAUUUUCCACCCAUCAUGUUGACUUUUCGCAGCUAUACUGCCUUUAGUGUGUUGUAUUGUUCCCAUGACACCAAAUCUCCAAGGCCCGAGAAAAUAAGGAAAGUGAUAGCAGCCCAGAAAUCGACCAAGUUUCUUUCCCACUUUGGCAUUCCUACUAGGAUUCGGAAUACUCUUUCGCAUGACAAUCAUAAUUAUCUCCCAUAAUCCAAAACUCACAAAAACAUCAAAAAUCCGCCGAGAAUAAAUUAAGUAAAAAACAUGCACACACAGAUAAUAAUAAUAAUAAUAAUAAUAAUAAUAAUAAUAAUAAUAAUAAUAAUAAUAAUAAUAAUCGUGUUUCUAUAAAAUUGCUAAGGCCAGAGACAAUACAUAAAAAUAUUAGACUGCUCAUGACACAUAUCACGGUGGACAGUGUCUGUGUCCUUAUUACAAGCAGCGAGAGGAAUUAAACAUGCUUGUCACCACACACACGCGCGCACAGAUGCACGACACACAUAUAGUUGAGACCAACAGAUGGACCUCGACUAGAGGUCGCCCCAUAUGGUGAACAAUUUAUUGGAGAUAAACAUGAACAUAACUUGGCCAUAGCUUGAAGCAUAGCAACAUAUGCCUAUGAAUGGCAUUCAUGCUGGUAGCAAUGCAAUCAUAUCGUUUUAGGCUUGUCCAGGUUCUUCCAUCUUAGCAAGCACUGCCAUUUCUUCCAUCUUAGCAGCAACUGUCAAAUUGAGAUAUGGAAAUCCCAUUAGCGCAUGAGUUAAUUUUGCAGUGGAAAUAGAGUACAAGAUGUCUGCAUGAUGUAAGUAAUAUGCCUGAAGUUGUGAGAUGGGAAGUGAAGUCAACAAAUUACAUUAACGGAAAUGCAUGGAAGGCCACACAUACGUAUUAGUCCACGAUAUGCUACAAAGCUUGUAUGUACAUAUAACAAAUUAAAUGCAUUGAAUAGAGUGAGUUUAUUGAAUUUACCAGAAUCGGACAGAACACAUGGGAAACAGCAAGUGUUCUUGCAGAGUGAGUCGGAGCCACCUGCAGUAAUACAAGCAAAACAACAUGCUUUUGCCCGGGCGGAUACGCAGCAGCUGCACUGUGCCGCGGUGGCCGGGUUAACAUUGAGGCUCAAGAUGACCAGGCACAUGAUCACCAUCAAAGCGGUAGUCCUCUUUCCCUCCAUUGCCUCCUCUUGCUGCUACCUUCCUUGGUUACCUAGCUAAGUUUAUUGGUUUUGUGUUGAGAGGUGAUUCUUGAAUGGACGUUGCCGGCUGCAAUUUAUAGGCAGCUGCGCUAUGUGAUGAUAUGGACAAGGUGCAAAUGGGUGGUCCAAUGGCAAGGAAAGGGGGUAUUCUGCUUGACAUUCGCAUCAGACAAAGCCCAAUGGCAACUGCUGACACGCGAUUAAAAUCAGAUCCACAUCUUAUCCAGCCAUUCACUAAUAAUUAAAGUAAACCCACGCGGUCCGCGAGAUGCAGCGUCCAUGCAUAGCACUUCCCGCCAAACAAUAGGAAAAAUUAGAAUUCAGAGAUAGCAGCUGCUUGCAUGAAACACGGUUGCACAGAAAUCAGUGGUGCUUGGACGGUAAGUAGUGUGGUGUACAAGCUUAAAGCGGCAGUGAGUCACGUUGGUGUAACAAGCAGUACAUCAGCUGGAAGAUUGAUAUGUCUAUUGCCCUGUGCAUAGCAUUUUAUUAUGAUACACUAAGUUAUGUCAUAUUGUUACUUUAAGUUAUUUUUUAAGUAUUAGUUGUAGACAAUUUAGUUGCAAAUUUAAGCGGUUAUUUUAAAUUAUUUUUUAUAAUGGCAUAAGUGGGUAAUUUAGAUGAAGAUUAGGGGGUUACUUUAGCUUAUUUUAUAUAAUAGCAGAGGUGGGUAAUUUAGAUAUAAAUUUAGACACGUUUAAAAAAAUGUAUCUACAGUUUCUGACACGGUCCGUGUGGAGACGCUCCAGACAUGCUUUACUCAAGCGCAUCUAUACUUCAGUAGAGAUGAAAUAAAGCGUAUCUAACAUAGGAAUAAAGCGUAUCUAGAGGAGGUUUUUCUUGUAGCGAGGGAUGAACCAUUAUUGGACGAACUAGCACACUUGCUUCUACCCGCUCCCCCACACCCCACAACCGCCCCCAGUGUGAGCGUCCAUGUCUCGAUCGUUGCUCGCGUUAAGCGGUGCCGCCGCACUGCACCACAACGACAGAAGCCACACCACCGGCUGCAUGUGACAGCGGGGAGCACCCUCACCACCUGCCCGCGGGGAGCGCUUACGCCAGCCAUAGUGUCCCCAUAGAACCGCCGCGCGAGCCUGUGAGCCACCGACUGCCGUGCCCCCAAGGGCCAUCACCGCGCCACCCGAGGAUGCUGUCUACCCGGUGCCACGCGCCUCUGCUAGCUGCCUGCACCUGGGCCGCCACCGGUCGCCUGCACAGCCACGUGUUGCAGCCGCCCCCUGCGCUGAGCCACCCCAUUUCACGUUGGAAGAACCACCUGAGUCUCGCACGCCGAGGUCUUGCUGGUGACGACCAUGGCCUCCGCGAUCAUAUGAAAAAGUUGUCAACUACAAAGUAUUAGGCCUCGUCGAUCUCUACAAUUUUGAUCGAAAGUUUCUAUUCAUCCGAGAUCAAAUGAAAAAGUUGGUACUCAAAAUAUACAUCCAUUAAUCUAGUCGUGCUAAUCCUUACCACAAAUUAAAAAACUAGCAUGUGUCUGUGUGUUUGUGACCCUAAACAAUCACAAACGAAUAACUUAUCAACUUCAAAAUUUAGCUGAUCAGGAGUCUAGGCAACCUCAAGGGUAUAAAUAUGUGCACCCUGAGGCUUGCAAGAUUUUAUCUCUCGAUUAAUCAAUGCAAUUUUUGGGCACCACGCAGCCAAACCCUUAGGAGUAGAAGUAACGUAGCUUUUUGUUGAGUAUCUUCUUGCGCGCAGGGCUGCAUCAGCUUCGAUAUCCGACGAACUUGUAAGUACCGUCAUCCGGUCAUUACGUUAUCUAUAUUAAAAGUUUCUAGACAUCAUCCAAUAUUCUAAUCUUUUAUCGUGUGGCUAUUAUCGAGUUAUCUUAUAUUGUAAAUAAAACUUGCUAGGGUUUGUCCAAUAUUCCAUUUGUUUUUGGCGUAACUGCUUAAUUAGAUCUGCUUAGGUUGUUCUCAUUGGCUUCUAGUCUUGUUUAAACGUUCACAAGUUAUUUGAUCGUAUCGGCAAGUUCGACCUUGCAUGCUUUUAUCGCUUUAUCUAUACUAGGUCCGAUAGAUCUUUACCCCUUCCCCUUGUAUUGCUAGCAGUUGGAUCCAUAACGUUAGAACGAUACUGUUGAGAGCUGAUGCAUUGAUUUAGUAUCAUCCAUAUCUCAUAGAAUGUAUCAUGGUUAAUGGCAAUUUAAUGAAAUUAUAAAGGAUAAUAACAAUCGUGCUUUCGGCGUUCCAAAAAUCAAUCAAGAAUUCAUCAUGGUUGUGCAGUGUAUGGAAACCUUAUGGUAAUAGUUAGAUGGGAAAUGUUGUAUUAUGUAAUAAAUCCAGGUACUUCACAAAUCAUGAUCGAUGGAUGUCUAACACUGUUGAAAGAGAUUGGAAUAAAGCAGACUCACCUCAGACUAUGCACCAUGUCUGAGUGACCCACCUCACCUUGCCAGGUCACUGGUCUUGCCAGCACACAAGCUAUGAUGUUGCCAGGAGUGGUCAGUACACAAAUCUAGCUACCAGUCGGAUCGAAGGGCAGGCAUUUGCAUUGUGGUUGUGCUUGAACAUGGAGAUGUCUUGCGAUUGUCACGCACCAUACAUCCUCUCUCAGUUUCACUCCGCCUCACACACGGAUAGGACACCAGGGACCCGACACCAUGCAUGCCGAUUUCAUAUUAUUAAUAUUUAUUUUUUGAAUGGUUGUUGAAACUAUAUAUAUAGUUAGUCCAAUCUCACGUUUCCGAUUAUAAAAAUUAACAUAAAGAGAUCGGAAGGGAGAGCACUAGAGCCGGCAUUUAUACAAACUGGUAUGAAUAGUAAAAUCUAGAAUUUAUAAAUAAAAAAUUGAUUUGCACAUCUAUGCAAUAAUUAGUGGUUAGUGGUAGGUCUAGAGAGAUAUCUCAUCAAAUCGAUGAGUUAUAUCCGGUUUAAACGAGGAUAAAAAUGAGUGUAGUCUUUUCGCAGCUGUACCGCCUUUCCUUUCAUGUGUUCUAUUGUUCCCCUAACACCAAGUCUCCAAGACUCAAGAAAAUAAGGAAAGUGAUAGCAGCCUAGAAAUCGACCAAGUUUCUUUCCCCCUUUGGCUUUUCUACUAGGAUUCGAAAUCCUCUUUCGCAUGACAAUCUUAAUUAUCUCCCAUAGUUCAAAACUCACAAAACUAUCAAAAAUCCACCGAGAAUAAAUUAUGUAAAAACAUGCACACACAGAUAAUAAUAAUAAUAAUCAUGUUUCAAUAAAAUUGCUAAGGCCAGAGACAAUACAUAAACAUAUUAGACUAUUCAUGACACAUAUCACGGUGGACAGUGUCUGUAUCCUUAUUACAAGCAGCGAGAGAUGCUUGUCACCACACACACGCGUGCACAGAUGCACGACAUACAUAUAGUUGAGACCAACAAAUGGUUGCCCCAUAUGGUGAACAAUUUAUUGGAGAUAAACAUUAACAUAACUUGGCCAUAGCUUGAAGCAUAGCAACAUAUGCCUAUGAAUGGCAUUCAUACUGGUAGCAAUGCAAUCAUAUCGUUUUAGGCUUGUCCAGCUUCUUCCAUCUUAGCAAGCGCUCCCAUUUCUUCCAUCUUAGCAACAACUGUCAAAUUGAGAUAUGAAAAUCCCAUUAGCACAUGAGUUAAUUUUGCACUGGAAAUAGAGUACAAGAUGUCUUCAUGAUGUAAGUAACAUGCCUGAAGUUGUGAGAUGGGAAGUGAAGUCAACAAAUUACAUUAAUGGAAAUGCAUGGAAGGCCACGCAUGCAUACGUAUUAGUCCACGAUAUGCUACAAAGCCUUGUAUGUACAUAUAACAAAUUAAAUGCAUUGAAUAGAGUGAGUUUACUGAAUUUACCAGAAUCGGACAGAACACAUGGGAAACAGCAAGUGUUCUUGCAGAGUGAGUCGGAGCCACCUGCAGUAAUACAAGCAAAACAACAUGCUUUUGCCCGGGCGGAUACGCAGCAGCUGCACUGUGCCGCGGUGGCCGGGUUAACAUCGAGGCUCAAGAUGACCAGGCACAUGAUCACCAUCAAAGCGGUAGUCCUCUUUCCCUCCAUUGCCUCCUCUUGCUGCUACCUUCCUUGGUUACCUAGCUAAGUUUAUUGGUUUUGUGUUGAGAGGUGAUUCUUGAAUGGAUGUUGCCGGCUGCAAUUUAUAGGCAGCUGCGCUAUGUGAUGAUAUGGACAAGGUGCAAAUGGGUGGUCCAAUGGCAAGGAAAGGGGGUAUUCUGCUUGACAUUGGCAUCAGACAAAGCCCAAUGGCAACUGCUGACACGCGAUUAAAAUCAGAUCCACAUCUUAUCCAGCCAUUCACUAAUAAUUAAACUAAACCCACGCGGUCCGCGAGAUGCAGCGUCCAUGCAUACACUUCCCGCCAAACAAUAGGAAAAAUUAGAAUUCAGAGAUAGUAGUGUGCCAGCAGCUGCUUGCAUGAAACACGGCAAUCAGUGGUGCUUGGACGGCAAGUAGUGUGGUGUACAAGCUUAAAGCGGCAGUGAGUCACGUUGGUGUAACAAGCAGUACAUCAGCUGGAAGAUUGAUAUGUCUAUUGCCCACGCAGCAUAGCAUUUUAUUAUGAUACAUUGAGUUAUGUCAUAUUGUUACUUUAAGUUAUUUUUUAAGUAUUAGUUGUAGACAAUUUAGUUGCAAAUUUAAGCGGUUAUUUUAAAUUAUUUUUUAUAAUGGAAUAAGUGGGUAAUUUAGAUGAAGAUUAGGGGGUUACUUGUAGCACUACAUGAAGGCGCUGAGGUGGGNNNNNNNNNNNNNNNNNNNNNNNNNNNNNNNNNNNNNNNNNNNNNNNNNNNNNNNNNNNNNNNNNNNNNNNNNNNNNNNNNNNNNNNNNNNNNNNNNNNNUCUUAUGGAUAGGUGGGUAAUUUUUUUAGAAAAUAUAAUAGAUCCAAUGGCUACGAUGAUUUGAGUCUAAUGAUUGAUGGCAAGAUGUUUUUCUUGUUUGUGGGAAUUUUAAAUAUUUCUCUUUUUUUUAGAGUGUCCACCUAGAAUGCUAGGUGGUUUCACUUGGAGACUUCAAAAGGAGCUUCCAAAUUAGUAAUAGUAAGAUUUUCUCAAAAGAGACUUGAUUCUACCACUAUAACUUGAUUGGCCGCCCCGGCCUCUACCUUUGCCUCCAUUUGACUAUUUGAGUUGGCUGUCAACGAUUCACGGUGCUGGCAACAUUACGUUUGAUCCAAAUGCCACUACUCAUGUGCGCCAGCUGUAUUCUACCAAGUGGCAUGUGGGAAUGCCAUGAUGCAUGUGCAGUAACAGCGUGCACAUCUUGUAGGAUUCGCACCUCGUUUUCACUAUUGUAUCAUCUUAGCGAUUAGGAGCGAAAUGUGCUUGGGGGUUGCAAUUGGGAUAUAGACCUUAUUCUCGAAGAGAAUCUUAAAAGCUUACAUUCGCCCCCUCGGUCGCCUGUGUUCCGAUCCUUCACCUAUAAAUUAGGAGUAGCAGGUAGUAAGUGGCAGGUUAGAUAAGUACUCGUUGAUGAAUGUUGACUUGGCGUGAUUGGCUCUGCUAUUUUCACGAAGAUGCCAAUAUUGAAAGCACAUCCACCAUUUCUGCGGAUGUGAGGGAUGAACUAAUUAAUUGUUUCUUGUCCAUUAUUGCACCGUACCUCCCAUUUUCCCGUUUUCCAAACAAUUAAAGGUACCCUUACGUUACGCUUGAUCCAAAUGCCACCACUCAUGUGCGCAAGUGGCAUGUGGUAAUGCCAUGAUGCAAGUGCAGUAACAGCGUGUACAUCUUGCAUGAUUCGCGCCUCGUUUUCACUAUUGUAAUCUAUAAAGAAACAAACAAAAAACAAAAUGAUGGAUGGAUCAGCUCGGGAUCCAAUAAUCGAGAGGAAUUCAAGGAAAAAGAAAAAUUUGGGAUCACGUGUGCGGAUCCUAAUAACAAUAUAUAGUAGGACAUCUCCAUGCUCACCUAGUAGCCACUACUAGUGCGCCGGCCCAGUUGGCGCUAAGACAUCGUACGUGCAUUAAGGGGGUGUUUGAUACUGGAUGCUAAACUUUAGCAGUGUCACAUCGGAUGUUCGGAUGCUAAUUAGGAGGACUAAACAUGAGCUAAUUAUAAAACUAAUUGCAGAACCCCUGUGCUACUUCGCGAGAUGAAUCUAUUAAGGCUAAUUCAUCCAUCAUUAUCAAAUGGUUACUGUAGCACCACAUUAUCAAAUUAUGGACUAAUUAGGCUUAAUAGAUUCAUCUCGCGAAUUAAACUCCAUUUGUGCAAUUAGUUUUGUAAUUAGUCUAUGUUUAAUACUUCUAAUUAGCAUCCAAACAUCCGAUGUGACAGGUGCUAAACUUUAACAGUGGGGAUCCAAACGGGGCCUAAGUCUGUGGUGCCCAACGAUCUCUUUCUUCUAACUCAUGCUUGACUGUGACGGUGCUAUUAUAUAUUAUUGCAUGAUCAUCAGGAUAAGAUCGUAUAGUGACUGAGUGAGACAUGUAUGUACUAACUUGCAUUUAUCCAAGAAGAGGCACAUGAGUAGUGGUGCAUGCAUCCACACCUUGGGAUGCUGCAAACUUUUAUGGGUCCAUAUGUAUAGCCAAGUAAACUAUUUUAUCCUGCUGCAAGCUGCAGACAUAAGUUUAUUUAACCUUUGUUCACAAUCACUUCCACUGUCGUCGCAAUUGCCAAAGACAAGCUCACCAAUGCUAUUGCGGAGCAGGCCAAUUUCCUGUGGAACUUCGGCGACGACCUGAAGGACAUGAACUCGGUGCUGGAGUCCAUCUCAGCAGCGCUCCAGGACGCUGACACCGGUAGAAAAACGACAUUCCAUCCUCAACAAAAAUCAUGGCAUCCUCUACUCAGUCAGAUGUACUGUGUAGGUGAGAUGGUAAGGAAGCUAUGCGCGAGGCUUAAGGUCGUGAGUUCGAAUCCCAUGCACCACGCACGCACGCGCAUAUUUCACGUGACUUGUGAUCCGCCAAGGAGAAAUGGGUGCAGCUGUUGCUUAAGUGCCUGAGGCACACUGCCAUAGACAUCUCGGAUUUGCUCGAAGAGUACCAAGAAACUAGGAACCCUUAACAGCAAAGGUGAGUACUUAUGUAUGUCAGCAUCUAUGUUGUCCAUGCUUCCAAUGCAAUAACACGAAGGACUACUCUUUCUAGCGGACUCUUCACAAUCACUCGUAAAGGUAUGCGUUUCUCAAUGCAAUUUCAUAGAAGGCAAUCGAUCCAACCAAGCGACUAAAUCAUUCGUCCUUGCCAAUGAUGUGCAUCAGGUUUUCUAUAUGAAGGGCAUGUCUAGCAAACCCAAGAUUUCAGAACAAAAGAAAAAUCAUGUGAGCCAAAGCGCCACAUUGUUCUUCCAAGUAAAAAACAUCAUGGGAGUCGAGAACAAAUCAGACCAAUCAAGGGAUUAUGGUCAGCUUGAUGGCAUGCCUCCAUUCGAUGUCGAAGUUGACCCAAGCAUCAUGUUAGCCAAAGAUCAAAUGUUCGUGCGUUGCUAUGGUAAAUAUCAAUUGUGUUUUUUAAACUCAUGGAUUUUUUUAUCUAAGUUUUUAUUACACUUAUUGGAUGUCUACACAUUUGCUAGAAAACCAAAAUAAUUUUGACUUAAUUAUUUCUUUCAACUCAAAUACUCAUUAAAUUUCUACGUUUUUAUUUAAGCAAGAGAGUUGCUACAAAAAAAUGGAUACGUAACCAUAUUGUAUCAUACAAAGCAACCACAUUUCACAUAUAGUCCGGCUUUGCAAACACCAUUGUUAUCUGAACAUAGCAUACAUGAGUUAGUAGACAUGGAUAUAUUUCUAAUUGCAAGUAGCAUACAACCAGCCUGCACCGACGCAGCUCAAUAUGCGAUAAUUUUUAUCUUCCCAUGUAAUUUUUCUACUCUAGUACAUAUUGAACUCCACAUAAAUGUGAUCUUUCACGCCACAGACGGUUCCUAAAGUUUGGAAACUAAAUAGAUAGCCAGAAAUUUUUUAGAAAGUAUUUAUAUGGAUACAUGUAUGUUCUUCGCAAACUAACAGUAUUGUUUACCAAUAUCAAAAGGAAUAUGGCUAGGAUCAUUGCCGCAUAUGGCAGGUGAUGGUAAAGUUAUCAACUGCAAAGUAUUAGGCCUCGUUGAGCUCUACAAUUUUGAUAUAAAGUUUCUAUUCAUCCGAGAUCAAAUGAAAAAGUUGGUACUCAAAACAUUCAUCCAUUAAUCUAGUCGUGCUAAUACUUAGCACUAAAUGAAAAACUAGCAUGUGUUGUGUGUUUGUGACCCUAAAUGAUCACAAAUGAAUAACUUAUGGGCGUUGCUAGCGCCCGGACGUAUGGUUCGGGGUGCUAGCAUCGGACGCACGAGCAGCCGUCCGAUCAGGUCCGACACCACUUCAGGAUCUGGCUCAAAAAAAAGUCCCACCGAAACAUUGUUCCAUGUUGCAUAAAAUAUCCCACUAUCCAUUGCUGGGUCUAGAGCAAGCACCAGCUUCCAAUAUGCUGCUCACCCAAGCUAAAUAGGGGCAUUAAAAUUGCAGAAAUAUGUCGCAUAUCCUUCUCAAAUUAAACUAAAUCACAACAUCCGAAAAUUUCUUACACAAAACCAUGAAACAUAUCGAUUAGAUAGGUGUAACAAGAUGAAAUAUGGUAUGCAACAUAUAGAUUCUGAAAAACAGAUGAAACAUUACUUAAUGAUUGUUGAAACAGUGGAGAAAAAUAGAUGUAACAUCUAAAAUUAAGAAAAGAAGCUUCAUGCAAAUUGCAAAAAGCUGAAAUAAGUGGUUGAAACAUUUCAAAUCACCAAAUGCCACAUUUGAAAUGACUAGAUGAAACAUCACAAAAUCAAUUGCAACAGUUGAAGAUGAAAACAUUCAAAUGCCUUGCCUUUCUCUAGAUUUGACCCUCAAGCAUGAGUCCAGCCAUUUGCACAUUAGACCCUUGGGAGGAGCUCACCGGAGAACAACAAGACCUUGUUCUCCAACAAUUUUCCGAUCAAAUUGCAACAUAAAAAAUAAAGCAUUGCAACAUCUGGCGGUAUCAUGAGCUACAACAUCAACCAGUUAGGAUCAGGAGAAAGACGGCAAACACAAGCCUAGCAAUGAGUUAUAUCCGGUUUAAACGAGGAUAAAAAUGAGUGUAUUUUCCACUCAUCAUGUUGUCUUUUCGCAGCUGUACCGCCUUUAGCUUGUUGUAUUGUUCCCCUAACACCAAGUCUCCGAGGUCCGUGAAAAUAAGGAAAGUGAUAGCAGCCCAGAAAUCGACCAAGUUUCUUUCCCCCUUUGGCUUUCCUACUAGGAUUCGGAAUCCUCUUUCGCAUGACAAUAUUAAUUAUCUCCCGUAGUCCAAAACUCACAAAAACAUUAAACAUCCUCCGAGAAUAAAUUAAGUAAAAAACAUGCACACACCAAUAAUAAUAAUAAUCUUGUUUCAAUAAAAUUGCUAAGGCCAGAGACAAUACAAAAACAUAUUAGACUGUUCAUGAAACAUAUCACGGUGGACAGUGUUUGUGUCCUUAUUACAAGCAGCGAGAGGAAUUAUAUAUGCUUGUCACCACACACGCGCGCGCACAGAUGCACGACAUACAUAUAGUUGAGACCAACAGAUGGAUCGACUAGAGGUGACCCCAUAUGGUGAACAAUUUAUUGGAGAUAAACAUUAACAUAACUUGGCCAUAGCUUGAAGCAUAGCAACAUAUGCGUAUGAAUGGCAUUGAUGCUAUCGUUUUAGGCUUGUCCAGAUAAUAAUAUCUGGUUUUAAGCAUAACAUGGUUUUUACUUAAUUUAUCUGUGCGUGCGAUAAUAAACCAGAUAAUAGCUUGAAACAUGUUGUGCAUUGGCACCACACGCACGAGAAUAAAUUAAGUAAAAAACAUGCACACAUAGAUAAUAAUAAUAAUCAAGUUUCAGUAAAAUUGCUAAGGCCAGAGACAAUACAUAAACAUAUUAGACUAUUCAUGACACAUAUCACGGUGGUCAGUGUCUGUGUCCUUGUUACAAGCAGCGAGAGAUGCUUGUCACCACACGCACGCGUGCACAGAUGCACAACAUACAUAUAGUUGAGGCUGCAAUUUAUAGGCAGCUGCGCUAUGUGAUGAUAUGGACAAGGUGCAAAUGGGUGGUCCUGAUAUGGAUAAGGUGCGAAUGGCUGUCUACUUGUAUUGUGUAGCUCCAAUGUACGUAUGUAUCUUAUACAUGUAUACAGUUGAUGGAUAAGGUAUACAGUCUUUGUUACCAAGUAAUUUUACUUUCGCACGUUUCAGCCGAGAGGCAGAAGAGAAUAUUUUACAGAGAGGGCAGAGAAGGAGGUUGGUAGGGUUCCCCGUGUCGCCAAGAUUUUUGCAUUUUACAUGUGUGUAUAGAUCACUUCGUCGUGCGGCGCCCUACUCCAGGUUGUACCCCAGCAGACCACGUUCUGUUUCUCUGCCUCCACAAGGACCACAAGACUUAGUAAAAAAAGCUAAACUUUGCAACACGAUGUAUACAGAAUUAGUAGCUAGAUCUAUAUAUGAAAUUCAUCCUAAAACUGAUAGGUGGAGAGAAGUAAAAAAUACCAAUUUGAUUUCCUAUCUGAUUAGAGGAAAUAUGGAUGGAUCGGUCGCAAUUAGCGAAGUGGCUCCAAUUGACAUAAAAGGUGUGCAUUGCAUUCAGCAAGAAAAAUUGAGUUUCUACUGAAUCUAUGAAAAAAAAUGAGCUUACGUUAUCAUAUAUAGGCAUAAAUUAAAAUGACAAGAAAUUCCAACCACGGUAUAUAAGACCAAUAAUUGGAAAGAUGGAUGAAAGGAAGAUAGGGUUUAAAUUAAAGUCUCCGCAUAGGCAGUUUGACUAUGAUCAAUUUUACCUGUAUUUCUCAAUAUGUAGAUAAUUCUAUGCCAACAAUUAAAAACUAAUACAUAAUUUGACACGGUGUACCUUGAGAACGUUUUGAAAAUGUACUCUCGUUAGGCGUUCACCUCCUUAACAAUAACUGCGACUGUAAAAUAGGUACAUCGACGCUAGCUAAAUAAACAACUAUAAGAUUUAGCAAGAGAUCAUUUUAUACAAUCCUGUAACGAAAGAAUUUGACAAUUAUAUUGUCCAUAUAUUUUGACGAAAAACAUCUAAAUUAUAUAAGGUGGGCCCGAAACAGUUGGAUUAGCAUAUGGUUACCCGUUUGUUGUCUUCCGGCCCUAAAAAAAGGACCAUCUUACUGAAAAAGGUUCUAUUAGCACAAGUAGAGAACUGACUUUCGAUGCACCCCCUUUUAUCCCGGUUUAAAGUAGGCCCGGGAGAAAAGGGGGUGCGCCAUGGUAGGCAAAAAUGGAGGGGAGAUUUACUCCCGGUUGGUAUUUGCAACCGGGACUAAAGGCCACCCUUUUGUCCCGGUUGGUGUUACCAACCGGGAUAAAUAGUUUACUCCCAGUUGGAGGUUCCAACCGGGACAAAAGGGCCACCAUUUUGUCGGCCCUUUUGUCCCGGUUGGAGCCUCAAACCGGGAGUAAACUUUCAACCGGGACAAAAGGUGUUUCUUUUUGUGUCGGUUGGAGUUUCUAACCGGGAUAAAAACUCAUCCCCAUUAUAUACCAAGACAGAGGUCUUUCUUCCUCCUCCAGCCCGAGCCAGUCCACCAUAAAGACAGAGAGCUCAGCUUCACCUACUCUCCGGUGGUGCCGAAGCAAGGGAGGUGCUGCCCGAAUUUUUUUUCCCUCAUUUUCGUGGGAAUUUCACUCAGCCAACACAAGUGUUGUGAAGGUUUGCUACUUCAUCCUCGUGUUACGCUUUAAUUUAUGCUUUGGAGAUGGAAAGUUUAUUUGCUAGAAUGUGAUGAAGUAGAAAAUGGAGAGGUACUUUGAGCUAGAAUGUGAGGGAGAUUGAUGUGUCAUAUAUAGUAUGUAUUCUUGCAGUGAUUUAAGAAUGAUGCUACCUUGUCUAGAUGGUUUAUCUUAUCAAAUUCAAUGUGGUUUUUCAAAUUCAUACUUAUUGAACUUGCAUACCGUGUUCAUGUCGGCGAGAAUGUUCUCCGCCGAGCAGCAACGUAUGUCAAGAAGGAGGUUUGAUUCUACGAGAAAGAGUGGAUACGGACAUCGUGACCGUAUCCCCUUUUUCGUAGAAUCGAACCUCUUUCAUGACGAAGUGCGGUGCCGCCCAGUUGAGAACAUGCUCGCCAGAUGAUCACGGUCUUCAAGUUCAACAAGUUCUGUAGGCAUACCGUGGUCAUCUCGGUAAGCAUGUUCUCCGUGGAGCAGCAACGGACGUCAAGGAGGAGGUUCGAUUUUACGAGAAAGAGAGGCAACAGACAUUGUGGAUGACUGUGUCCCCUUUCUCAUAAAAUCGAACCUCUUCCAUGACGAAGUACGGUGCCGCUCAGUUGAGAACAUGCUCACCGAGAUGAUCACGGUCUUCAAGUUCAACAAGUUCUGCAGUGCUAAGGUAAGAAUUUUUGUACAUAGAUGGCUUCUGCUACUAGAGGAAGUGGCGAUGGUGGGGGCGAUCGUCGUUCCUCUUUCGGCAAGGGGAAAAUCAUAGUUGGCCCUCAGGAUAAGCCGAAGAAAAUGAGCGCGUUGGAGAAAGCAAUGCUUCGUUAUUUGCAGAAACGUCAUGAAGAAGCUGUUGCCGCGGGUCAGGAACCUCCUUUUGGUGGUCGUUAUGCUCCACCCUCAGUCCCAGGUGUUUCACGUCCACUUAGUACUACCAUUUCAGGUGGCACAAAUAAACCACAGGAUGAGGCUGGGUCAGCGGAACCUUCAUCUUCACCGCCCAAGGAUGCUUAAAGUCCACCUAGAUAAUAACCAGUGGAUGACUUGUUGUAUUGUAUCAUGUUGUUUGGAUAUUUAAUUUAAAUAUGUGUAUUUGUAUCUAUAUCUAAACUUUCAGCAUUAUUUGCACUACAACGUUUGACAUGCUUUCAAUCAUGAAUCCAUUUUCAAGUGUAAUCAAUUUUCACGCGUAAUCCAUUUUCAAGUGUAAUCAAUUUUCACGCGUAAUCCAUUUUCAAGUGUAAUCAAUUUUCACGCGUAAUCCAUUUUCAAGUGUAAUCCAUUUUCAUGCGUAAUACGAUGCAGAUGGACCGGCAAUGGAUGUAUAAUGCAGACAGACGGAGCAAGGUGUUUAUUGAUGGCUUGCAUUAUUUUCUCGAAGUGGCCAAAGCGAACAAGCCAGAGAAUGGGUUCGUAUGUUGUCCAUGCUUCCAAUGCAAUAACAAGAAGGACUAUUCAAAGGAUUCCUGGGGGACUAUUCACAGCCACUUGUUUAGAUACGGUUUCAUGCCUAACUAUUUGGUUUGGACCAAGCACGGUGAAAGAGGGGUUGUAAUGGAAGAUGGUGAGGAGGAGGAGGAGGAUGGCAACAUUCCUGACUAGGUUGCAGGCCAAGCUUUUGCAGAUACUACAAUGGGCGAGGCUGAUGAAGAUGAGUUUGCAGAAAAUGGCCCUACGAUGACCUUGGUCAGGUGCUACGAGAUGCACACAGAGAUUGCGAAACUGAGAAGGAAGCAGCAAAGUUGCAGCGCAUGAUAGAUGAUCACCAAAAAUUGUUGUACCCAGAUUGCCAGCAGGGCCAUAAAAAACUAGGUACGACACUAGAAUUUGUGCAAUGGAAGGCAAAAAAUGUUGUGUCCGAUAAGGCAUUUCAGGGGAUGUUGAACAUUGUCUAGAAGAUCAGGCGAGAUGAUCCUGGUGAUGUCGAGGGGCAGUCUCCCAAGAAGAGAGUUCCCACGAAGGUGAUGUGGUAUUUCCCUAUAAUACCACGCUUGAAGCGCUUGUUCAGGAACAAGGCAAAUGCUAAGUUGAUGCGAUGGCACAAAGAAGAACAUAUGGAAGAUGAGAUGCUGAGACACCCCGUAGAUGGGGCCCAGUGGAGAUCAAUUGAUAGAGCAUUCCUGGACUUUGAAAGUGAAGCAAGGAACAUAAGGUUUGGUUUAAGUACUGAUGGAUUCAAUCCAUUCGGUGAGUUGAGUAGUGGCUAUAGUACUUGGCCUGUGACCCUAUGUAUGUUCAACCUUCCUUCUUGGCUGUGCAUGAAGCGGAAGUUUAUUAUGAUGCCGGCGCUUAUCCAAGGCCCAAAACAACCCGGCAAGGGAUAUGGAACAGAGGAGUUGAUCGAGUUUUGUGUUGAUUUUAUUGACUCAAUUGACUCGAUUGGGAUUCCAACUUCACGCCACGAGGGGAGGCUCCGGGGAAUGGGCACCCUUGGAAGGAAAUCAAGUUUGAGCAAUGAUACUGAUUUGUUCGACAAGGCACACUACACUGUUCUGCAAUAGUCAUCCUUUGUGUCUCCCUAUAUCGAGCAGCACAGGCAGAUGGUAGUUUUCCAAAAACCUGACGAAAUCCGAUGCUUGGCUUACACAUCAUCACAUGGAAACUUUUUCCUCCUGGUUGCGCCAACAACUCAUGGGUAACUCUGAGAUUUACCCACAGCUCGCUUGGUUAGCCAGGGGACCUGCUAGCACAAUCGUGAAAUUUCAAGACUAUGAGAUAAAUGGUUAUACAUUUUACACGAGAGCCUAGGACCAGAAAAGCACGAACAAGAAUAGUGGUGUCCGCAUAGAUGCCAUAGAUAGAAAUAAUAACAAGGAGUCGUAUUAUGGUUUCAUACAGGAGAUAUGGGAACUCGAAUACGGACCGCUGUACAUCCCUGUAUUUCUUUGCAAUUGGGUGAAGCUAACUGCCGUAACCAAAGAUCAGUACGGAAUGACAAUAGUAGAUCUGAGCAAGACUGGAUACAGUGAUGACCCAUUCGUACUUGCGAAUGAUGUGCAUCAGGUUUUCUAUGUGAAGGACAUGUCUAGCAAACCCAAGAGAAAUCCAGAAGAGACAUGGGAGCCAAAGUGCCACAUAGUUCUUCCAGGUAAAAGAAAAAAUCGUUGGAGUCGAGGAUAAAAUAGACCAAUCAGAUGAUUAUGAUCAGUUUGAUGGCAUGCCUCCAUUCGCAGUUGAAGUUGACCCAAGCAUCCUGGUAUCCAAAGAAGAGGCUCCAUACUUACGCCGGGAUCAUGAUCAAGGAACUUUCGUGAAGAAGAAAUUUUACAACGUUGUAUUGUAAUGCGCUAAAUUUACUUGACCUUUGUGAAGUACUUGAUACAAUUUUUAAUUUAACCUAUGUAUGAUUUCAUGUGUUCUUAAAUUUGUUGAGGUGAAGAUUUAUUAGAUAAACAUGAACAAUGUUAACCACAUACAUAUAUGGAUUUUUUUUGCGCGUUGAAAUUAUUUAAUUGAAUAAUUUCUCCAUCAUUGCGAUGUAGUAAAAUAAUUAUUUUAGAGGCUAAACGAACUGGUAUAGAAUUAAUGACUAAUUCACACUUAUUGUCAAUAUACUUGCUAAUUAAAUAUAUUUUUGCAUGUUCAAAAUAUGUGAAUUUUUUUGUUUUUGCAUCCUGAAAUGCAGUGAAAACAUACAUAAAAUCCUUUUCCAAAAAAUAGGCGGGAGAUGAAAGUGUGGGAAAAGGCCCUUUUGUCCCGGGUGCCAAUAGAAACCGGGACAAAAGGACCUUUUAUCCCUGUUGCCAACUACAACCGGGAUAAAAGGGUAGUUUUCGUUUCCCGCCGGGGACGUACCCUUUUAUCCCGGUUACAGUUAGCAACCGGGAUAAAAGGGGGGGCCCUUUUGUCCCGGUUGGUGUUGGCACCCGGGAUAAAAGGGCCUUUAGUCCCGGGUUCAAUUACGAACCGCGAUAAAAGCGGGGAGGGAUAAAAGGCACUGUAGCCUCUUCUACCACCACCCCACGCUAGUUACGACACUUAGCCAAAUUUUCACCGCUGCCAAGAUCCCGCGCCCUUCCGCCAGCUCCGUCACCGCCCAUCCGCCUCCCUCGCCGGCCGCCGUCGUCCUCGUCGUCCAUCGCCCCGGCCAUCAUCGUCCCGCCGCCCGACCGCCUCGCCCGCGCCCAGACCACCUCCUCCUCCAUCGCCCCGGCCCGCCUCCGAUCCUCCUCCGUCGUGCCCCCUCGACCUCGUCGCAGCCGGCCGCCUCCAUCGCGGGGCCUCGUCCCCGCCUCAGUCAACGCCACAUUCUCUGUCGCCGCCUCAUCACCGCCUCUGUCGCGCGCGCCGCCUCCGUCCCUCGUCGCCGUCCGCCUCCGCCCGUUGUUGCUGUGGCCACCUCGCUCCGUCCCCGCCUCCGCCGUCCCACCGCCCCGGCCGCCGCCGUCCCGCCGUCCCGGCCAUCUCGUCGCCCAGCUAGGCACCGCGUGAGGUCCGCCGGCACUGGCACCGGGAAUGAACAGCUCUUGCUGACGCAAACCCACCGGCUUGCGUAAGCAAGGACCUUUUUUAUUUUUUAGUUAGAAAAUGAAUAGAUAUUAGUAGAUUAGUUAGAAAAUCAAUAGAUAUUUGUAGAUUAGUUAGAAAAUCAAUAGAAAAUCAGUUGAUAAAUUUUGUAGAAAUUCAUUCAAAUUACUAGGAAUUAGUUGUAAUUUGCUAGAAAUUCCAAUAAAUAUGUUGAAAUAAGUAGAAAUUUGGUAGAAAUUCUUACAAAGUACUACUAAUUUGUUGAAAUUUGUAUAAACAUUCCGAACUCUGUGGGAUUCAUGUUAUUGUAAAAUUAUUAGGCAUUAGUAGAAAUUUUGUAGAAAUUCCAAUAAAUAUGUAGAAAUUAGUAGAAAUUUUGUAGAAAUUCUUACAAAGUACUACUAAUUUGUUAAAAUUUGUAUAAACAUCUCGGAUCAGCGCUUGGUUUGUUGAAAUUUGUAUAAACAUCUCGGAUCAGCGCUUGGGUUUUGUAAGUGUCCAUUUAUCUACAUGUAAAUUUUGCCUCAUAUCAUUAUUUUUUUUGCGUGCGUCACCGUACUAACUUCAUCUUCCAUUUUAUGUAUCAUGCUAAUUCAGAUGUGCCGACGAGAGGCGUACCUACAUAUUGGCUUCAUGGAUCCAUCCGUAGUUAACCAAAAACAGAUACAAUUAUCGCCGGAAAAAACCUUGGUGGAAGUAUACAAUUUCCUAGACAAACAAAAAUUCAAGGAUUUCAUACUACUUCCAUACAACUUCAAGUAAGUGUGUGUAUACCAUCUACUUUCGUUGUCUUUUUCCUUACCUGAUUAAUUAGUUAGCUCUAAUAUGCAUGAACAUUUUACGUACGCAGCUUCCACUGGAUCCUCAUUAUAAUUGAGCUUGAAAGAAGCCACGUCACUGUCUUCGAUUCGUUGAGGAAAGAUCCGGUGGAGUACCAAGACAUGCAAGACAUGCUAGGCUUGUAAUAAUUCUGGACCUUUAUCUCUAUGCAAAAGUUUGUUUCCUAAAUUUUAUCCCUGUUACACUAUAUCAUUCAUUAUUCUAAUCCGCAGCGCAUGGAAACAAUUCAUAAGGACACACAAAGGUCCAUUCAAAGAAAAACUUACAUGGAACACAGACUUCCCGGUACGUAUGAAGUCUGCACAUUUAGUACAUUGUAUAACACGAAUAUUUUAUAACUUAUUUUUUUCGACACUGAAGUCCUUAAGAUAGGAACUCGGGAAUAAUCUAUGUGGCUACUACAUCUGUGAGCACAUGCACAGUUUUAUGGGACCCAAGGGACUAAAGCUGACGCCGCACAACUUUAAAGUACGUAAAAUAAAACUACUACUAGUUAAUUAUUUUCUAGCUCCUUAUAUUUAAUUGUUCGUGUAACAUUCACAAAUUUCCAAAUUAUAGAUGUUAAAUAUUCAACAAGGACUCUUGAAGAAAAAAAAGGGUAGCGGCAAUAUGUGAAGGUCUCGUUGGAUUCCUAAUGGACGAUGUAGUAAAUGCACAAGGAGAAUUUUAUUACGAUGGACGACAAUUAGACGCUCCGAGCAACACCUCGACGGGAAGAUUGUAGAUAUAUAGUUUGAUUUGUAUACAUAACACGCGCUAAGAUCGAUUUGUAUAUAUAGUUGAUUUCAUUAUACUAGUUGAAUUAUGUAUAUGAAUUGUGUAUAUAUAGUAAUUGUAUAAUUACAAAUUUCAUUCGUUUAAAUACUAGUUGAUUUCAUUAUAAAAAAAGUCUCAACUACUAAAGGUUAACAAAAGGGCCGCGGUACUACGUACGUGAUGCAUGAAAAUUUCAGAUGCCAUGCAGGAAAAUUUAAAUAGGACUUUAGUCCCGGUUGGGAAACCCAACCGGGACUAAAGGGGCACCCUUUACUCCCGGUUGCUUUUACCAACCGGGAGUAAAGGGCCUGUCCCGCGCCAACCGGGACUAAAGGGUGACCUUUACUCCCAGUUGAAGGACCCGGGACUAAAGACCCCCCCUUUUGUCCCGGUUGGUUUAUCCCGGAUGGAUUUUCGAGAGAUAUGCACCCUACCAACCGGGACUAAAGGCGAGUUCUCUACUAGUGUAGGCCAUGCAGCCGGCUCUGUGGUACCAAAAAGAAAUUUUUGACAUGGUUUACAUCGAGAACGUUUUGAAACUAGACUUUGGUACGCAGUUCACCUUCUUAACAAUAACGGCGUACAUAGACGCUAUCUAAAUUGACCACUUUAAGAUUUAGCGAGAGAUCUAUUUUUUUAAUCCCGUAGCGAGAUCUAUUUUUAUAAUCGCGUAGCGACUGUACGAAGGACUGAAAAAUAAGUUUGAUUACCGUAUAUAGUUAGCCAACUCGUUAAUGGAAUAAACGAUAGAGUUCUGCGAGGCAGACUAGCCUUUCACACGCACCAACUGAACCAGCUGGCAUGAUGUAUUUGAUCUUACUCCCUUGGUCCCAUGGAAAGGUAGAAAUAACCAUAUAUAGGCAUGUAAUUAUCAGUUAUACUUAUGGGAUACUUAGAUGACUUGAUGUAUGAAUCAAGAAAAUGCAUCGAUCGAGAACUUACGGGGAUCAUCUCAAUAAUUUAGAGACCAUGCGCAUAUAUAUUGUGGAAGGUGUGCGUGAGGGUCGUUAUCUAUAUCCUGUGUUAGAAAAAGAUUGCAUAUAUAGUUAAUGUUUGUCUUUCUUCGGAUGGCACGUUAGCUGACCAUUGACAACAUGUGAUGAUUUUACUAACAUCAAAAUUAGGCAUGCCCCAUUUUUUAAUUGGUGCAUGGAGUGGGAGGUUUUGGUGGGUGAGCAUUGGUGUGCAACUCGUGUGCGUGAGCAUGUGUGCGUAAGAUAAUGUGUUUUGUUAGAAAAAGAAGAUAAUGCCUCUAAACAAUCCAGAAUAGAAGGCGGGCCCUGACGACAAGAUAAUACCUUACGCGGCGAUGUCUCAACGUGUCACCUGGGGCGGCUUUUGCAGUUUCCCCGUACACACACUAAGAGCCUCCGACCCUUUUUUGUCAAACCUUCUCUUGUAGUCAUGCAUAUAUCCAUGAUGAUUUGAGUCUACUGAUUGACAGUUAGAUAUUUUGCUUGUUUGUGAGAAUUUUUAGUUUCUAUUUUUUUAGAGUGUCCACCUAGGAUCCUAGGUGGCUUCACCUGAAAGCUUCAAAAGAAGCGUCCAAAUUAGUAAUCAUAAGAUUUUCUCAAAAGAGACUUAAUUCUACCACUAUACCUUGAUUGGCGGCCCGAGCCUCUACCUUUGUCUCCACUUGACUAUUUGAGUUGGCUCAGAACGGUUCACCGCGCUAGCAACGUUACGUUUGAUCCCAAUGCCACCACUCAUGUGCGCCACCUGUAUCUACCAAGUGGCAUGUGGUAAUGCCAUGUUUGUUUUAAUUUCGUCCAUCAGCAUUCACAAUGAUAUCAUCACCAUUAUGUAAUUAUCCCACUUUUAAUUUUCUUGCAACUCUGUGAAGUUAACAGUCUCUGAUCAAGUUUCCGAGGAUUGCUAUAUCUUUGUUUAUUAUCUACGGAAGUUGACAGCACAUCCACCAUAAUUCAUGGCCCACCAGACUCUAAGUCCACUGCGAGUAUAUAUUAAUUUGUUUUAAUCCGACUAUACUAGAUGUGUACCAAUCAUUCGAUAUGAGGGACGAACUAAUUGUUUCUUGUCGACUAUUGCACCGUACCUCUCGUUUUCCAAACAAUUAAAAGGUACCCUUCCGUGAUGGUUGUACCGAUACCGACUAUCUAUAUUAUUGCUUUCUUGAGCAUACCAAACGAGUUAAUUGGUAUGAUGAUGUUAUAGCUCAUUUAUAUAUGCUUAAAUACAUACACCGGUAGAAAACUCGCCUUUAGUCUCGGUUGGUACGUGUUAGACACCUAAUCCUUGCAUUGAUGGCUAAUCCUUCCAGCUUUUGUCUUCACGCACGCAUGCAUUGAUAGCCUCCUGCGGAUGGCCUUUCAGCUACUGCGCCGUUCAACUUCUGUGGCCUGUCCGGCUUCUUCCUUUCCCCAUAUAAUGUAAUACGUUCAACUCAAAUGAAUGAAAUCAAAUUAUGCGUGUAUUAUUCUCGCUUUCAGUAGGGGCCAAAUCUCCCGAAAAUCCAUCCGGGAUAAAGAUGAGAAAUUAAUCCAUGCGUGGCUUCAUGCAAAUUUGUUCAGAUCAGGUUUGAACAGCAUGUAAUCUUUUUCAGGCAUCUAUAUGGAGCGUGGGUGUGUUAUGUUAUCUUCUACUACACAUAUAACAUUAAAUUCAUUCAGUUUGGCUGAGAGCCCAAAAUGCAACGAAUAUGCCAUCCAACGUGAAAAAAAGAUGUGGAACAGUAUACUCUAUCUUCGAAAUUAAUUAACGAGAUUCAGCUUCAAAAGAGAUAAGAGCAGACAAGAGGCACAUGGGUGCAUGCAUCCACACCUUGGGAUGCUGCAAAAUUUGGGAUCACGUGUGCGGAUCCCUAAUUAGGAAAAAAGAAUAAUUGUGCUAGCAAAAUGUGGAACACGACUGCCGGCCCAGUUGGCGCUAAGACAUCGUACGUGCAUUAAGUCUGAGGUGCCCAACGAUCUCUUUCUUUAACUCAUGCUUGACUGUGACGGUGCUAUUAUAUAAUAUUGCAUGAUCAUCAUGAUAAGAUCGUAUAGUGACUGAGUGAGACAUGUACUAUAACUUGCAUUUAAGCCUCGAACUGUGUGUCGUUACGUGAGCUGCCUCCUCUCCUCGCCUCUGAAUUAUUGAACCGUUUCCAACAGUGUUGGUCUCGACGAAAUUUGACGCCAACCAGAUUUAUGAAGAAAAGAGAAUAAUACUUGGAAUUGGGAAAAGUUGAUCUCUCUUUACAAUGGGUAGGUGCUCCCCUUUUAUAGUGACCCAUGAGCCACUUUACAUUCCGAAAAUAUCCUUUCUCAACCACUACAUUCCUAGGAUAUGCCGUACAAAUUGAACUCUUCCACGUGGUCACAUUUCUCACACCUCCUGUUUUCCAACCUCAAGACUUCAUCUUCACGCCAAGUUGAUCAUCUAGCCUCGAGGCUCCAUCCACGAUCUGGAAUGAACGUCCAGCUCGAGGCUCCUGCUUGUUAGAAGAACCGUCGUAUGAGACGAGGAUUGUAUCUUAGAGAUAAGAGUUGUUAUGGUUUGAGUUGGCCGGCUAGUAGAUAGAGAUAGAAUCUUGAUGUAUUUGAAUGCUGGCUAAACUUUAUCUAUAACAACAUGCAUUGUAAUCUGUUGGGACUUUCCCCCUAUAUAAACGUGCAACCACGGCGAGCCAAGAUAGGGCAACCGUGUUCAACUCUUUUGACAUGGUAAUCAGAGCCUUUCUUCCAUAAAAUACAUCUACAUCUACACCACCUGGCGCACGCCACCUUGCAUGCAACAGUCAUGGUGUCAUCAUCGUCGUUGUCAGCCACUACGCCCACGGCGGCGCAGCUUGGAGCUCCUGUAGCUGAAAAGCUUACAGGGGAGAAUUAUGUCUUAUGGAAGGCUCAAUUCUUGCCUGCUGUGCGGGGUGCGCAGCUCAUGGGAGUCCUCAACGGAUCUGUCAAGGAGCCGGCCAAGACCAUGGAACUGGUGAAGGCUGACGGCAAGAAAGGGUAGCAUGACUUCAUCAACUUACUACACCAAGAUGUCUUAGCUGGGCUCUAGCCCCGAUCUUGCCAUGCGCUCCGCGAGCUCCAGUGCGUUGUCGACAAGCCUGAGCCGCGUGCAGCACAUGAGCACCGCGUUCCACACGACCGCCGUGGCCUCCAUCGUCUCAGCACCCAUGUGGCCACAGCCACGUCCGUGUUCUCGACGUACAUGCCGGCGAGGAACCCGGGAACGAGCGGGUGCGCGUCGACGUGGUGGGGAGCGUGGCAGCGGCAGCUUUGCUCGAUCUGGCGGCCGGAGAGUGGGACGAGACCACCACGGGGGAGACGGUCGGUGGUGGUGGCGGUGGCAAUGGGAGGAAGGCCUUGGAGAUCAAGGGAUCCAAGGGCCCCUUCCAAGAGAGAAGGGAGAUCGGGGGAGGAGACCGAUGGAGGGGAGGCGGGAGGGAGGAUCGCCGGCAGCGGGGGUAAGGAGAAAGAACAGGCGCGCGGGAGGGAGUCACGGUGCCGGAGACUCGGGAGAAAAGAAGCGAAUCAUUUUUGUGUAACCAGUGGUAUUGGUAGGUAAUUACCCACCAACUCCACGAGGAGGUUCAUAUUGGGUAGUUUUGGAGUUGCAAAAGAGGUGCUCCAAAACUCCACCCCCAUUUGCACUACAGCUCCAUGGAGUUUUGGAGUUGGGGUGUUUGGCUGUAAAAUUGGCUAGAGUUGUUGGAGGUCAGCUCCAGAGCCAUGCCAAACACGCCCUAAGGAUCAGGAAACGAGGAAAAUCCUUCAUCAAGGUAGAUGCAAAAGCGGGCCUUUAUCCAUUAGAAUCCAUCUUGUCAGAAGAAGGCGAUGACAAGAGAGUUUAUGGUGCCAUCAAACCAUCUGCUUCUAGAUGGCAUAGCCGCUUAGGCCAUCCAGCUUAUCCUAUUAUUCAGCGUGUGCUUAAUCAUCAUAAUCUUCCUUGUGGUAGUACUAAUUUUGAGUCAGUUUGUGAUUCAUGUCAAAUGGCUAAAAGCCAUCAACUUCCAUAUUCUAGUUCAAUAAAUUCGUCAAAAGCUUCGCUUGAUCUUAUUCAUUCUGAUGUUUGGGGGCCUGCACCUAAUUCUGUUGGUCGAUAUUCCUACUAUGUGAGCUUUAUUGAUGAUUAUAGUAGGUUCACCUAGAUUUAUCUCCUGAAAAAGAAAUUUGAUGUCUUUCAAGUGUUCAAAGAAUUUCAGAAUCUAGUGGAGCGAAAACACAAUAAGAAAACUGUAUCCAUGCAAACUGACUGGGGAGGCGAAUAUGAGAAGUUGAAUUCCUUCUUUCAGCAAAUUGGUAUAGCACAUCGCGUCUCAUGUCCUCAUGCCCACCAGCAAAAUGGCCUCGUCGAGAGAAAGCAUCGUCAUACUGUUGAAGUUGGUCUCGCUCUUCUCGCAAAUGCUUCAAUGCCUUUAAAAUUUUGGGAUCAAGCUUUUUUGACGGCCACUUAUCUCAUUAAUAUGCUUCCCAGUAAAAUUCUUAAUUUUGAUACUCCUACAGAACGCUUGCUCCAAGAAAAGCCUCAUUACAGCUCUCGUCGCAUUUUGGGGUGCGCUUGUUGGCCUAAUUUGUGACCCUAUAAUACUCACAAGCUAGCUUUUCGUUCCGUUAAAUGCACCUUUCCUAGUUACAGUUUCAUGCAUAAAGGCUUCAAGUGCUUAGAUCCCUCUACCGGCAGAAUUUAUAUCUCCCGAGAUGUUGUUUCGAUGAAUCGAUCUUUCCGUUUGCUCACUUACAUCCCAAUGCAGGCGCCCUUCUCAGUAAAGAGAUUCUUCUUUUACCUGACCAUCUUCGUAAUCCGGGGGAUGUAAGUUGCAUAGACAAUAUUACUAUACUACUGACCGUUUGCAUGAUAGCAAUGCGCAAGAUGUUUUUCAGGGGAAACUGUCACCGGGCUGGGCGCACGGUGACGCAGAAAAUCACGGCGGCACAUUCCAGGAGGAUUUGAUGCCAGGUGCCGACGGUCCAGGCGCUGACUCCCAGGGAGAUUCGGCGGCAGCAUCCGUUUUGCUCCCCUCCUUCCCAGCAAUGCCCAUCUCGCCGAAUACAUCUCCAACGCGUGGCUCCACGACAUGCCCAGCGCCCGCACCCGGCACUCCUCCGUCGCCGCAUGGCCCCGCACCUGGCCAAUCGCCUGCGCUAGCCGCCGGGAGUCCGACGCGUGGGGGGGGGGGUACCCAUCUAUCGCGCCAGACAGUCUCCCACCCGUGCCUGCUGCCCCGAAUCGUGCUAGCGCUGGAUCCUCUGCGGGAAGCAGAUCCGGUGUGGAAUCUAUGCCUGGUCAGGCCAGUUCUUUGGCGCUGGCUGCCCCUGCACCGUCUGUUUCACUGCCAAGACAACGGACACGGCUUCAAAGUGGAUUACGAAACCUACAUAGUUCCAGGACAUGAUCAGGUAUGGGUUGUUCUUAGCUUCUGCGGAACCACAGGAUUUUCAUGAAGCUCUAAAUGAUUAUAGAUGGAAAAAAGGCUAUGCAAGAUGAAUUUGAUGCUCUCAUUAGAAAUCAAACUUGGCACUUAGUUCCUGAAAUAAAGGGUAACAAUAUUAUUGAUUGCAAGUGGGUAUUCAAAAUCAAGAAAAAAUCAGAUGGUACCAUAGAUAGAUAUAAAGCAAGGCUAGUUGCAAAGGGUUUUCAGCAACGGUAUGGCAUUGAUUAUGAGGAUACUUUCAGUCCAGUGGUUAAGAUUGCAACUGUCAGGCUUGUCCUCUCAAUUGCUAUUUCGAAAGGGUGGUGUCCAAGAUAGUUAGAUGUAUAGAAUGUGUUUCUUCAUGGUGUUCUGGAAGAAGAAGUUUAUAUGAGGCAACCUGCAGGAUUUGAAAAAGGAGCUUUGCAUCUUGUGUGCAAAUUGGACAAGGCUAUCUACGGCUUGAAACAAGCCCCGCGAGCUUGGUAUGCUAAGUUAUGUUCCAAACUUAUUGCACUUGGAUUUGUUGCAUCUAUAUCAGACACUUCGUUAUUCAUCUAUCAAAGAUUGGGUGUCAUAAUUUAUAUGUUGAUUUAUGUUGAUGAUAUAAUUGUGACAAGUUCGUCAAGUGAAGCUGUUACGACGUUGCUUGCUGAUCUCAAGAAGGAUUUUGCUCUAAAAGAUCUGGGGGACCUCAGUUACUUCCUGGGUAUUGAAAUUAAAAGAGAAAAGAAUACUCUGCUGCUAACACAAGAAAAGUAUGCAAAGGAGAUUUUGUCACGGGUUGGUAUGGAGAAUUGCAAACCAUCAUCUACACCAUUGUCUACUAGUGAGAAACUUUCAAAGUAUGAAGGGGAGUUGCUGAAUUCAAGCGGUAGUACGAGGUACAGAAGCGUCGUUGGUGCAUUGCAAUAUCUCACUCCUACCUGACCGGAUCUAGCAUUCUCUGUGAACAAAGUGUGUCAAUUUCUACAUGCUCCUACCACGGUUCAUUGGACUGCUGUAAAAAGGAUACUUCGGUAUGUCAAGUUCACAUUGGAUCUUGGACUAAAUUUUCAGGCGUCAUCCUCCACCUUGGUUAUUGCUUUCUGUGAUGCUGAUUGGGCAGGAAGUGUUGAUGAUAGAAGAUCUAUCGGAGGGUUUGCAGUUUUCUUUGGUCUGAACUUGAUUUCUUAGAGUGCUAGAAACCAAGCCACUAUCUCAAGAUCAAGUACAGAAGUUGAAUACAAGUCUAUGGCAAAUGCAACUGCAGAGUUAAUAUGGUUGGAAUCCUUGCUAAAGGAGCUGGGUAUACGGCUGCAUCAACCACCAUGUUUACAGUGUGACAAUUUGGGAGCUACAUAUUUGUCUGCCAAUCCAGUCUUUCAUGCGAGAGCAAAGCAUAUAGAAAUUGAUUUUCACUUUGUUCGCGAGCGUGUGGUUAAUAAAAAGCUGCAGGUGCUGUUGGUUGCUUCCAGAGACCAGCUUGCGGACUGUUUACCAAAGCCUUGCCGUGCGGAUUGCUGGAAGCUUUCAAGAGCAAUCUAAAUAUCAAAAGGAAGAGAAGUUUAGAUUGAGAGGGACUGUUAGAAGAACCGUCGUAUGAGACGAUGAUUGUAUCUUAGAGAUAAGAGUUGUUAUGGUUUGAGUUGGCCGGCUAGUAGAUAGAGAUAGAAUCUUGAUGUAUUUGAAUGCUGGUUAACUCUAUCUGUAACAACAUGCAUUGUAAUCUAUUGGGACCUUCCCCCUAUAUAAACGUGCAACCACGGUGAGCCAAGAUAGGGCAACCGUGUUCAACUCUUUUGACACUGCUUCGUUAAGCUUUGUUGAGAACUCAUAAACUCACAUAGUUCUCCUUUGAGUAUUGUUCCUAACUAAAGAGUAAACAGGUAAAAGCUCGGUGCCCGGAACCGACUCAGAACACUCGAGGCUUAACUUAGUUGGAGUUUAGCUAUUACCAUUGCCAGUGACCAGCCUCGAGCCCCUCUAGAAGCAAGGUGAUGCGAGGGUGCGAGUUUUACUAUAAGAGGUGUCCCUAUAGAACGUGCGAGGUUAAAGGUGUUCCGUUACUUUUCCUGCCGACGCAUAACUUGCAAGGUUAAGGGGUUUUUAUCCCACAAACGGUGCUCCAGGAUGUUCAGAUUUUUGGGAUCCCCAACAAACAGCAAUCUUGAGUGGCUCUAAAUUGUUGUUGGCCACAUCAUACCUUGUCUUGGGCUGCUGGGUCGUGUUGUGCACCACGAGUGCACGAUCAGACAUCCUGCACUGUUAAGUCUUCGAUGAUACGGCUGCCUUGCUUCCUCAGCUUGUCAGCAACUGCUUCUUGACUGCUACAGUACAAUUAUUGCAUGGUAUCAAGGUAAUAUAUAUAGUGACUGAAUGAGCACAUAUAACAUAUGCAUUUAGGCCUCCAACUGGUCAUUGCACGAGCUGCCUCCUCUCCUUACCUCUGAAUUAUGGAGCCAUAUCCAACAACAACCUUGACAGUGAUGAUGAUGACGACGAUGAUGAAAUUAAGAAAAGAAGCUUUAUGCAAAUUGCAAAAAGCUGAAAAAGUGGUUGAAACAUUUCAAAUCACCAAAUGCCACAUUUGAAAUGACUAGAUGAAACAUCACGAAAUCAAUUGCAACAGUUGAAGAUGAAAACAUUCAAACGCCUUGCCUUUCUCCAGAUUUGACCCUCCAAGCAUAUAUGAGUCCAGCCAUUUGCACAUUAGACCCUUGGGAGGAGCUCACCGGAGAACAACAAGACCGUGUUCUCCAACAAUUUUCCGAUCAAAUUGCAACAUAAAAAAGAAAGCAUUGCAACACAUCUGGCAUCGCGAGCUACAACAUCAACCAGUUAGGAUUAGGAGAAAGAGGGCAAACCCAAGCCUAGCAAUGAGUUAUAUCCGGUUUAAACGAGGAUAAAAAUGAGUGUAUUUUCCACUCAUCAUGUUGUCUUUUCGCAGCUGUACCGCCUUUAGUAUGUUGUAUUGUUCCCCUAACACCAAGUCUCCGAGGCCCGAGAAAAUAAGGAAAGUGAUAGCAGCCCAGAAAUCGACCAAGUUUCUUUCCCCCUUUGGCAUUCCUACUAGGAUUCGGAAUACUCUUUCGCAUGACAAUCAUAAUUAUCUCCCAUAAUCCAAAACUCACAAAAACAUCAAAAAUCCGCCGAGAAUAAAUUAAGUAAAAAACAUGCACAAACAAAUAAUAAUAAUAAUCAUGUUUCAAUAAAAUUGCUAAGGCCAGAGACAAUACAUAAACAUAUUAGACUGUUCAUGACACAUAUCACGGUGGACAGUGUCUAUGUCCUUAUUACAAGCAGCGAGAGGAAUUAAAUAUGCUUGACACCACACACACGAGCGCACAGAUGCACGACACACAUAUAGUUGAGACCAACAGAUGGACCUCGACUAGAGGUCGCCUCAUAUGGUGAACAAUUUAUUGGAGAUAAACAUGAACAUAACUUGGCCAUAGCUUGAAGCAUAGCAACAUAUGCCUAUGAAUGGCAUUCAUGCUGGUAGCAAUGCAAUCAUAUCGUUUUAGGCUUGUCCAGCUUCUUCCAUCUUAGCAAGCACUGCCAUUUCUUCCAUCUUAGCAGCAACUGUCAAAUUGAGAUAUGGUAUCCCAUUAGCGUAUGAGUUAAUUUUGCACUGGAAAUAGAGUACAAGAUGUCUUCAUGAUGUAAGUAAUAUGCCUGAAGUUGUGAGAUGGGAAGUGAAGUCAACAAAUUACAUUAACGGAAAUGCAUGGAAGGCCACACAUACGUAUUAGUCCACGAUAUGCUACAAAGCUUGUAUGUACAUAUAACAAAUUAAAUGCAUUGAAUAGAGUGAGUUUACUGAAUUUACCAGAAUCGGACAGAACACAUGGGAAACAGCAAGUGUUCUUGCAGAGUGAGUCGGAGCCACCUGCAGUAAUACAAGCAAAACAACAUGCUUUUGCCCGGGCGGAUACGCAGCAGCUGCACUGUGCCGCGGUGGCCGGGUUAACAUUGAGGCUCAAGAUGACCAGGCACAUGAUCACCAUCAAAGCGGUAGUCCUCUUUCCCUCCAUUGCCUCCUCUUGCUGCUACCUUCCUUGGUUACCUAGCUAAGUUUAUUGGUUUUGUGUUGAGAGGUGAUUCUUGAAUGGACGUUGCCGGCUGCAAUUUAUAGGCAGCUGCGCUAUGUGAUGAUAUGGACAAGGUGCAAAUGGGUGGUCCAAUGGCAAGGAAAGGGGGUAUUCUGCUUGACAUUGGCAUCAGACAAAGCCCAAUGGCAACUGCUGACACGCGAUUAAAAUCAGAUCCACAUCUUAUCCAGCCAUUCACUAAUAAUUAAACUAAACCCACGCGGUCCGCGAGAUGCAGCGUCCAUGCAUAGCACUUCCCGCAAACAAUAGGAAAAAUUAGAAUUCAGAGAUAGCAGCUGCUUGCAUGAAACACGGUUGCACAGAAAUCAGUGGUGCUUGGACGGUAAGUAGUGUGGUGUACAAGCUUAAAGCGGCAGUGAGUCACGUUGGUGUAACAAGCAGUACAUCAGCUGGAAGAUUGAUAUGUCUAUUGCCCACGCAGCAUAGCAUUUUAUUAUGAUACAUUGAGUUAUGUCAUAUUGUUACUUUAAGUUAUUUUUUAAGUAUUAGUUGUAGACAAUUUAGUUGCAAAUUUAAGCGGUUAUUUUAAAUUAUUUUUUAUAAUGGAAUAAGUGGGUAAUUUAGAUGAAGAUUAGGGGGUUACUUUAGCUUAUUUUAUAUAAUAGCAGAGGUGGGUAAUUUAGAUAUAAAUUUAGACACGUUUAACAAAAUGUAUCUACAGUUUCUGACACGGUCCGUGUGGAGACGCUCCAGACAUGCUUUACUCAAGCGCAUCUAUACUUCAGUAGAAAUGAAAUAAAGCGUAUCUAACAUAGGAAUAAAGUGUAUCUAGAGGAGGUUUUUCUUGUAGCGAGGGAUGAACCAUUAUUGGACGAACUGGCACACUUGCUUCUACCCGCUCCCCCACACCCCACAACCGCCCCCAGUGUGAGCGUCCAAGUCUCGAUCGUUGCUCGCGUUAAGCGGUGCCGCCGCACUGCACCACAGCGACAGAAGCCACACCACCGGCUGCAUGUGACAGCGGGGAGCACCCUCACCACCUGCCCGCGGGGAGCGCUUACGCCAGCCAUAGUGUCCCCGUAGAACCGCCACGCGAGCAUGUGAGCCACCGACCGCCGUGCCCCCAAGGGCCAUCACCGCGCUACCCGAGGAUGUUGUCUACCCGGUGCCACGCGCCUCUGCUAGGUGCCUGCACCUGGGCCGCCACCGGUCGCCUGCACAGCCACGUGUUGCAGCUGCCCCCUGCGCUGAGCCACCCCAUUAAACGUUGGAAGAACCACCUGAGUCUCGCACGCCGAGGUCUUGCUGGUGACGACCAUGGCCUCCGCGAUCAUAUGAAAAAGUUGUCAACUACAAAGUAUUAGGCCUCGUCGAGCUCUACAAUUUUGAUCGAAAGUUUCUAUUCAUCCGAGAUCAAAUGAAAAAGUUGGUACUCAAAAUAUACAUCCAUUAAUCUAGUCGUGCUAAUCCUUACCACAAAUUAAAAAACUAGCAUGUGUCGUGUGUUUGUGACCCUAAACAAUCACAAACGAAUAACUUAUCAACUUCAAAAUUUAGCUGAUCAGGAGUCUAGGCAACCUCAAGGGUAUAAAUAUGUGCACCCUGAGGCUUGCAAGAUUUUAUCUCUCGAUUAAUCAAUGCAAUUUUUGGGCGCCACGCAGCCAAACCCUUAGGAGUAGAAGUAACGUAGCUUUUUGAUGAGUAUCUUCUUGCGCGCAGGGCUGCAUCAGCUUCGAUAUCCGACGAACUUGUAAGUACCGUCAUCCGGUCAUUACGUUAUCUAUAUUAAAAGUUUCUAGGCAUCAUCCAAUAUUCUAAUCUUUUAUCGUGUGGCUAAUUAUCGAGUUAUCUUAUAUUGUAAAUAAAACUUGCUAGGGUUUGUCCAAUAUUCCAUUUGUUUUCAGCGUUACUGCUUAAUUAGAUCUGCUUAGGUUGUUCUCAUCGGCUUCUAGUCUUGUUUAAACGUUCACAAGUUAUUUGAUCGUAUCGGCAAGUUCGACCUUGCAUGCUUUUAUCGCUUUAUCUAUACUAGGUCCGAUAGAUCUUUACCCCUUCCCCUUGUAUUGCUAGCAGUUGGAUCCAUAACGUUAGAACGAUACUGUUGAGAGCUGAUGCAUUGAUUUAGUAUCAUCCAUAUCUCAUAGAAUGUAUCAUGGUUAAUGGCAAUUUAAUGAAAUUAUAAAGGAUAAUAACAAUCGUGCUUUCGGCGUUCCAAAAAUCAAUCAAGAAUUCAUCAUGGUUGUGCAGUGUAUGGAAACCUUAUGGUAAUAGUUAGAUGGGAAAUGUUGUAUUAUGUAAUAAAUCCAGGUACUUCACAAAUCAUGAUCGAUGGAUGUCUAACACUGUUGAAAGAGAUUGGAAUAAAGCAGACUCACCUCAGACUAUGCACCAUGUCUGAGUGACCCACCUCACCUUGCCAGGUCACUGGUCUUGCCAGCACACAAGCUAUGAUGUUGCCAGGAGUGGUCAGUACACAAAUCUAGCUACCAGUCGGAUCGAAGGGCAGGCAUUUGCAUUGUGGUUGUGCUUGAACAUGGAGAUGUCUUGCGAUUGUCACGCACCAUACAUCCUCUCUCAGUUUCACUCCGCCUCACACACGGAUAGGACACCAGGGACCCGACACCAUGCAUGCCGAUUUCAUAUUAUUAAUAUUUAUUUUUUGAAUGGUUGUUGAAACUAUAUAUAUAGUUAGUCCAAUCUCACGUUUCCGAUUAUAAAAAUUAACAUAAAGAGAUCGGAAGGGAGAGCACUAGAGCCGGCAUUUAUACAAACUGGUAUGAAUAGUAAAAUCUAGAAUUCAUAAAUAAAAAAAUGAUUUGCACAUCUAUGCAAUAAUUAGUGGUUAGUGGUAGGUCUAGAGAGAUAUCUCAUCAAAUCGAUGAGUUAUAUCCGGUUUAAACGAGGAUAAAAAUGAGUGUAGUCUUUUCGCAGCUGUACCGCCUUUCCUUUCGUGUGUUCUAUUGUUCCCCUAACACCAAGUCUCCAAGACUCAAGAAAAUAAGGAAAGUGAUAGCAGCCUAGAAAUCGACCAAGUUUCUUUCCCCCUUUGGCUUUUCUACUAGGAUUCGGAAUCCUCUUUCGCAUGACAAUCUUAAUUAUCUCCCAUAGUUCAAAACUCACAAAACUAUCAAAAAUCCACCGAGAAUAAAUUAUGUAAAAACAUGCACACACAGAUAAUAAUAAUAAUAAUCAUGUUUCAAUAAAAUUUCUAAGGCUAGAGACAAUACAUAAACAUAUUAGACUAUUCAUGACACAUAUCACAGUGGACAGUGUCAGUAUCCUUAUUACAAGCAGCGAGAGAUGCUUGUCACCACACACACGCGUGCACAGAUGCACGACAUACAUAUAGUUGAGACCAACAAAUGGUUGCCCCAUAUGGUGAACAAUUUAUUGGAGAUAAACAUUAACAUAACUUGGCCAUAGCUUGAAGCAUAGCAACAUAUGCCUAUGAAUGGCAUUCAUGCUGGUAGCAAUGCAAUCAUAUCGUUUUAGGCUUGUCCAGCUUCUUCCAUCUUAGCAAGCACUCCCAUUUCUUCCAUCUUAGCAACAACUGUCAAAUUGAGAUAUGAAAAUUCCAUUAGCACAUGAGUUAAUUUUGCAGUGGAAAUAGAGUACAAGAUGUCUUCAUGAUGUAAGUAACAUGCCUGAAGUUGUGAGAUGGGAAGUGAAGUCAACAAAUUACAUUAACGGAAAUGCAUGGAAGGCCACGCAUGCAUACGUAUUAGUCCACGAUAUGCUACAAAGCCUUCUAUGUACAUAUAACAAAUUAAAUGCAUUGAAUAGAGUGAGUUUAGUGAAUUUUACCGGAAUCGGUCAGAGUACAUGGGAAACAGCAAGUGUUCUUGCAGAUGAAGUCGGGGCUACCCGCAGCAAUACAAGCAAAACAACAUGCUUUUGCUCGGGUGGAUACGCAGCAGCCACACUGUGCCGCGGUGGCCGGGUUAACAUUGAGGCUCAAGAUGACCAGGCACAUGAUCACCAUCAAAGCGGUAGUCCUCUUUCCCUCCAUUGCCUUCUCUUGCUGCUACCUUCCUUGGUUACCUUGCUAAGUUUAUUGGUUUUGUGUUGAGAGGUGAUUCUUGAAUGGACGUUGCCGGCUGCAAUUUAUAGGCUGUGUGAUGAUAUGGACAAGGUGCAAAUGGGUGGUCCAAUGGCAAGGAAAGGGGGUAUUGGCAUCAGACAAAGCCCAAUGGCAACUGCUGACACGCGAUUAAAAUCAGAUCCACAUCUUAUCCAGCCAUUCACUAAUAAUUAAACUAAACCCACGCGGUCCGCGAGAUGCAGCGUCCAUGCAUACACUUCCCGCCAAACAAUAGGAAAAAUUAGAAUUCAGAGAUAGUAGUGUGCCAGCAGCUGCUUGCAUGAAACACGGCAAUCAGUGGUGCUUGGACGGCAAGUAGUGUGGUGUACAAGCUUAAAGCGGCCUUGUGUAACAAGCAGUACAUCAGCUGGAAGAUUGAUGUCUAUAGAGGCUUGUUAUUAUCUUUAAUUCCACAUACUGCACAAUGUCAAAGUAAAAUGCGAAAGGAUAACAAGCUGAUACAGAGUGAUUGGAUUUACUUGAGGAGUAGCUUGAAGAAACAUCCAGCAACAACAGAAAAGUCAAAGUAUCGAGCCCAUGAAGCUAUAAAGCAGAUUGUAUUGGCUAGAAGAUUCAGGACGCUGGACUUACAAAAGUUGGAAGCAUGACAUUCAUACUCCGAACUUAGGGGCCUGUGUUCACACUGGAUGAUUUUAGCCGGUGAAAUCCCUUGUUUCGCAUUUUUCAUCAGGUCCCAAUGCCCAUGCAGCAUAACAUUUUAUUAUGAUACAUUGAGUUAUGUCAUAUUGUUACUUUAAGUUAUUUUUUAAGUAUUAGUUAUAGGCAAUUUAGUUGCAAAUUUAAGUAGUUAUUUUAAAUUAUUUUUUUAUAAUGGCAUAAGUGGGUAAUUUAGAUGAAGAUUAGGGGGUUACUUUAGCUUAUUUUAUAUAAUGGCAGAGGUGGGUAAUUUAGAUAUAGAUUUAGGGGUUACUUUAGGCUAUUUUCUUAAUGGAAUAGGUGGGUAAUUUUUUUAGAAAAUAUAAUAGAUCCAAUGGCUACGAUGAUUUGAGUCUAAUGAUUGAUGGCAAGAUGUUUUGCUUGUUUGUGGGAAUUUUAAAUAUUUCUCUUUUUUCUAGAGUGUCCACCUAGAAUGCUAGGUGGUUUCACUUGGAGGCUUCAAAAGGAGCUUCCAAAUUAGUAAUAGUAAGAUUUUCUCAAAAGAGACUUGAUUCUACCACUAUAACUUGAUUGGCCGCCCCGGCCUCUACCUUUGCCUCCAUUUGACUAUUUGAGUUGGCUGUCAACGAUUCACGGUGCUGGCAACAUUACGUUUGAUCCAAAUGCCACUACUCAUGUGCGCCAGCUGUAUUCUACCAAGUGGCAUGUGGGAAUGCCAUGAUGCAUGUGCAGUAACAGCGUGCACAUCUUGUAGGAUUCGCACCUCGUUUUCACUAUUGUAUCAUCUUAGCGAUUAGGAGCGAAGUGUGCUUUGGGGUUGCAAUUGGGAUAUAGACCUUAUUCUCGAAGAGAAUCUUAAAAGCUUACAUUCGCCCCCUCCGGUCGCCCGUGUUCCGAUCCUUCACCUAUAAAUUAGGAGUAGCAGGUAGUAAGUGGCAGGUUAGAUAAGUACUCGUUGAUGAAUGUUGACUUGGCGUGAUCGGCUCUGCUAUUUUCACGAAGAUGCCAAUAUUGAAAGCACAUCCACCAUUUCUGCGGAUGUGAGGGAUGAACUAAUUAAUUGUUUCUUGUCCAUUAUUGCACCGUACCUCCCAUUUUCCCGUUUUCCAAACAAUUAAAGGUACCCUUACGUUACGCUUGAUCCAAAUGCCACCACUCAUGUGCGCAAGUGGCAUGUGGUAAUGCCAUGAUGCAAGUGCAGUAACAGCGUGUACAUCUUGCAUGAUUCGCGCCUCGUUUUCACUAUUGUAAUCUAUAAAGAAACAAACAAAAAACAAAACGAUGGAUGGAUCAGCUCGGGAUCCAAUAAUCGAGAGGAAUUCAAGGAAAAAGAAAAAUUUGGGAUCACGUGUGCGGAUCCUAAUAACAAUAUAUAGUAGGACAUCUCCAUGCUCACCUAGUAGCCACUACUAGUGCGCCGGCCCAGUUGGCGCUAAGACAUCGUACGUGCAUUAAGGGGGUGUUUGGAUACUGGACGCUAAACUUUAGCAGUGUCACAUCGGAUGUUCGGAUGCUAAUUAGGAGGACUAAACAUGAGCUAAUUAUAAAACUAAUUGCAGAACCCCUGUGCUACUUCGCGAGAUGAAUCUAUUAAGGCUAAUUCAUCCAUCAUUAUCAAAUGGUUACUGUAGCACCACAUUAUCAAAUUAUGGACUAAUUAGGCUUAAUAGAUUCAUCUCGCGAAUUAGACUCCAUUUGUGCAAUUAGUUUUGUAAGUAGUCUAUGUUUAAUACUUCUAAUUAGCAUCCAAACAUCCGAUGUGACAGGUGCUAAACUUUAACAGUGGGGAUCCAAACGGGGCCUAAGUCUGUGGUGCCCAACGAUCUCUUUCUUCUAACUCAUGCUUGACUGUGACGGUGCUAUUAUAUAUUAUUGCAUGAUCAUCAGGAUAAGAUCGUAUAGUGACUGAGUGAGACAUGUAUGUACUAACUUGCAUUUAUCCAAGAAGAGGCACAUGAGUAGUGGUGCAUGCAUCCACACCUUGGCAUGCUGCAAACUUUUAUGGGUCCAUAUGUAUAGCCAAGUAAACUAUUUUAUCCUGCUGCAAGCUGCAGACAUAAGUUUAUUUAACCUUUGUUCACAAUCACUUCCACUGUCGUCGCAAUUGCCAAAGACAAGCUCACCAAUGCUAUUGCGGAGCAGGCCAAUUUCCUGUGGAACUUCGGCGACGACCUGAAGGACAUGAACUCGGUGCUGGAGUCCAUCUCAGCAGCGCUUCAGGACGCUGACACCGGUAGAAAAACGACAUUCCAUCCUCAACAAAAAUCCUAGCAUCCUCUACUCAGUCAGAUGUACUGUGUAGGUGAGAUGGUAAGGAAGCUAUGCGCGAGGCUUGAGGUCGUGAGUUCGAAUCCCAUGCACCACGCACGCACGCGCAUAUUUCGCGUGACUUGUGAUCAGCCAAGGAGAAAUGGGUGCAGCUGUUGCUUAAGUGCCUGAGGCACACUGCCAUAGACAUCUCGGAUUUGCUCGAAGACUACCAAGAAACUAGGAACCCUUAACAGCAAAGGUGAGUACUUAUGUAUGUCAGCAUCUAUGUUGUCCAUGCUUCCAAUGCAAUAACACGAAGGACUACUCUUCCUAGCGGACUCUUCACAAUCACUCGUAAAGGUAUGCGUUUCUCAAUGCAAUUUCAUAGAAGGCAAUCGAUCCAACCAAGCGACUAAAUCAUUCGUCCUUGCCAAUGAUGUGCAUCAGGUUUUCUAUAUGAAGGGCAUGUCUAGCAAACCCAAGAUUUCAGAACAAAAGAAAAAUCAUGUGAGCCAAAGCGCCACAUUGUUCUUCCAAGUAAAAAAAAUCAUGGGAGUCAAGAACAAAUCAGACCAAUCAGGGGAUUAUUGUCAGCUUGAUGGCAUGCCUCCAUUCGAUGUCGAAGUUGACCCAAGCAUCAUGUUAGCCAAAGUUCAAAUGUUCGUGCGUUGCUAUGGUAAAUAUCAAUUGUGUUUUUUAAACUCAUGGAUUUUUUUAUCUAAGUUUUUAUUACACUUAUUGGAUGUCUACACAUUUGCUAGAAAACCAAAAUAAUUUUGACUUAAUUAUUUCUUUCAACUCAAAUACUCAUUAAAUUUCUACGUUUUUAUUUAAGCAAGAGAGUUGCUACAAAAAAAUGGAUACGUAACCAUAUUGUAUCAUACAAAGCAACCACAUUUCACAUAUAGUCCGGCUUUGCAAACACCAUUGUUAUCUGAACAUAGCAUACAUGAGUUAGUAGACAUGGAUAUAUUUCUAAUUGCAAGUAGCAUAUAACCAGCCUGCACCGACGCAGCUCAAUAUGCGAUAAUUUUUAUCUUCCCAUGUAAUUUUUCUACUCUAGUACAUAUUGAACUCCACAUAAAUGUGAUCUUUCACGCCACAUACGGUUCCUAAAGUUUGGAAACUAAAUAGAUAGCCAGAAAUUUUUUAGAAAGUAUUUAUAUGGAUACAUGUAUGUUCUUCGCAAACUAACAGUAUUGUUUACCAAUAUCAAAAGGAAUAUGGCUAGGAUCAUUGCCGCAUAUGGCAGGUGAUGGUAAAGUUAUCAACUGCAAAGUAUUAGGCCUCGUUGAGCUCUACAAUUUUGAUAUAAAGUUUCUAUUCAUCCGAGAUCAAAUGAAAAAGUUGGUACUCAAAACAUACAUCCAUUAAUCUAGUCGUGCUAAUACUUACCACUAAAUGAAAAACUAGCAUGUGUUGUGUGUUUGUGACCCUAAACGAUCACAAAUGAAUAACUUAUGGGCGUUGCUAGCGCCCGAACGUAUGGUCCGGGGUGCUAGCAUCGGAUGCACGAGCAGCCGUCCGAUCAGGUCCGACACCACUUCAGGAUCUGGCUCAAAAAAAAGUCCCACCGAAACAUUGUUCCAUGUUGCAUAAAAUAUCCCACUAUCCAUUGCUGGGUCUAGAGCAAGCACCAGCUUCCAAUAUGCUGCUCACCCAAGCUAAAUAGGGGCAUUAAAAUUGCAGAAAUAUGUCGCAUAUCCUUCUCAAAUUAAACUAAAUCGCAACAUCCGAAAAUUUCUUACACAAAACCAUGAAACAUAUCGAUUAGAUAGGUGUAACAAGAUGAAAUAUGGUAUGCAACAUAUAGAUUCUGAAAAACAGAUGAAACAUUAUUUAAUGAUUGUUGAAACAGUCGAGAAAAAUAGAUGUAACAUCUAAAAUUAAGAAAAGAAGCUUCAUGCAAAUUGCAAAAAGCUGAAAUAAGUGGUUGAAACAUUUCAAAUCACCAAAUGCCACAUUUGAAAUGACUAGAUGAAACAUCACAAAAUCAAUUGCAACAGUUGAAGAUGAAAACAAUCAAAUGCCUUGCCUUUCUCUAGAUUUGACCCUCAAGCAUGAGUCCAGCCAUUUGCACAUUAGACCCUUGGGAGGAGCUCACCGGAGAACAACAAGACCUUGUUCUCCAACAAUUUUCCGAUCAAAUUGCAACAUAAAAAACAAAGCAUUGCAACAUCUGGCGGUAUCAUGAGCUACAACAUCAACCAGUUAGGAUCAGGAGAAAGAGGGCAAACACAAGCCUAGCAAUGAGUUAUAUCCGGUUUAAACGAGGAUAAAAAUGAGUGUAUUUUCCACUCAUCAUGUUGUCUUUUCGCAGCUGUACCGCCUUUAGUGUGUUGUAUUGUUCCCCUAACACCAAGUCUCCGAGGUCCGUGAAAAUAAGGAAAGUGAUAGCAGCCCAGAAAUCGACCAAGUUUCUUUCCCCCUUUGGCUUUCCUACUAGGAUUCGGAAUCCUCUUUCGCAUGACAAUCUUAAUUAUCUCCCGUAGUCCAAAACUCACAAAAACAUUAAACAUCCUCCGAGAAUAAAUUAAGUAAAAAACAUGCACACACCAAUAAUAAUAAUAAUCUUGUUUCAAAAAAAUUGCUAAGGCCAGAGAUAAUACAAAAACAUAUUAGACUGUUCAUGACACAUAUCACGGUGGACAGUGUUUGUGUCCUUAUUACAAGCAACGAGAGGAAUUAUAUAUGCUUGUCACCACACACACGCGCGCACAGAUGCACGACAUACAUAUAGUUGAGACCAACAGAUGGAUCGACUAGAGGUGGCCCCAUAUGGUGAACAAUUUAUUGGAGAUAAACAUUAACAUAACUUGGCCAUAGCUUGAAGCAUAGCAACAUAUGCGUAUGAAUGGCAUUGAUGCUAUCGUUUUAGGCUUGUCCAGAUAAUAAUAUCUGGUUUUAAGCAUAACAUGGUUUUUACUUAAUUUAUCUGUGCGUGCGAUAAUAAACCAGAUAAUAGCUUGAAACAUGUUGUGCAUUGGCACCACACGCACGAGAAUAAAUUAAGUAAAAAACAUGCACACAUAGAUAAUAAUAAUAAUCAAGUUUCAGUAAAAUUGCUAAGGCCAGAGACAAUACAUAAACAUAUUAGACUAUUCAUGACACAUAUCACGGUGGUCAGUGUCUGUGUCCUUGUUACAAGCAGCGAGAGAUGCUUGUCACCACACGCACGCGUGCACAGAUGCACAACAUACAUAUAGUUGAGGCUGCAAUUUAUAGGCAGCUGCGCUAUGUGAUGAUAUGGACAAGGUGCAAAUGGGUGGUCCUGAUAUGGAUAAGGUGCGAAUGGCUGUCUACUUGUAUUGUGUAGCUCCAAUGUACGUAUGUAUCUUAUACAUGUAUACAGUUGAUGGAUAAGGUAUACAGUCUUUGUUACCAAGUAAUUUUACUUUCGCACGUUUCAGCCGAGAGGCAGAAGAGAAUAUUUUACAGAGAGGGCAGAGAAGGAGGUUGGUAGGGUUCCCCGUGUCGCCAAGAUUUUUGCAUUUUACAUGUGUGUAUAGAUCACUUCGUCGUGCGGCGCCCUACUCCAGGUUGUACCCCAGCAGACCACGUUCUGUUUCUCUGCCUCCACAAGGACCACAAGACUUAGUAAAAAAAGCUAAACUUUGCAACACGAUGUAUACAGAAUUAGUAGCUAGAUCUAUAUAUGAAAUUCAUCCUAAAACUGAUAGGUGGAGAGAAGUAAAAAAUACCAAUUUGAUUUCCUAUCUGAUUAGAGGAAAUAUGGAUGGAUCGGUCGCAAUUAGCGAAGUGGCUCCAAUUGACAUAAAAGGUGUGCAUUGCAUUCAGCAAGAAAAAUUGAGUUUCUACUGAAUCUAUGAAAAAAAAUGAGCUUACGUUAUCAUAUAUAGGCAUAAAUUAAAAUGACAAGAAAUUCCAACCACGGUAUAUAAGACCAAUAAUUGGAAAGAUGGAUGAAAGGAAGAUAGGGUUUAAAUUAAAGUCUCCGCAUAGGCAGUUUGACUAUGAUCAAUUUUACCUGUAUUUCUCAAUAUGUAGAUAAUUCUAUGCCAACAAUUAAAAACUAAUACAUAAUUUGACACGGUGCACCUUGAGAACGUUUUGAAAAUGUACUCUCGUUACGCGUUCACCUCCUUAACAAUAACUGCGACUGUAAAAUAGGUACAUCGACGCUAGCUAAAUAAACAACUAUAAGAUUUAGCAAGAGAUCAUUUUAUACAAUCCUGUAACGAAAGAAUUUGACAAUUAUAUUGUCCAUAUAUUUUGACGAAAAACGUCUAAAUUAUAUAAGGUGGGCCCGAAACAGUUGGAUUAGCAUAUGGUUACCCGUUUGUUGUCUUCCGGCCCUAAAAAAAGGACCAUCUUACUGAAAAAGGUUCUAUUAGCACAAGUAGAGAACUGACUUUCGAUGCACCCCCUUUUAUCCCGGUUUAAAGUAGGCCCGGGAGAAAAGGGGGUGCGCCAUGGUAGGCAAAAAUAGAGGGGAGAUUUACUCCCGGUUGGUAUUUGCAACCGGGACUAAAGGCCACCCUUUUGUCCCGGUUGGAGCCUCCAACCGGGAAAAAAGGGUGGGUGGACCUUUUGUCCCGGUUGGUGUUACCAACCGGGACAAAUAGUUUACUCCCGGUUGGAGGUUCCAACCGGGAGUAAACUUUUAGUCAUUUUGUCGGCCCUUUUGUCCCGGUUGGAGCCUCAAACCGGGAGUAAACUUUCAAUCGGGACAAAAGGUGUUUCUUUUUGUGUCAGUUGGAGUUUCUAACUGGGAUAAAAACUCAUCCCCAUUAUAUACCAAGACAGAGGUCUUUCUUCCUCCUCCAGCCCGAGCCAGUCCACCACAAAGACAGAGAGCUCAGCUUCACCUACUCUCCGGUGGUGCCGAAGCAAGGGAGGUGCUGCCCGAAUUUUUUUACCCUCAUUUUCGUGGGAAUUUCACUCAGCCAACACAAGUGUUGUGAAGGUUUGCUACUUCAUCCUCGUGUUACGCUUUGAUUUAUGCUUUGGAGAUGGAAAGUUUAUUUGCUAGAAUGUGAUGAAGUAGAAAAUGGAGAGGUACUUUAAGCUAGAAUGUGAGGGAGAUUGAUGUGUCAUAUAUAGUAUGUAUUCUUGCAGUGAUUUAAGAAUGAUGCUACCUUGUCUAGACGGUUUAUCUUAUCAAAUUCAAUAUGGUUUUUCAAAUUCAUACUUAUUGAACUUGCAUACCGUGUUCAUGUCGGCGAGAAUGUUCUACGAGAAAGAGUGGAUACGGACAUCGUGACCGUAUCCCCUUUUUCGUAGAAUCGAACCUCUUUCAUGACGAAGUGCGAUGCCGCCCAGUUGAGAACAUGCUCGCCAGAUGAUCACGGUCUUCAAGUUCAACAAGUUCUGUAGGCAUACCGUGAUCAUCUCGGUAAGCAUGUUCUCCGUGGAGCAGCAACGGACGUCAAGGAGGAGGUUCGAUUUUACGAGAAAGAGAGGCAACAGACAUCGUGGAUGACUGUGUCCCCUUUCUCGUAAAAUCGAACCUCUUCCAUGACGAAGUAUGGUGCCGCUCAGUUGAGAACAUGCUCACCGAGAUGAUCACGAUCUUCAAGUUCAACAAGUUCACCGCUAAGGUAAGAAUUUUUGUACAUAGAUGGCUUCUGCUACUGGAGGAAGUGGCGAUGGUGGGGGCGAUCGUCGUUCCUCUUUCGGCAAGGGGAAAAUCAUAGUUGGCCCUCAGGAUAAGCCGAAGAAAAUGAGCGCGUUGGAGAAAGCAAUGCUUCGUUAUUUGCAGAAACGUCAUGAAGAAGCUGUUGCCGCGGGUCAGGAACCUCCUUUUGGUUGUCGUUAUGCUCCACCCUCAGUCCCGGGUGUUUCACGUCCACUUAGUACUACCAUUUCAGGUGGCACAAAUAAACCACAGGAUGAGGCUGGGUCAGCGGAACCUUCAUCUUCACCGCCCAAGGAUGCUUAAAGUCCUCCUAGAUAAUAACCAGUGGAUGGCUUGUUGUAUUGUAUCAUGUUGUUUGGAUAUUUAAUUUAAAUAUGUGUAUUUGUAUCUAUAUCUAAACUUUCAGCAUUAUUUGCACUACAACGUUUGACAUGCUUUCAAUCAUGAAUCCAUUUUCAAGUGUAAUCAAUUUUCACGCGUAAUCCAUUUUCAAGUGUAAUCAAUUUUCACGCGUAAUCCAUUUUCAAGUGUAAUCAAUUUUCAUGUGUAAUCCAUUUUCAAGUGUAAUCAAUUUUCACGCGUAAUCCAUUUUCAAGUGUAAUCCAUUUUCAUGCGUAAUACGAUGCAGAUGGACCGGCAAUGGAUGUAUAAUGCAGACAGACGGAGCAAGGUGUUUAUUGAUGGCUUGCAUUAUUUUCUCGAAGUGGCCAAAGCGAACAAGCCAGAGAAUGGGAUCGUAUGUUGUCCAUGCUUCCAAUGCAAUAACAAGAAGGACUAUUCAAAGGAUUCCUGGGGGACUAUUCACAGCCACUUGUUUAGAUACGGUUUCAUGCCUAACUAUUUGGUUUGGACCAAGCACGGUGAAAGAGGGGUUGUAAUGGAAGAUGGUGAGGAGGAGGAGGAGGAUGGCAACAUUCCGGACUAGGUUGCAGGCCAAGCUUUUGCAGAUACUACAAUGGGCGAGGCUGAUGAAGAUGAGUUUGCAGAAAAUGGCCCUACGAUGACCUUGGUCAGGUGCUACGAGAUGCACACAGAGAUUGCGAAACUGAGAAGGAAGCAGCAAAGUUGCAACGCAUGAUAGAUGAUCACCAAAAAUUGUUGUACCCAGAUUGCCAGCAGGGCCAUAAAAAACUAGGUACGACACUAUAAUUUGUGCAAUGGAAGGCAAAAAAUGCUGUGUCCGAUAAGGCAUUUCAGGGGAUGUUGAACAUUGUCUAGAAGAUCAGGCGAGAUGAUCCUGGUGAUGUCGAGGGGCAGUCUCCCAAGAAGAGAGUUCCCGCGAAGGUGAUGUGGUAUUUCCCUAUAAUACCACGCUUGAAGCGCUUGUUCAGGAACAAGGCAAAUGCUAAGUUGAUGCGAUGGCACAAAGAAGAACAUAUGGAAGAUGAGAUGCUGAGACACCCCGCAGAUGGGGCCCAGUGGAGAUCAAUUAAUAGAGCAUUCCCGAACUUUGAAAGUGAAGCAAGGAACAUAAGGUUUGGUUUAAGUAUUGAUGGAUUCAAUCCAUUCGGUGAGUUGAGUAGUGGCUAUAGUACUUGGCCUGUGACCCUAUGUAUGUUCAACCUUCCUCCUUGGCUGUGCAUGAAGCGGAAGUUCAUUAUGAUGCCGGCGCUUAUCCAAGGCCCAAAACAACCCGGCAAGGGAUAUGGAACAGAGGAGUUGAUCGAGUUUUGUGUUGAUUUUAUUGACUCAAUUGACUCGAUUGGGGUUCCAACUUCACGCCACGAGGGGAGGCUCCGGGGAAUGGGCACCCUUGGAAGGAAAUCAAGUUUGAGCAAUGAUACUGAUUUGUUCGACAAGGCACACUACACUGUUCUGCAAUAGUCAUCCUUUGUGUCUCCCUAUAUCGAGCAGCACAGGCAGAUGGUAGUUUUCCAAAAACCUGACGAAAUCCGAUGCUUGGCUUACACAUCAUCACAUGGAAACUUUUUCCUCCUGGUUGCGCCAACAACUCAUGGGUAACUCUGAGAUUUACCUACAGCUCGCUUGGUUAGCCAGGGGACCUGCUAGCACAAUCGUGAAAUUUCAAGACUAUGAGAUAAAUGGUUAUACAUUUUACACGAGAGCCUAGGACCAGAAAAGCACGAACCAGAAUAGUGGUGUCCGCAUAGAUGCCAUAGAUAGAAAUAAUAACAAGGAGUCGUAUUAUGGUUUCAUACAGGAGAUAUGGGAACUCGAAUACGGACCGCUGUACAUCCCUGUAUUUCUUUGCAAUUGGGUGAAGCUAACUGCCGUAACCAAAGAUCAGUACGGAAUGACAAUAGUAGAUCUGAGCAAGACUGGAUACAGUGAUGACCCAUUCGUACUUGCGAAUGAUGUGCAUCAGGUUUUCUAUGUGAAGGACAUGUCUAGCAAACCCAAGAGAAAUCCAGAAGAGACAUGGGAGCCAAAGUGCCACAUAGUUCUUCCAGGUAAAAGAAAAUCAUUGGAGUCGAGGAUAAAAUAGACGAAUCAGAUGAUUAUGAUCAGUUUGAUGGCAUGCCUCCAUUCGCAGUUGAAGUUGACCCAAGCAUCCUGGUAUCCAAAGAAGAGGCUCCAUACUUACGCCGCGAUCAUGAUCAAGGAACUUUCGUGAAGAAGAAAUUUUACAACGUUGUAUUGUAAUGCGCUAAAUUUACUUGACCUUUGUGAAGUACUUGAUACAAUUUUUAAUUUAACCUAUGUAUGAUUUCAUGUGUUCUUAAAUUUGUUGAGGUGAAGAUUUAUUAGAUAAACAUGAACAAUGUUAACCACACACAUACAUGGAUUAUUUUUGCGCGUUGAAAUUAUUUAAUUGAAUAAUUUCUCGAUCAUUGCGAUGCAGUAAAAUAAUUAUUUUAGAGGCUAAACGAACUGGUAUAGAAUUAAUGACUAAUUCACACUUAUUGUCAAUAUACUUGCUAAUUAAAUAUAUUUUUGCAUAUUCAAAAUAUGUGAAUUUUUUUGUUUUUGCAUCCUGAAAUGCAGUGAAAACAUACAUAAAAUCCUUUUCCAAAAAAUAGGCGGGAGAUGAAAGUGUGGGAAAAGGCACUUUUGUCCCGGGUGCCAAUAGAAACCGGGACAAAAGGACCUUUUAUCCCUGUUGCCAAAAGCAACCGGGAUCAAAGGCCGUCCCUUUUGUCUCGGGUGCCAACGCCAACCGGGACAAAAGGCCCCCUUUUUAUCCCGGUUGACAACUACAACCGGGAUAAAAGGGUAGUUUUCGUUUCCCGCUGGGGACGUACCCUUUUAUCCAGGUUACAGUUAGCAACCGGGAUAAAAGGGGGGGCCCUUUUGUCCCGGUUGGUGUUGGCACCCGGGAUAAAAGGGCCUUUAGUCCCGGGUUCAAUUACGAACCGCGAUAAAAGGGGGGAGGGAUAAAAGGCACUGUAGCCUCUUCUACCACCACCCCACGCUAGUUACGACACUUAGCCAAAUUUUCACCGCUGCCAAGAUCCCGCGCCCUUCCGCCAGCUCCGUCACCGCCCAUCCGCCUCCCUCGCCGGCCGCCGUCGUCCUCGUCGUCCAUCGCCCCGGCCAUCAUCGUCCCGCCGCCCGACCGCCUCGCCCGCGCCCAGACCACCUCCUCCUCCAUCGCCCCGGCCCGCCUCCGAUCCUCCUCCGUCGUGCCCCCUCGACCUCGUCGCAGCCGGCCGCCUCCAUCGCGGGGCCUCGUCCCCGCCUCAGUCAACGCCACAUUCUCUGUCGCCGCCUCAUCACCGCCUCUGUCGCGCGCGCCGCCUCCGUCCCUCGUCGCCGUCCGCCUCCGCCCGUUGUUGCUGUGGCCACCUCGCUCCGUCCCCGCCUCCGCCGUCCCACCGCCCCGGCCGCCGCCGUCCCGCCGUCCCGGCCAUCUCGUCGCCCAGCUAGGCACCGCGUGAGGUCCGCCGGCACUGGCACCGGGAAUGAACAGCUCUUGCUGACGCAAACCCACCGGCUUGCGUAAGCAAGGACCUUUUUUAUUUUUUAGUUAGAAAAUGAAUAGAUAUUAGUAGAUUAGUUAGAAAAUCAAUAGAUAUUUGUAGAUUAGUUAGAAAAUCAAUAGAAAAUCAGUUGAUAAAUUUUGUAGAAAUUCAUUCAAAUUAGUAGGAAUUAGUUGUAAUUUGCUAGAAAUUCCAAUAAAUAUGUUGAAAUUAGUAGAAAUUUGGUAGAAAUUCUUACAAAGUACUACUAAUUUGUUGAAAUUUGUAUAAACAUUCCGAACUUUGUGGGAUUCAUGUUAUUGUAAAAUUAUUAGGCAUUAGUAGAAAUUUUGUAGAAAUUCCAAUAAAUAUGUAGAAAUUAGUAGAAAUUUUGUAGAAAUUCAUACAAAGUACUACUAAUUUGUUGAAAUUUGUAUAAACAUCUUGGAUCAGCGCUUGGUUUGUUGAAAUUUGUAUAAACAUCUCGGAUCAGCGCUUGGGUUGUGUAAGUGUCCGUUUAUCUACAUGUAAAUUUUGCCUCAUAUCAUUAUUUUUUUUGCGUGCGUCACCGUACUAACUUCGUCUUCCAUUUUAUGUAGCAUGCUAAUUCAGACGUGCCGACGAGAGGCGUACCUACAUAUUGGCUUCAUGGGUCCAUCCGUAGUUAACCAAAAACAGAUACAAUUAUCGCCGGAAAAAACCUUGGUGGAAGUAUACAAUUUCCUAGACAAACAAAAAUUCAAGGAUUUCAUACUACUUCCAUACAACUUCAGGUAAGUGUGUGUAUACCGUCUACUUUCGUUGUCUUUUUCCUUACCUGAUUAAUUAGUUAGCUCUAAUAUGCAUGAACAUUUUACGUACGCAGCUUCCACUGGAUCCUUAUUAUAAUUGAGCUUGAAAGAAGCCACGUCACUGUCUUCGAUUCGUUGAGGAAAGAUCCGGUGGAGUACCAAGACAUGCAAGACAUGCUAGGCUUGUAAUAAUUUUGGACCUUUAUCUCUAUGCAAAAGUUUGUUUCCUAAAUUUUAUCCCUGUUACACUAUAUCAUUCAUUAUUCUAAUCCGCAGCGCAUGGAAACAAUUCAUAAGGACACACAAAGGUCCAUUCAAAGAAAAACUUACAUGGAACACAGACUUCCUGGUACGUAUGAAGUCUGCACAUUUAGUACAUUGUAUAACACGAAUAUUUCAUAACUUAUUUUUUUCGACACUGAAGUGCUUAAGACAGGAACUCGGGAAUAAUCUAUGUGGCUACUACAUCUGUGAGCACAUGCACAUUUUUAUGGGACCCAAGGGACUAAAGAUGACGCCGCACAACUUUAAAGUACGUAAAAUAAAACUAUUACUAGUUAAUUAUUUUCUAGCUCCUUAUAUUUAAUUGUUCGUGUAACAUUCACAAAUUUCCAAAUUAUAGAUGUUAAAUAUUCAACAAGGACUCUUGAAGAAAAAAAAGGGUAGCGGCAAUAUGUGAAGGUCUCGUUGGAUUCCUAAUGGACGAGGUGGUAAAUCCACAGGGAGAAUUUUAUUACGAUGGACGACAAUUAGACGCUCCGAGCAACACCUCGACGGGAAGAUUGUAGAUAUAUAGUUUGAUUUGUAUACAUAACACGCGCUAAGAUCGAUUUGUAUAUAUAGGUGAUUUCAUUAUACUAGUUGAAUUGUGUAUAUGAAUUGCGUAUAUAUAGUAAUUGUAUAAUUACAAAUUUCAUUCGUUUAAAUACUAGUUGAUUUCAUUAUAAAAAAAGUCUCAACUACUAAAGGUUAACAAAAGGGCCGCGGUACUACGUACGUGAUGCAUGAAAAUUUAAGAUGCCAUGCAGGAAAAUUUAAAUAGGACUUUAGUCCCGGUUGGGAAACCCAACCGGGACUAAAGGGGCACCCUUUACUCCCGGUUGCUUUUCCCAACCGGGAGUAAAGGGCCUGUCCCGCGCCAACCGGGACUAAAGGGUGACCUUUACUCCCGGUUGAAGGACCCGGGACUAAAGACCCCCCCUUUUGUCCCGGUUGGUUUAUCCCGGAUGGAUUUUCGAGAGAUAUGCACCCUACCAACCGGGACUAAAGGCGAGUUCUCUACUAGUGUAGGCCAUGCAGCCGGCUCUGUGGUACCAAAAAGAAAUUUUUGACAUGGUUUACAUCGAGAACGUUUUGAAACUAGACUUUGGUACGCAGUUCACCUUCUUAACAAUAACGGCGUACAUAGACGCUAUCUAAAUUGACCACUUUAAGAUUUAGCGAGAGAUCUAUUUUUUUAAUCCCGUAGCGAGAUCUAUUUUUAUAAUCGCGUAGCGACUGUACGAAGGACUGAAAAAUAAGUUUGAUUACCGUAUAUAGUUAGCCAACUCGUUAAUGGAAUAAACGAUAGAGUUCUGCGAGGCAGACUAGCCUUUCACACGCACCAACUGAACCAGCUGGCAUGAUGUAUUUGAUCUUACUCCCUUGGUCCCAUGGAAAGGUAGAAAUAACCAUAUAUAGGCAUGUAAUUAUCAGUUAUACUUAUGGGAUACUUAGAUGACUUGAUGUAUGAAUCAAGAAAAUGCAUCGAUCGAGAACUUACGGGGAUCAUCUCAAUAAUUUAGAGACCAUGCGCAUAUAUAUUGUGGAAGGUGUGCGUGAGGGUCGUUAUCUAUAUCCUGUGUUAGAAAAAGAUUGCAUAUAUAGUUAAUGUUUGUCUUUCUUCGGAUGGCACGUUAGCUGACCAUUGACAACAUGUGAUGAUUUUACUAACAUCAAAAUUAGGCAUGCCCCAUUUUUUAAUUGGUGCAUGGAGUGGGAGGUUUUGGUGGGUGAGCAUUGGUGUGCAACUCGUGUGCGUGAGCAUGUGUGCGUAAGAUAAUGUGUUUUGUUAGAAAAAGAAGAUAAUGCCUCUAAACAAUCCAGAAUAGAAGGCGGGCCCUGACGACAAGAUAAUACCUUACGCGGCGAUGUCUCAACGUGUCACCUGGGGCGGCUUUUGCAGUUUCCCCGUACACACACUAAGAGCCUCCGACCCUUUUUUGUCAAACCUUCUCUUGUAGUCAUGCAUAUAUCCAUGAUGAUUUGAGUCUACUGAUUGACAGUUAGAUAUUUUGCUUGUUUGUGAGAAUUUUUAGUUUCUAUUUUUUUAGAGUGUCCACCUAGGAUCCUAGGUGGCUUCACCUGAAAGCUUCAAAAGAAGCGUCCAAAUUAGUAAUCAUAAGAUUUUCUCAAAAGAGACUUAAUUCUACCACUAUACCUUGAUUGGCGGCCCGAGCCUCUACCUUUGUCUCCACUUGACUAUUUGAGUUGGCUCAGAACGGUUCACCGCGCUAGCAACGUUACGUUUGAUCCCAAUGCCACCACUCAUGUGCGCCACCUGUAUUCUACCAAGUGGCAUGUGGUAAUGCCAUGUUUGUUUUAAUUUCGUCCAUCAGCAUUCACAAUGAUAUCAUCACCAUUAUGUAAUUAUCCCACUUUUAAUUUUCUUGCAACUCUGUGAAGUUAACAGUCUCUGAUCAAGUUUCCGAGGAUUGCUAUAUCUUUGUUUAUUAUCUACGGAAGUUGACAGCACAUCCACCAUAAUUCAUGGCCCACCAGACUCUAAGUCCACUGCGAGUAUAUAUUAAUUUGUUUUAAUCCGACUAUACUAGAUGUGUACCAAUCAUUCGAUAUGAGGGACGAACUAAUUGUUUCUUGUCGACUAUUGCACCGUACCUCUCGUUUUCCAAACAAUUAAAAGGUACCCUUCCGUGAUGGUUGUACCGAUACCGACUAUCUAUAUUAUUGCUUUCUUGAGCAUACCAAACGAGUUAAUUGGUAUGAUGAUGUUAUAGCUCAUUUAUAUAUGCUUAAAUACAUACACCGGUAGAAAACUCGCCUUUAGUCUCGGUUGGUACGUGUUAGACACCUAAUCCUUGCAUUGAUGGCUAAUCCUUCCAGCUUUUGUCUUCACGCACGCAUGCAUUGAUAGCCUCCUGCGGAUGGCCUUUCAGCUACUGCGCCGUUCAACUUCUGUGGCCUGUCCGGCUUCUUCCUUUCCCCAUAUAAUGUAAUACGUUCAACUCAAAUGAAUGAAAUCAAAUUAUGCGUGUAUUAUUCUCGCUUUCAGUAGGGGCCAAAUCUCCCGAAAAUCCAUCCGGGAUAAAGAUGAGAAAUUAAUCCAUGCGUGGCUUCAUGCAAAUUUGUUCAGAUCAGGUUUGAACAGCAUGUAAUCUUUUUCAGGCAUCUAUAUGGAGCGUGGGGGUGUUAUGUUAUCUUCUACUACACAUAUAACAUUAAAUUCAUUCAGUUUGGCUGAGAGCCCAAAAUGCAACGAAUAUGCCAUCCAACGUGAAAAAAAGAUGUGGAACAGUAUACUCUAUCUUCGAAAUUAAUUAACGAGAUUCAGCUUCAAAAGAGAUAAGAGCAGACAAGAGGCACAUGGGUGCAUGCAUCCACACCUUGGGAUGCUGCAAAAUUUGGGAUCACGUGUGCGGAUCCCUAAUUAGGAAAAAAGAAUAAUUGUGCUAGCAAAAUGUGGAACACGACUGCCGGCCCAGUUGGCGCUAAGACAUCGUACGUGCAUUAAGUCUGAGGUGCCCAACGAUCUCUUUCUUUAACUCAUGCUUGACUGUGACGGUGCUAUUAUAUAAUAUUGCAUGAUCAUCAUGAUAAGAUCGUAUAGUGACUGAGUGAGACAUGUACUAUAACUUACAUUUAAGCCUCGAACUGUGUGUCGUUACGUGAGCUGCCUCCUCUCCUCGCCUCUGAAUUAUUGAACCGUUUCCAACAGUGUUGGUCUCGACGAAAUUUGACACCAACCAGAUUUAUGAAGAAAAGAGAAUAAUACUUGGAAUUGGGAAAAGUUGAUCUCUCUUUACAAUGGGUAGGUGCUCCCCUUUUAUAGUGACCCAUGAGCCACUUUACAUUCCGAAAAUAUCCUUUCUCAACCACUACAUUCCUAGGAUAUGCCGUACAAAUUGAACUCUUCCACGUGGUCACAUUUCUCACGCCUCCUGUUUUCCAACCUCGAGACUUCAUCUUCACGCCAAGUUGAUCAUCUAGCCUCGAGGCUCCAUCCACGAUCCGGAAUGAAGGUCCAGCCUCGAGGCUCCUGCUUGUUAGAAGAACCGUCGUAUGAGACGAGGAUUGUAUCUUAGAGAUAAGAGUUGUUAUGGUUUGAGUUGGCCGGCUAGUAGAUAGAGAUAGAAUCUUGAUGUAUUUGAAUGCUGGCUAAACUUUAUCUAUAACAACAUGCAUUGUAAUCUGUUGGGACUUUCCCCCUAUAUAAACAUGCAACCACGGCGAGCCAAGAUAGGGCAACCGUGUUCAACUCUUUUGACAUGGUAAUCAGAGCCCUUCUUCCAUAAAAUACAUCUACAUCUACACCACCUGGCGCACGCCACCUUGUUGCCUGGCACACGUCAUCACCUUGCAUGCAACAGUCAUGGUGUCAUCAUCGUCAUCGUCAGCCACUGCACCCACGGCGGCGCAGCUUGGAGCUCCUGUAGCUGAAAAGCUUACAGGGGAGAAUUAUGUCUUAUGGAGGGCUCAAUUCUUGCCUGCUGUGCGGGGCGCGCAGCUCAUGGGAGUCCUCAACGGAUCUGUCAAGGAGCCCGGCCAAGACCAUGGAACUGGUGAAGGCUGACGGCAAGAAAGGGUAGCAUGACUUCAUCAACUUACUACACCAAGAUGGUGGCUAUCAAAGAUGAGUUGGCGGCAGUAGAAGUCAUUAUUGACGAUGGUGAGAUGGCAUCUUACAUACUUAAUGGUCUUGAUUUCGAAUAUAAUCCGUUUGUGUCCUCGAUGCUUGGCUGUGCUGAUUCCCUCUCUCUUUCCGAUCUAUACUCUCAUCUGUUGUUUUAUGAGAUGCGCCUGGAAGCAUAUAAUGAAGCGGGACAAUAUACAUCUUGGGCAAACUCAUCUUCUCGUGGAGGAUUUCGGGGACACGGCAAUGGCGGUCGUGGCAAUGGAGGGCGCAAUUGAGGGCGCACCAACGGUGGCCGUGGCCAGAACCGUGGUGGCCAGAACAACAGCAACAGUAGCAGUCAGCCCAAGAAAGUAAUCUGUCAAAUCUGCAAGAAUGUAUGUCCAUGAAGCACCAAGAUUCUGGUAUAGAUACGACGAAGAUGAGCAAGAAAAGGUUGCCGGCACAACAGCUACAAGCUAUGGUUAUGAUACUAACUGGUAUACAGACAGUGGCGCAACCGACCACAUUACUGGCGAGCUUGACAAGUUGACCGUCAAGGACAAGUAUAAUGGUCGAGAUCAAGUACAGGCUGCUAACGGUCCAGGUAUGAAAAUUAGUAAUAUUGAUCAUUCAACUUUACAUAUGCUGGGUAGAAAAUUGCAUCUAAACAAUAUCCUUCAUGUUCCUAUUGCUCACAAAAAUCUUGUUUCCAUCCAUAAAUUAGCUUCCGAUAACAAUGCCUUCCAUGAAUUUCAUCCAAAAUUCUUUUUCAUUAAGGCCCUAUUUGGCAUGGCUCCAACUCUAGGUGGAGCUACUCUACUCCAAAAAUCCAGGUGGAGCCAGCUUUGGGUGGAGUUGGAACUGUCUAGAUGGGGUGUUUGGCUAGAAGAGUGCAUCAGCUCCAAAAAAGACCGAUCUCAGUGUGGAUUGCCAUUGUUGCCCCAAAUUCAAGCCCCACUUUUCAUCCUCUAUAUCCCCAUCUUCUUCUUCCUCAGAAGGCGUGGAUGCAUGGAGAGAAAUCAAAUCGACUCGGCAUUAGAGCGGCGAGAUUUGGACGCGAUCGAUCAAAAUCAAUCGAUUAAAAAAAAAUCUCUCACCGCCACCAGGCUUGGGCGGCGCUGCGAAUGAUAGAGUGGCCGAGGCCACGGGCGCUGGGGAGUACGCGGCAGGCGCCUGCACCAUCGGCAGCAGCGUCAUGUUGGACACCUUGGCCGGCGCGUCCGGGUCCUCCGCGUCAGCAUCGUCAUUCUUGCCGGCUGCCGUCACCGCAUGCCGAUGCCCCAGCCUCUCAGCACCGACACGUCGUCGACUCCACUUCCUGGAAUGCCAUGCCCCCGGCCACGAUCGCCGCGCGCCAAAGUGAUCGUGGCUUUUCUAACAACCAUAUCGUAAUCAUAGGAUCUUCUCAGCGCAAAACUGUGCAGCUCCUUGCCUUUCUUUAGCAGAGCAAGUCCUGCACAAGCCCGCAGCAAGACCAACAUGCACUACUAGAGAAUUGACUUUCAAUCCCCCCCUUUUAGUCUCAAUUUAAUGUAGGCCCGAGAGAAAAGGGGGUGCGCUACGGUAGGCUGGAAUGGGGCGCACCUUUAGUCCCGGUUCAUGUUUAAAACCGGUACUAAAGCCCCCCUUUUGUCCUGAUUUGAGCGGCUAGAUUUUUGCCACCGACAGUGCCCCCCCUUUUGUCCCGGUUGGAGCCACCAACUGGGACAAAAACCUCGCCCUUUUUUUCUGGUUGGCAUUACCAACCGGGAUAAAAAGUUUACUCCUGGUUGGUAACUCAAACCGGGACAAAAGGUUGGCAUUUUCAUCCCGGUUGGAGCCACCAACCGGGAGUAAACACGAACCGGGACAAAAGAGCCAUACUUUUGUCCCGGUUUGGUUUACCAACCGGGAGAAAAUCUUUUCCCCCUUAAAGCUGCUUUCUUCCUCCUCCACUCGUCCAGCCCGAGCCACUCCACUCCACAAAGAUAGAGAAGCUCCAUCCUCUCCAUGGCGCCGAAGCAAGCCUAGGGGAGGUGCUGCCGAAUUUUUUUUCCUCAUUUUGUUGGGGACUUCACUCAUCCAAAGUGUUGUGAAGGUUAGCUACUUCAUUCUCUAUUCAUUUAUUAUUGUUAUGCUUUGUUUUAUACUUUAGAGUGGGAGAAGAAUGAGUUUGCUUGUUAGAAAGAGGGAGAAUGGAGAGGAUUUGUAUUUAUACAUGUUUUUGAGAUACAAUGUGAUGGAUAAUUUGAAUGUGAGGGAGAAUGGAGAGUAAAUGUGAGGUAGAAUGGAGAGGAUUUCAAUUUUAAGUAUUCGGAAAAACUAGAGUAAAUGUGUUUUUAAUCUUUAUACAUUAGCCAUAAAAUUAAGGUAAAUAAAUUGUAGGUGUAAUUUCAUAGUUUAGUACUUUUUAGAUAGAGUUAUGUAAUUAGCCAUUUUUAGAAUAUGUAAAUUAUGUGGGAAAUAUUGAAUUUUUUUAAUAGUUUAGUUAUUUGCAAAUAUGAGCUAAAUAAUUUGUGGUACAUAGAGAUGGCUUCUGCUGCUGGAGGUAGUGGCGAUGGUGGGGGAGAUCUUCAUUCCUCUUGCGGCAAGGGGAAAACUGUAGUUGGCCCUCACGAUAAGCCGAAGAAAAUGAGCGCGUGGGAGAAAGCAGUGCUUCGUUAUUUGCGAAGAUGUCAUGAAGAUGCUAUUGCGGCGGGUCAGGAACCUCCUUUUGGUGGUCGUUAUGCUCCACCGCCAUUCCCGGGUGUUUUAGGUCCACUUAUUAGUACUACUGUUGCAGGAGGUAUAGAUAAACCAUAUGAUAAGGCUGCGUCAGCGAAACCUUCAUCUUCGCCGCCCAAGGAUGCUUGAAAUCCUUCUAGAUAGUACUAAGUGGAUGGUUUGUCGUAGUGUAUCAUGUUGUUGUUGCUCUCAAAUUUAAAUUUGUGUAUUUCUACGUAAACUUUCAGCAACAUUUGAGUUUGUUGUAGUGUAUCAUGUUGUUUGGGUCUGAAAUUUUAAUGUGUAUUUCUAUCUAAAAUUUCAGCAAUGUGAUGGAUAGUUUGAUUGUAAUCCAUUUUAUUGACGGCUUGCGUAAUACGAUGCAGAUGGACCGGCAAUGGAUGUAUAAUGCAGACAGACGAACCAAGGUGUUUAUUGAUGGCUUGCAUAAUUUUCUCGAAGUGGCCAAAGCGAACAAGCUAGAGAACGGGUUCAUAUGUUGUCCAUGCACCCAAUGCGGUAACAACAAGGACUAUUCAAAGGCUGUCUAGGGGACUAUUCCCAGCCACUUGUUUAGAUACGGUUUCACACCUAACUAUUUGGUUUGGACCAAGCACGGUGAAAGAGGGGUUGUAAUGGAAGACGACGAAGAGGAGGAGGAUGAUGACAACAUUCCGGACUGGGGUGCAGGUCAAGCUUUUGCAGAUACUACAAUGGGCGAGGCUGAUGAAGAUGAGUUUGCAAAAGAUGGCCCUACUGAUGACCUCGGUCAGGUGCUAAGGGAUGCACCCAGAGAUUGCGAAACUGACAAGAAAGAAGCAAAGUUGCAGCGCGUGAUAGAUGAUCACCUAAAAUUGUUGUACGCAGAUUGCCAACAGGACCAUAAAAAACUGGGUACCACACUAGAAUUUAUGCAAUGGAAGGCUAAAAAUGGUGUGUCCCAUAAAGCAUUUUAGGGGAUGUUGGAAAUUGUCAAGAAGAUUUUUCCCGAGAAUAAUGAAUUGCCAUCCACAACAUAUGAAGCUAAACGGAUUGUUUUCCCUCUUUGAUUGGAGGUUCAGAAGAUACAUGCAUGCCCUAAUGAUUGUAUCCUCUAUCGCAGUGCUGAAUAUGAGGAUCUGGAUGCUUGCCCUGUGUGCGAAGCACUGUGGUAUAAGAUCAGGCGAGAUGAUCCUGGUAAUGUCGAGGGGCAACAUCCCAGGAAGAGAGUUGCCACGAAAGUGCUAUGGUAUUUCCCAGGAAGAGAGUUCCCACAUUUUGUACAAUAUUCUAUAUCACGAAUAUUUCAUAACUUGUUUGUUUCCCCACUGAAGUGCUUAAGACAGGAACACGGGAACGAUCUAUGUGGCUACUAUGUCUGUGAAAACAUGGAAAGUUUUGUAGACUUGGUCACAUACACUUGGUCCCACCCGUGAUACGAGCAGCCCAACAGCACAGUGUUCCAUGUCAGCAAGCUGGGCUCUAGCCCCGAUCUUGCCAUGCGCUUCGCGAGCUCCAGUGCGUUGUCGACAAGCCUGAGCCGCGUGCAGCACAUGAGCACCGCGUUCCACAUGACCGCCGUGGCCUCCGUCGUCUCAGCACCCAUGUGGCCACAGCGACGUCCGCGUUCUCGACGUACAUGGUGGCGAGGAACCCAGGAACGAGCGGGUGCGCGUCUACGUGGUGGGGAGCGUGGCAGUGGCAGCUUUGCUCGAUCUGGCAGCCGGAGAGUGGGACGAGACCACCACGGGGGAGACGGUCGGUGGUGGUGGCGGUGGCAAUGGGAGGAAGGCCUUGGAGAUCAAGGGAUCCAAGGUCCCCUUCCAAGAGAGAAGGGAGAUCGGGGGAGGAGACCGAUGGAGGGGAGGCGGGAGGGAGGAUGGUCGGCAGCGGGGGUAAGGAGAAAGAACAGGCGCGCGGGAGGGAGUCACGGUGCCGGAGACUCGGGAGAAAAGAAGCGAAUCAUUUUUGUGUAACUAGUGGUAUUGGUAGGUAAUUACCCACCAACUCCACGAGGAGGUUCAUAUUGGGUAGUUUUGGAGUUGCAAAAGAGGUGCUCCAAAACUCCACCCCCAUUUGCACUACAGCUCCAUGGAGUUUUGGAGUUGGGGUGUGUUGGCUGUAAAAUUGGCUAGAGUUGCUGGAGGUCAGCUCCAGAGCCAUGCCAAACACGCCCUAAGGAUCAGGAAACGAGGAAAAUCCUUCAUCAAGGUAGAUGCAAAGCAGGCCUUUAUCCAUUAGAAUCCAUCUUGUCAGAAGAAGGCGAUGACAAGAGAGUUUAUGGUGCCAUCAAACCAUCUGCUUCUAGAUGGCAUAGCCGCUUAGGCCAUCCAGCUUAUCCUAUUAUUCAGCGUGUGCUUAAUCAUAAUAAUCUUCCUUGUGGUAGUACUAAUUUUGAGUCAGUUUGUGAUUCAUGUCAAAUGGCUAAAAGCCAUCAACUUCCAUAUUCUAGUUCAAUAAAUUCGUCAAAAGCUUCGCUUGAUCUUAUUCAUUCUGAUGUUUGGGGGCUUACACCUAAUUCUGUUGGUCGAUAUUCCUACUAUGUGAGCUUUAUUGAUGAUUAUAGUAGGUUCACCUAGAUUUAUCUCCCGAAAAAGAAAUUUGAUGUCUUUCAAGUGUUCAAAGAAUUUCAGAAUCUAGUGGAGCGAAAACACAAUAAGAAAACUGUAUCCAUGCAAACCAACUGGGGAGGCGAAUAUGAGAAGUUGAAUUCCUUCUUUCAGCAAAUUGGUAUAGCACAUCGCGUCUUAUGUCCUCAUGCCCACCAGCAAAAUGGCCUCGUCGAGAGAAAGCAUCGUCAUACUGUUGAAGUUGGUCUCGCUCUUCUCGCAAAUGCUUCAAUGCCUUUAAAAUUUUGGGAUCAAGCUUUUUUGACCGCCACUUAUCUCAUUAAUAUGCUUCCCAGUAAAAUUCUUAAUUUCGAUACUCCUAUAGAACACUUGCUCCAAGAAAAGCCUGAUUACAGCUCUCGUCGCAUUUUUGGGUGCGCUUGUUGGCCUAAUUUGCAACCCUAUAAUACUCGCAAGCUAGCUUUUCGUUCUGUUAAAUGCACCUUUCCUAGUUACAGUUUCAUGCAUAAAGGCUUCAAGUGCUUAGAUCCCUCUACCGGCAGAAUUUAUAUCUCCCGAGAUGUUGUUUUCGAUGAAUCGAUCUUUCCGUUUGCUCACUUACAUCCCAAUGCAGGCGCCCUUCUCAGUAAAGAGAUUCUUCUUUUACCUGACCAUCUUCGUAAUCCGGGGGAUGUAAGUUGCAUAGACAAUAUUACUAUACUACUGACCGUUUGCAUGAUAGUAAUGCGCAAGAUGUUUUUCAGGGGAAACUGUCACCGGGCUGGGCGCACGGUGACGCAGAAAAUCACGGCGGCACAUUCCAGGAGGAUUUGAUGCCAGGUGCCGACGGUCCAGGCGUUGACUCCCAGGGAGAUUCGGCGGCAGCAUCCGUUUUGCUCCCCUCCUUCCCAGCAGUGCCCAUGUCGUCGAAUACAUCUCCGACGCGUGGCUCCACGACAUGCCCAGCGCCCGCACCCGGCGCUCCUCCGUCGCCGCAUGGCCCCGCACUUGGCCAAUCGCCUGCGCCAGCCGCCGGGAGUCCGACGCGUGGGGGGGGACCCAUCUAUCACGCCAGACAGUCUCCCACCCGUGCCUGCUGCCCCGAGUCGUGCUAGCGCUGGAUCCUCUUCGGGAAGCGGAUCCGGUGUGGAAUCUAUGCCUGGUCAGGCCAGUUCUUUGGCGCUGGCUGCCCCUGCGCCGUCUAUUUCAGUGCCAAGACAACGGACACGGCUUCAAAGUGGGAUUACGAAACUUACAUAGUUCCAGGACAUGAUCAGGUAUGGGUUGUUCUUAGCUUCUGCGGAACCACAGGAUUUUCAUGAAACUCUAAAUGAUUAUAGAUGGAAAAAAGGCUAUGCAAGAUGAAUUUGAUGCUCUCAUUAGAAAUCAAACUUGGCACUUAGUUCCUGAAAUAAAGGGUAACAAUAUUAUUGAUUGCAAGUGGGUAUUCAAAAUCAAGAAAAAAUCAGAUGGUACCAUAGAUAGAUAUAAAGCAAGGCUAGUUGUAAAGGGUUUUCAGCAACGGUAUGGCAUUGAUUAUGAGGAUACUUUCAGUCCAGUGGUUAAGAUUGCAACUGUCAGGCUUGUCCUCUCAAUUGCUAUUUCGAAAGGGUGGUGUCCAAGAUAGUUAGAUGUAUAGAAUGUGUUUCUUCAUGGUGUUCUGGAAAAAGAAGUUUAUAUGAGGCAACCUGCAGGAUUUGAAAAAGGAGCUUUGCAUCUUGUGUGGAAAUUGGACAAGGCUAUCUACGGCUUGAAACAAGCCCCGCGAGCUUGGUAUGCUAAGUUAUGUUCCAAACUUAUUGCACUUGGAUUUGUUGCAUCUAUAUCAGACACUUCGUUAUUCAUCUAUCAAAGAUUGGGUGUCAUAAUUUAUAUGUUGAUUUAUGUUGAUGAUACAAUUGUGACAAGUUCAUCAAGUGAAGCUGUUACGACGUUGCUUGCUGAUCUCAAGAAGGAUUUUGCUCUAAAAGAUCUGGGGGACCUCAGUUACUUCCUGGGUAUUUAAAUUAAAAGAGAAAAGAAUACUCUGCUGCUAACACAAGAAAAGUAUGCAAAGGAGAUUUUGUCACGGGUUGGUAUGGAGAAUUGCAAACCAUCAUCUACACCAUUGUCUACUAGUGAGAAACUUUCAAAGUAUGAAGGGGAGUUGCUGAAUUCAAGCGAUAGUACGAGGUACAGAAGCGUCGUUGGUGCAUUGCAAUAUCUCACUCCUACCUGACCGGAUCUAGCAUUCUCUGUGAACAAAGUGUGUCAAUUUCUACAUGCUCCUACCACGGUUCAUUGGACUGCUGUAAAAAGGAUACUUCGGUAUGUCAAGUUCACAUUGGAUCUUGGACUAAAUUUUCAGGCGUCAUCCUCCACCUUGGUUAUUGCUUUCUGUGAUGCUGAUUGGGCAGGAAGUGUUGAUGAUAGAAGAUCUAUCGGAGGGUUUGCAGUUUUCUUUGGUCUGAACUUGAUUUCUUAGAGUGCUAGAAACCAAGCCACUAUCUCAAGAUCAAGUACAGAAGUUGAAUACAAGUCUAUGGCAAAUGCAACUGCAGAGUUAAUAUGGUUGGAAUCCUUGCUAAAGGAGCUGGGUAUACGGCUGCAUCAACCACCAUAUUUACAGUGUGACAAUUUGGGAGCUACAUAUUUGUCUGCCAAUCCAGUCUUUCAUGCGAGAGCAAAGCAUAUAGAAAUUGAUUUUCACUUUGUUCGCGAGCGUGUGGUAAAUAAAAAGCUGCAGGUGCUGUUGGUUGCUUCCAGAGACCAGCUUGCGGACUGUUUACCAAAGCCUUGCCGUGCGGAUUGCUGGAAGCUUUCAAGAGCAAUCUAAAUAUCAAAAGGAAGAGAAGUUUAGAUUGAGAGGGACUGUUAGAAGAACCGUCGUAUGAGACGAGGAUUGUAUCUUAGAGAUAAGAGUUGUUGGUUUGAGUUGGCCGGCUAGUAGAUAGACAUAGAAUCUUGAUGUAUUUGAAUGCUGGUUAACUCUAUCUGUAACAACAUGCAUUGUAAUCUCUUGGGACCUUCCCCCUAUAUAAACGUGCAACCACGGCGAGCCAAGAUAGGGCAACCGUGUUCAACUCUUUUGACACUGCUUCGUUAAGCUUUGUUGAGAACUCAUAAACUCACAUAGUUCUCCUCUGAGUAUUGUUCCUAACUAAAGAGUAAAAAGGUAAAAGCUCGGUGCCCGGAACCGACUCAGAACACUCGAGGCUUAACUUAGUUGGAGUUUAGCUAUUACCGUUGCCAGUGACCAGCCUCGAGCCCCUCUAGAAGCAAGGUGAUGUGAGGGUGCGAGUUUUACUAUAAGAGGUGUCCCCAUAGAACGUGCGAGGUUAAAGGUGUUCUGUUACUUUUCCUGCCGACGCAUAACUUGCAAGGUUAAGGGGUUUUUAUCCCACAAACGGUGCUCCAGGAUGUUCAGAUUUUUGGGAUCCCCAACAAACAUAAAUCUUGAGUGGCUCUAAAUUGUUGUUGGCCACAUCAUACCUUGUCUUGGGCUGCUGGGUCGUGUUGUGCACCACGAGUGCACGAUCAGACAUCCUGCAUUGUUAAGUCUUCGAUGAUACGGCUGCCUUGCUUCCUCAGCUUGUCAGCAACUGCUUCCUGACUGCUACAGUACAAUUAUUGCAUGGUAUCAAGGUAAUAUAUAUAGUGACUGAAUGAGCACAUAUAACAUAUGCAUUUAGGCCUCCAACUGGUCAUUGCACGAGCUGCCUCCUCUCCUUACCUCUGAAUUAUGGAGCCAUAUCCAACAACAACCUUGACAGUGAUGAUGAUGACGACGACGAUGAAAUUAAGAAAAGAAGCUUUAUGCAAAUUGCAAAAAGCUGAAAUAAGUGGUUGAAACAUUUCAAAUCACCAAAUGCCACAUUUGAAAUGACUAGAUGAAACAUCAUGAAAUCAAUUGCAACAGUUGAAGAUGAAAACAUUCAAACGCCUUGCCUUUCUCCAGAUUUGAUCCUCCAAGCAUAUAUGAGUCCAGACAUUUGCACAUUAGACCCUAGGGAGGAGCUCACCGGAGAACAACAAGACCGUGUUCUCCAACAAUUUUCCGAUCAAAUUGCAACAUAAAAAACAAAGCAUUGCAACACAUCUGGCAUCGCGAGCAACAACAUCAACCAGUUAGGAUCAGGAGAAAGAGGGCAAACCCAAGCCUAGCAAUGAGUUAUAUCCAGUUUAAACGAGGAUAAAAAUGAGUGUAUUUUCCACUCAUCAUGUUGUCUUUUCGCAGCUGUACCGCCUUUAGUGUGUUGUAUUGUUCCCCUAACACCAAGUCUCCGAGGCCCGAGAAAAUAAGGAAAGUGAUAGCAGCCCAGAAAUCGACCAAGUUUCUUUCCCCCUUUGGCAUUCCUACUAGAAUUCGGAAUACUCUUUCGCAUGACAAUCAUAAUUAUCUCCCACAAUCCAAAACUCACAAAAACAUCAAAAAUCUGCCGAGAAUAAAUUAAGUAAAAAACAUGCACAAACAGAUAAUAAUAAUAAUCAUGUUUCAAUAAAAUUGCUAAGGCCAGAGACAAUACAUAAACAUAUUAGACUGUUCAUGACACAUAUCACGGUGGACAGUGUCUGUGUCCUUAUUACAAGCAGCGAGAGGAAUUAAAUAUGCUUGUCACCACACACACGCGCGCGCAGAUGCACGACACACAUAUAGUUGAGACCAACAGAUGGACCUCGACUAGAGGUCGCCCCAUAUGGUGAACAAUUUAUUGGAGAUAAACAUGAACAUAACUUGGCCAUAGCUUGAAGCAUAGCAACAUAUGCCUAUGAAUGGCAUUCAUGCUGGUAGCAAUGCAAUCAUAUCGUUUUAGGCUUGUCCAGCUUCUUCCAUCUUAGCAAGCACUGCCAUUUCUUCCAUCUUAGCAGCAACUGUCAAAUUGAGAUAUGGAAAUCCCAUUAGCGCAUGAGUUAAUUUUGCAGUGGAAAUAGAGUACAAGAUGUCUUCAUGAUGUAAGUAAUAUGCCUGAAGUUGUGAGAUGGGAAGUGAAGUCAACAAAUUACAUUAACGGAAAUGCAUGGAAGGCCACACAUACGUAUUAGUCCACGAUAUGCUACAAAGCUUGUAUGUACAUAUAACAAAUUAAAUGCAUUGAAUAGAGUGAGUUUACUGAAUUUACCAGAAUCGGACAGAACACAUGGGAAACAGCAAGUGUUCUUGCAGAGUGAGUCGGAGCCACCUGCAGUAAUACAAGCAAAACAACAUGCUUUUGCCCGGGCGGAUACGCAGCAGCUGCACUGUGCCGCGGUGGCCGGGUUAACAUUGAGGCUCAAGAUGACCAGGCACAUGAUCACCAUCAAAGCGGUAGUCCUCUUUCCCUCCAUUGCCUCCUCUUUCUGCUACCUUCCUUGGUUACCUAGCUAAGUUUAUUAGUUUUGUGUUGAGAGGUGAUUCUUGAAUGGACGUUGCCGGCUGCAAUUUAUAGGCAGCUGCGCUAUGUGAUGAUAUGGACAAGGUGCAAAUGGGUGGUCCAAUGGCAAGGAAAGGGGGUAUUCUGCUUGACAUUGGCAUCAGACAAAGCCCAAUGGCAACUGCUGACACGCGAUUAAAAUCAGAUCCGCAUCUUAUCCAUCCAUUCACUAAUAAUUAAAGUAAACCCACGCGGUCCGCGAGAUGCAGCGUCCAUGCAUAGCACUUCCCGCCAAACAAUAGGAAAAAUUAGAAUUCAGAGAUAGGAGCUGCUUGCAUGAAACACGGUUGCACAGAAAUCAGUGGUGCUUGGACGGUAAGUAGUGUGGUGUACAAGCUUAAAGCGGCAGUGAGUCACGUUGGUGUAACAAGCAGUACAUCAGCUGGAAGAUUGAUAUGUCUAUUGCCCACGCAGCAUAGCAUUUUAUUAUGAUACAUUGAGUUAUGUCAUAUUGUUACUUUAAGUUAUUUUUUAAGUAUUAGUUGUAGACAAUUUAGUUGCAAAUUUAAGCGGUUAUUUUAAAUUAUUUUUUAUAAUGGCAUAAGUGGGUAAUUUAGAUGAAGAUUAGGGGGUUACUUUAGCUUAUUUUAUAUAAUAGCAGAGGUGGGUAAUUUAGAUAUAAAUUUAGGGUUACUUUAGGCUAUUUUCUUAAUGGCAUAGGUGGGUAAUUUUUUUAGAAAUUAUAAUAGAUCCAAUGGCUACGAUGUUUGAGUCUACUCGUUGAUGGCAAGAUGUUUUGCUUGUUUGUGGAAAUUUUAAAUAUGUCUCUUUUUUGUAGAGUGUCCACGUAGGAUCCUAGGUGGCUUCGCUUGGAGGCUUCAAAAGGAGGUCCAAAAUUAGUAAUAGUAUGAUUUUCUCAAAAGAGACUUAAUUCUACCACUGUAACUUGAUUGGCCGCCCCGGCCUCUACCUUUUGCCUCCAUUUGACUAUUUGAGUUGGCUGUGAACGAUUCUCGGCGCUAGCAACGUUACGUGUGAUCCAAAUGCCAGCACUCAUGUGCGCCACCUGUAUUCUAUGGGAAUGCCAUGAUGCAUGUGCAGUAACAGCGCGCACAUCUUGCAGGAUUCGCGCCUCGUUUUCACUAUUGUGUCAUCUUAGCAAUUAGGAGCGAAGUGUGCUUUGGGGUGGCAAUUGGGAUAUAGACAUUAUUCUCGAAAAGAAUCUUGAAGUCUUACAUUCACCCCCUCCGGUCGCCGGUUCCGAUCCUUCACCUAUAAAUUAGGAGUAGUAGUAGGUAGUAAGUGGCAGGUUAGGUAAGUACCCGUUGAUGAAUGUUGGCUUGGCGUGAUUGGCUCUGCUGGUUCCACGAAGAUGCCAAUAUACAGCAAGGACCUAGGUCCAAAGGGAAAAACAACCAACAAGUGGGUUUGUUGCCGACCGCUAGCUAAUCAACAGUGACGUACGGGUGGAUUCGUGCGUAAAUAUUUUUUCAAUCAUGCCAUCAGGCCGCUGAUAAAAUGGGCUUAUGGUUGGCUAACCUUUAAAACAUUCUUAGAGCUGUUGGCCAUUGUGAUAACUUUGCACGUGCAUCAUUAACAUGCCAACAUACAACAAGGACAUAAGACCAAAGGAAAGAACAACCAACAAGUGCCUUUGCUGAUCGGUCAGGUCUCAGAGUUUGAGAAACUGGAUCUGACGGAUGUGAAAUUAAUCCAUGCGUGGCCUCAUGCAAAUUUGUUCACAGGUUUGAACAGCAUGUAAUCUUUUUCAGGCAUCUAUAUGGAGCGUGGGUGUGUUAUGUUAUCUUCUACUACACAUAUAACAUCAAAUUCAUUCAGUUUGCCCGAGAGCCCAAAAUGCAACGAAUAUGCCAUCCAACGUGAAAAAAAAGAGAUGAGGAACAGUAUACUCUAUCUUCGAAAUUAGUCAACGAGAUGCAGCUUCAAAAGAGAUAAGAGCAGACAAGAGACACCAUGGGAUGCUGCAAAAUUUGGGAUCACGUGUGCAGAUCCCUUAUUAGGAAAAAAGAAUAAUUGAGCUAGCAACAAUAGUAGGACAUCUCCAUGCUCACCUAGUAUAGUAGCCACUUCUAGUGCGCGUGGAACACGACUGCCGGCCCAGUUGGCGCUAAGACAUCGUACGUGCAUUAAGUCUGAGGUGCUAGGACAGCUUCCUCUUGCUUCCCCACCAAAUCAUGAGCAACGAUCUCUUUCUUUCUAACUCAUGCUUGACUGUGACGGUGCUAUUAUAUAUUAUUGCAUGAUCAUCAAGAUAAGAUCGUAUAGUGACUGAGUGAGACAUCUAUGUACUAACUUGCAUUUAAGCCUCGAACUGUGUGUCAUUACGUGAGCUGCCUCCUGUCCUCGCCUCUGAAUUAUUGAACCGUUCCCAACAGCUUGGUCUCAAAGGAAUUUGACACCAAACAGAUUGAUAAAGAAAAGAGAAUAAUACUUGGAAUUGGAAAAAGUUGAUCUCUCUAUACAAUGAGGUAGGGCUCCCCUUUUAUAGUGACCCAUCAGCCACUUUACAUUCCGAAAAUGUCCUUCCUCAACCACUACAUUCUUAGGAUAUGCCAUACAUAAAUGUCAUUUGAGGUGACGUGUACAAAUUGAACUCUUCCACAUGGUCACGUUUCUCACGCCUCUUGUUUUCCAACCUCGAGACUUCAUCUUCAUGCCAAGUUGAUCAUCUAGCCUCGAGGCUCCAUCUACGAUCCGGAAUGAACGUACAGCCUCGAGGCUCCUGCUUCGUUAAGCUUUGUUGAGAACUCAUAACCUCACAUAGUUCUCCUCCGAGUAUUGUAUCUGACUAAAGAGUAAAAAGGUAAAAGCUCGGUGCCCGGAACCGACUGAGAACACUCGAGGCUUAGCUCAGUUGGAGUUUAGCUAUUACCGUUGCCAGUCACCAGCCUCGAGCCCCUCCAGAAACAAGGUGAUGCGAGAGUACGAGUUUUACUAUUAGAGGUGUCCCCAUAGAACGUGCGAGGUUAAUGAGUUCAGUUUCUUUUACUGCCGACGCAUAACAUGCGAGGAUCAACGAAUAUGAGGAACACUAUAUGCCAUCCAACGGGGGAAAAAAAAAGAUGAGGAACAGUAUACUCUAUCUUCGAAAUUAGUUAUAAAGAUUCAGCUUCAAAAGAGAUAACGAGGCGUCCAAGACUCGAGGAGCCAGUCAAGAGCAGACAAGAGGCACAUGAGUGCAUGCAUCCACACCUUGGGAUGCUGCAAACUUUUAUGAGGCUGCAAGCUGCAUACAUAAGUUUAUUUCACCUUUGUUCACAAUACUCUUCACACACCAUUCACACACGUCUCAGGGAGCUCUGCAGCAAUGGUGGAGAUCUUAGCUAGACUGCUCACUUCCCUUGUUGUCGCUAUUGCUAAAAACACAAGCUCACCUCUGCUAUUGCGAAGCAGACCAAUUUGCUGUGGAACUUUGGCGACGACCUGAAGGACAUGAAGUCGGUGCUGGAGUCCAUCUCAGCAGCGCUCCAGGACGCUGACACUGCUAGAAAAACAACCUUUCAUCCUCAACAAAAGUCCCGAUAGCUUUUUUACCUGGAACUAAAGAGGUUUUAGUGCUGCGCAAACACCUUUAGUCCGGGUUGCUGUUACCAACCAAGAGUAAAGGGUACGAUGGCACCAACCGGGACUAAAGCACCCCCCACGAGUUACUAUAAAGGAUUGCAUCCUCCACUUAGUCAGAUUUACUGUGUAGGUGAGAUGGUAAGGAAGCUAUGCGCGAGGCUUGAGAUCAUCGGUUCGAAUCCCACGCACCGCGCGCGCACGCGCAUAGUUUGAGUGAAAAAUCAUGUCACUUGUGAUCGGCCAAGGAGAAGUGGGUGCAGAUGUGGCUUAAGCGGCUGAGGCACGCCGCCAUAGACAUCUUGGAUUUGCUCGAAGACUACCAAGACACUAGUGAACCCUUAACAGCAAAGGUGAGUACUUAUGCAUGUCAACAUCUAUGUUGUCCAUGCUUCCAAUGCAAUAAGAAGAAGGACUACUCUUCCUAGCGGACUCUUCACAACCACUCAUAAAGCUAUGUGUUUCUCAAUGCAAUUUCGUAGAAGGCAAUGGAUCCAACCAACCGACUAAAUCAUUCGUCCUUGCCAAUGAUGUGCUUCAGGUUUUCCAUAUGAAGGACAUGUGACUACUAGAAAAACGAUCUUUCAUCCCUAGCCUUAGUACCGGUUGCAUUUGGAACCGGUACUAAUGUUUACAUUAGUACCAGUUCCAAAGGAUACUGUCCGGAGCGCACCUCGAUGACCCCUUUAGUACCGGUUGGGGGCAACAACCGGUACUAAAGGGUGAGCAUUAGUACCGGUUGUUACCUUAAUCCGGUACUAAAGGGCUACCCACCCUCUAUUACCGGUUGGUGGCAUCAACCGGUACUAAAAGGGAUACCCUCUAGCACCGGUUGCUGCCACAACCCGGUACUAGUGCGGCGCCAUGCAGAAUAGAAGGUAGAUCGAUUGUACAUGGAGGGGGAACAAAGGGAGAAAGGCAAAUCAUCAGCUUAUUAUCACAUGGUAGACUAGUCUUUAAAACAUGUUUAGGGCAGAGCACAUUACGUUUAUCUUGUUUUGCACAACAACAAAUGUGACCUUUAGAAGAUAGCCCUCCUCUAAUUAAACUAGUGCACUAUUACAGGAUGGUAUCGCACGCUUCCUUUUUCCCUAUGAAAAUGAAGUUUUUAAUGAUCUGAUAGCAGCUGGCAAAACAAAUGAUUGCAAAGAUGUUUGCAGAUGAUAAUGAUACUUAUGACCACUCUGAUGAUGAAGAGAUAGAGGAACAUUUGGUCCGUCAACGUAUUUCAAAUUAACACGUCAAAUCGCACUCAAGACCUCUCACCAACUCCUCCACCAGUUUCCAAAGGCAAAUCAACUUAUUAUCGCAUGCAUGGUAGUGUCUUUGAAACAUGUUUAGGGCACAACACAUUACGUUUAUCAUCUUUUGCACAACAUUAAAUGGACCUUUGGAAGAUAGCCCUCCUCUAAACUUGUGAUGCAUUGUAAUGAUAUGUCAUGUAUAUAUGUCUCACUUGUAUCAUAGCUGUUAAAGUACCACGUCAAAUUGCACUUGCGGUGAGAUCUCUCUGACCAAGUCCUCCACCACUUUCCAAGGCAAAUCAGACAAACUCCUUGUUAUAUUCCACAUAUUGGUUUCAUCCUUAUAUAGAUGUCCAUGUAUACUCUUUUGUUUGUCUACUCAACUUAUCACAUUGUCGUAGUGUCUUUGAAACAUGUUUAGGGAAAGUCCAUAGUGGAGGGUAGUAAAUGUCAAAGGGAGUUUGUAAGGAUAAGACAACACAAAUUUUGUAAGGGUAUUCUAAAGCAUUUGAUUCUAAACUAUCCGCGAGACCUCUCACAACCUCCUCCACCACUUUCCAAGAUAAUAUACAAUCAAAUUCCUUGUAGGAGUUUGGAUGUUGGACCAAUGGGAAGUUGACGAAAGAGUGGGACAAAAAUGUGACUCGAUCAUGUCAUUGUGGGCAAAGGUCCUGGUAGCUCAUGGAACAGAUCAUUUGAAGUACACAGGAUAGGGAGGCAAUAGUCGGCACAAGGAGAGGCAUGACCAGAAGCUUGAAAGAAGUAAACUUCAAAGCUAGGAGGAAUGUUAUUCUUGCUGGUUCAAUGUGUCUUCUUAUAGAUCAGUUCAUAGAUCUUAUGUAUUUGGCUGUGAUGAAAGCUAUGGAGCCCUCCCAGCCCCUUCGAGCUGAUGCUAAGCCCAAUCUAAACUGCAUAUGGAAUGUGAAAACUCUUUCUGCAAUGAGCCAAGCUAUCAAUCCAUACCUGUGAGGCAACAUCUCGAUUCUGUGGCUACUGACUGAGGUAUUUGGCAUAGAGUAGACCAAUGGUGCAUUGUGAAUAAGCUUAUUAGAAUGUGAAUAAGUCAGAAUUCUUGCUCGUCCUCCAUUUGUUCGCUCUCUGUUCUUUUGUUUACAAGGGACUCGGUUGAUCCGCGGGACCUCUCACCAACUCCUUCACCACUUUCCAAGGCAAAUCAGCUUAUCACAUGUGGUAGUAUCUUUGAAACAUGUUUAGGGCACAAGAGGAAGGCAUAGUGCUGGAAAAACGGUUAAUGGGGUGGCGGACGGCGGGAUGCUUCGCAUUCUCGUAUGAAGGAAGCUCCAUCAACUAGAUUGACGGUCAAGUUGCAUGAAGCAGAUGCCACAGUCGACGGAGAGAGCAUCUGGGUCUAACCAUAAUAACACAAGUCUUUCCUUUAGAUAACAUGCCAUCAGAUUCCUUGCAAGAGUUUGUAUGUUCGACCAACAGGAAGUUGACGAAAGAGUGGGACAAAAAUGUGACUCGAUCAUGUCAUUGUGGGCAAAGGUCCUAGUAGCUCAUGGAAUAGAUGAUAUCAUUUGAAGUACAUAGGACAGAGAGGCCAUAGUCGGCACAAGGAGAAGCAUGACCAGAAACUUGAAAGAGGUAAGCUUCAAAGCUAGGAGGAAUGUUAUUCUUGCUAGUUCAAUGGUGUCUUCUUAUAUAUCAGUUCAUAGAUCUUAUAUAUUUGGCCGUGAUGACAGCUAUGGAUCCCUCCGAGCCCCUUUGAGCCGAUGCCAAGCCCAAUCUGAACUGCACAUGGAACGUGAAAACUCUUUCUGCAAUGAGCCAAGCUAUCAAUAUCCAUCCCUGUGAGCCAACAUCUUGAUUCUGUGGCUACUGACUGAGGUAUUUGUCGUAGUGUCUUUGAAACAAGUCAAACACCUCACCAGGGGAUCAAGCUCCACGAGAACGAGAGCUACUUUCAGAUCCAGGAUAUUAAUCAACAAGUCAAACACCUUCCCAGGGGAUCAAGCUCCAUGAGAACGAGAGCUACUUUCAGUUCCAAGAUAUUAAUCAACAAGUCAAACACCUAACCAGGGGAUCAAGCUCCACGAGAACGAGAGCUACUUUCAGUUCUAGGAUAUGGGCAUAGCUGUGAGGGGGGCCACAACGCCCCUUUAUAUAAGGGCUACUGGUUUUGCCCUUGCCUUGUGAAGUUGUGCCACAUAACUCCCAAAAUCCCUCAAGAAAGAUAACACCACAAGCAGGAAGCCAAGUAGCUAUGGAACCUGUGACAGAUAUAGCUUCCUCAUUAUGUGACUCAUGUCAUUGUGGGUGCGGGGUGACCUUGAUCUACAACUUUGUAGUUGAAACAUUUUUCAUUUGGUGUCAUCUUGGUGCUCAAAUAAUCGACACGAACUAAAACUUGGCACCACACAUUCAAAAAAUAAUAAAAUUUAUAUGAACUCAGAUAUAGAUAAAAUUUAUAUCAAAAUUGUUGAUCUCAACGAGAUUUACAACUUUGUAGUUCAAAUUAUUUUCAUUUGGAGCCAUCUUGGUGCUCAAAUAAUCGAAACAUUUUCUAGAUCUAAAAUUUAAUUUUAGAUCGGAAACUUGUGUCGAUUAUUUGAGCACCAAGAUAAUACCAAAUGAAAAAUGUUUGAACUACAAAGUUGUAGAUCUCAUCGAGAUCUACAAUUUUCAUAUAAAGUUUAUCUCCAUCCGAGUUCAUAUGAAUUAGUUCAACCGGCGAUAAGGCUGCUACAGUGUAGCUUCCGCCGUUUCAAAUGGCGGUAUAGGUUUAGAUUAGCAAUUUUUGUAACCCAUAUAUUUUUGCAAAAUACUAAAAUAAAAAAUAUAAAAAUAAAAAAAAUCUAGUUUUAAUCAGCAAUGACUAAAUGUUAGCCCGGUUAUGCCCCAUCUUAGGUCUAAUCAUGGACCAAUAAAACAUGUGCUAGAAUUCAUGGCCACCGGAUGCGUGUUCGACCAUGUAAUCGUAUGCUAUACCUCACAGGAGGUUGAAAAUGGCCUGAAGGGGUACAGUGGAUGAAAACGUCGGGGACGCUCGGAACACAAGAAAAUGACCACCAGAUACAUGUUUGGCCAUUGUAACUGUGCUCUAUAGUUGAUAGGUUGAAAGCGGCUCGAAGAGGCAUCAGGGAUGGAAACAUGGGGGAUGGUUGGAACACUUGAAAAUGGCACUGGAUAAGUGUGCUUAUUCCUUACAAAAUGCUGAAAAUGGCUCAGAAGGGUCAUCGAGGAUGGAAACUAGGUGGUCAAUAAGUGAAAAUGGGCAGCGGACAUGUUCAGUCAUGUAACCGUGUGCUAUAGUCCACUAGAGGUCGGAAAGCUGCCCUAGGGGCUCUAGAGACGAAAACGUGAGGAAUAGCUGAAAGGUUACGUGUUUGGUCAUGACAGCCCUAUUAGGAAGCGAUAGAAGUGGAAAGAUAGCUGGUUUCAGAUUGGCAACCCAUCUUUUGCUUCCCCCUUACUUCCAUACGUAAUCCAUGGGCAUCGAAUUUAAAAGUAUACAAAUCACUUUUAGAUGUAAUUGAGGGUAAAGAGGGGAGGUUUCGUGAGACUCUACAAUGUUCAAAUCGUUCGUUCGUUAGGAUGCCUCAGCUACAUACAUCAUUGCACUUCCAGUUGACACCAAUUUAAAUGGUUCGUCUAGCCGCUACAAGGUAUCAUCAGAUAUAGAAGAAUUAGAGACUGGGGGUAAUAGCAAAAAAGGAAUAUAACUCGUCCGAGAAAGUGGGUGCAGGGGCAGUGGGGUAAGGUAAUUGAAGUAACUAGCCAGUUUCUUCCCGAAACUUCCCAAGAAAAAUCCCGAAUUGGAUCCAAAAUUGACGGAUUAAUCAACCAAAAUAACCGUGAGCAGCCACAAUGUUAUAAGUCCCUUCUUCUUGACCAAAUUUGUAACCCUUAUUAGCAGACUCAUUUUCAGUGGUUUCUUUCCCUGAUCAAACUAGAGGUUACCAAGGAACCGUGUGCUCUAGCCCACAGGUGGCCGAAAACGGCGAAGAAGGGCUUCGGGGAUGGAAACAACGUGGAUGGUCAGAACACGUGAGAAUGACCACGGGAUGCAUGUUUGGCCCUGUAACAGUGUGCUAUAGGAAGCCGGAAAUGGCCAGGAGGGUCACCAGGGAUGAAGAUGCAGGGAUGGAUGGAACACGCGAAAAUGGCCACCAGUGAUUAGUGGCAGGUCUACAGAGAUAUCUCAUCAAAUCGGUGAUUUAUAUCCGAUUUAAACGAGGAUAAAAAUGAGUGUAUUUUCCACCCAUCAUGUUGACUUUUCGCAGCUAUACUGCCUUUAGUGUGUUGUAUUGUUCCCAUGACACCAAGUCUCCAAGGCCCGAGAAAAUAAGGAAAGUGAUAGCAGCCUAGAAAUCGACCAAGUUUCUUUCCCCCUUUGGCAUUCCUACUAGGAUUCGGAAUACUCUUUCGCAUGACAAUCAUAAUUAUCUCCCAUAAUCCAAAACUCACAAAAACAUCAAAAAUCCGCCGAGAAUAAAUUAAGUAAAAAACAGGCACACAUAGAUAAUAAUAAUAAUAAUAAUAAUCAUGUUUCUAUAAAAUUGCUAAGGCCAGAGAUAAUACAUAAAAAUAUUAGACUGCUCAUGACACAUAUCACGGUGGACAAUGUCUGUGUCCUUAUUACAAGCAGCGAGAGGAAUUAAACAUGCUUGUCACCACACACACGAGCGCACAGAUGCACGACACACAUAUAGUUGAGACCAACAGAUGGACCUCGACUACAGGUCGCCCCAUAUGGUGAACAAUUUAUUGGAGAUAAACAUGAACAUAACUUGGCCAUAGCUUGAAGCAUAGCAACAUAUGCCUAUGAAUGGCAUUCAUGCUGGUAGCAAUGCAAUCAUAUCGUUUUAGGCCUGUCCAGCUUCUUCCAUCUUAGCAAGCACUGCCAUUUCUUCCAUCUUAGCAGCAACUGUCAAAUUGAGAUAUGGAAAUCCCAUUAGCGCAUGAGUUAAUUUUGCAGUGGAAAUAGAGUACAAGAUGUCUUCAUGAUGUAAGUAAUAUGCCUGAAGUUGUGAGAUGGGAAGUGAAGUCAACAAAUUACAUUAACGGAAAUGCAUGGAAGGCCACACAUACGUAUUAGUCCACGAUAUGCUACAAAGCUUGUAUGUACAUAUAACAAAUUAAAUGCAUUGAAUAGAGUGAGUUUACUGAAUUUACCAGAAUCGGACAGAACACAUGGGAAACAGCAAGUGUUCUUGCAGAGUGAGUCGGAGCCACCUGCAGUAAUACAAGCAAAACAACAUGCUUUUGCCCGGGCGGAUACGCAGCAGCUGCACUGUGCCGCGGUGGCCGGGUUAACAUUGAGGCUCAAGAUGACCAGGCACAUGAUCACCAUCAAAGCGGUAGUCCUCUUUCCCUCCAUUGCCUCCUCUUUCUGCUACCUUCCUUGGUUACCUAGCUAAGUUUAUUGGUUUUGUGUUGAGAGGUGAUUCUUGAAUGGACGUUGCCGGCUGCAAUUUAUAGGCAGCUGCGCUAUGUGAUGAUAUGGACAAGGUGCAAAUGGGUGGUCCAAUGGCAAGGAAAGGGGGUAUUCUGCUUGACAUUGGCAUCAGACAAAGCCCAAUGGCAACUGCUGACACGCGAUUAAAAUCAGAUCCGCAUCUUAUCCAGCCAUUCACUAAUAAUUAAAGUAAACCCACGCGGUCCGCGAGAUGCAGCGUCCAUGCAUAGCACUUCCCGCCAAACAAUAGGAAAAAUUAGAAUUCAGAGAUAGCAGCUGCUUGCAUGAAACACGGUUGCACAGAAAUCAGUGGUGCUUGGACGGUAAGUAGUGUGGUGUACAAGCUUAAAGCGGCAGUGAGUCAGGUUAGUGUAACAAGCAGUACAUCAGCUGGAAGAUUGAUAUGUCUAUUGCCCACGCAGCAUAGCAUUUUAUUAUGAUACAUUGAGUUAUGUCAUAUUGUUACUUUAAGUUAUUUUUUAAGUAUUAGUUGUAGACAAUUUAGUUGCAAAUUUAAGCGGUUAUUUUAAAUUAUUUUUUAUAAUGGCAUAAGUGGGUAAUUUAGAUGAAGAUUAGGGGGUUACUUUAGCUUAUUUUAUAUAAUAGCAGAGGUGGGUAAUUUAGAUAUAAAUUUAGGGUUACUUUAGGCUAUUUUCUUAAUGGCAUAGGUGGGUAAUUUUUUUAGAAAUUAUAAUAGAUCUAAUGGCUACGAUGUUUGAGUCUACUCGUUGAUGGCAAGAUAUUUUGCUUGUUUGUGGAAAUUUUAAAUAUGUCUCUUUUUUGUAGAGUGUCCACCUAGGAUCCUAGGUGGCUUCGCUUGGAGGCUUCAAAAGGAGCUCCAAAAUUAGUAAUAGUAUGAUUUUCUCAAAAGAGACUUAAUUCUACCACUGUAACUUGAUUGGCCACCCUGGCCUCUACCUUUUCCCUCCAUUUGACUAUUUGAGUUGGCUGUGAACGAUUCUCGGCGCUAGCAACGUUACGUGUGAUCCAAAUGCCAGCACUCAUGUGCGCCACCUGUAUUCUAUGGGAAUGCCAUGAUGCAUGUGCAGUAACAGCGCGCACAUCUUGCAGGAUUCGCGCCUCGUUUUCACUAUUGUGUCAUCUUAGCAAUUAAAAGCGAAGUGUGCUUUGGGGUGGCAAUUGGGAUAUAGACAUUAUUCUCAAAAAGAAUCUUGAAGGCUUACAUUCACCCCCUCCGGUCGCCGGUUCCGAUCCUUCACCUAUAAAUUAGGAGUAGUAGUAGGUAGUAAGUGGCAGGUUAGGUAAGUACCCGUUGAUGAAUGUUGGCUUGGCGUGAUCGGCUCUGCUGGUUCCACGAAGAUGCCAAUAUACAGCAAGGACCUAAGUCCAAGGGGAAAAACAACCAACAAGUAGGUUUGUUGCCGACCGCUAGCUAAUCAACAGUGAUGUACGGGUGGAUUCGUGCGUAAAUAUUUUUUCAAUCAUGCCAUCAGGCCGCUGAUAAAAUGGGCUUAUGUUUGGCUAACCUUUAAAACAUUCUUAGAGCUGUUGGCCAUUGUGAUAACUUUGCACGUGCAUCAUUAACAUGCCAACAUACAACAAGGACAUAAGACCAAAGGAAAGAACAACCAACAAGUGCCUUUGCUGAUCGGUCAGGUCUCAGAGUUUGAGAAACUGGAUCUGACGGAUGUGAAAUUAAUCCAUGCGUGGCCUCAUGCAAAUUUGUUCACAGGUUUGAACAGCAUGUAAUCUUUUUCAGGCAUCUAUAUGGAGCGUGGGUGUGUUAUGUUAUCUUCUACUACACAUAUAACAUCAAAUUCAUUCAGUUUGGCCGAGAGCCCAAAAUGCAACGAAUAUGCCAUCCAACGUGAAAAAAAAGAGAUGAGGAACAGUAUACUCUAUCUUCGAAAUUAGUCAACGAGAUGCAGCUUCAAAAGAGAUAAGAGCAGACAAGAGGCACCAUGGGAUGCUGCAAAAUUUGGGAUCACGUGUGCAGAUCCCUAAUUAGGAAAAAAGAAUAAUUGAGCUAGCAACAAUAGUAGGACAUCUCCAUGCUCACCUAGUAUAGUAGCCACUUCUAGUGCGCGUGGAACACGACUGCCGGCCCAGUUGGCGCUAAGACAUCGUACGUGCAUUAAGUCUGAGGUGCUAGGACAGCUUCCUCUUGCUUCCCCACCAAAUCAUGAGCAACGAUCUCUUUCUUUCUAACUCAUGCUUGACUGUGACGGUGCUAUUAUAUAUUAUUGCAUGAUCAUCAAGAUAAGAUCGUAUAGUGACUGAGUGAGACAUCUAUGUACUAACUUGCAUUUAAGCCUCGAACUGUGUGUCAUUACGUGAGCUGCCUCCUGUCCUCGCCUCUGAAUUAUUGAACCGUUCCCAACAGCUAGUGUUGGUCUCAAAGGAAUUUGACACCAAACAGAUUGAUAAAGAAAAGAGAAUAAUACCUGGAAUUGGAAAAAGUUGAUCUCUCUAUACAAUGAGGUAGGGCUCCCCUUUUAUAGUGACCCAUCAGCCACUUUACAUUCCGAAAAUGUCCUUCCUCAACCACUACAUUCUUAGGAUAUGCCAUACAUAAAUGUCAUUUGAGGUGACGCGUACAAAUUGAACUCUUCCACGUGGUCACGUUUCUCACGCCUCUUGUUUUCCAACCUCGAGACUUCAUCUUCAUGCCAAGUUGAUCAUCUAGCCUCGAGGCUCCAUCUACGAUCCGGAAUGAACGUACAGCCUCGAGGCUCCUGCUUCGUUAAGCUUUGUUGAGAACUCAUAACCUCACAUAGUUCUCCUCCGAGUAUUGUAUCUGACUAAAGAGUAAAAAGGUAAAAGCUCGGUGCCCGGAACCGACUGAGAACACUCGAGGCUUAUAGCUCAGUUGGAGUUUAGCUAUUACCGUUGCCAGUCACCAGCCUCGAGCCCCUCCAGAAACAAGGUGAUGCGAGAGUACGAGUUUUACUAUUAGAGGUGUCCCCAUAGAACGUGCGAGGUUAAUGAGUUCAGUUUCUUUUACUGCCGACGCAUAACAUGCGAGGAUCAACGAAUAUGAGGAAUGGGACAUAGAACGUGCGAGGUUAAUGAGUUCAGUUUCUUUUACUGCCGACGCAUAACAUGCGAGGAUCAACGAAUAUGAGGAACACUAUAUGCCAUCCAACGGGAAAAAAAAAGAUGAGGAACAGUAUACUCUAUCUUCGAAAUUAGUUAUAAAGAUUCAGCUUCAAAAGAGAUAACGAGGUGUCCAAGACUCGAGGAGCCAGUCAAGAGCAGACAAGAGGCACAUGAGUGCAUGCAUCCACACCUUGGGAUGCUGCAAACUUUUAUGAGGCUGCAAGCUGCAUACAUAAGUUUAUUUCACCUUUGUUCACAAUACUCUUCACACACCAUUCACACACGUCUCAGGGAGCUCUGCAGCAAUGGUGGAGAUCUUAGCUAGACUGCUCACUUCCCUUGUUGUCGCUAUUGCUAAAAACACAAGCUCACCUCUGCUAUUGCGAAGCAGGCCAAUUUGCUGUGGAACUUUGGCGACGACCUGAAGGACAUGAAGUCGGUGCUGGAGUCCAUCUCAGCAGCGCUCCAGGACGCUGACACUGCUAGAAAAACGACCUUUCAUCCUCAACAAAAGUCCCGGUAGCUUUUUUACCUGGAACUAAAGAGGUUUUAGUGCUGCGCAAACACCUUUAGUCCGGGUUGCUGUUACCAACCAGGAGUAAAGGGUACGAUGGCACCAACCGGGACUAAAGCACCCCCCACGAGUUACUAUAAAGGAUUGCAUCCUCCACUUAGUCAGAUUUACUGUGUAGGUGAGAUGGUAAGGAAGCUAUGCGCGAGGCUUGAGAUCAUCGGUUCGAAUCCCAUGCACCGCGCGCGCACGCGCAUAGUUUGAGUGAAAAAUCAUGUCACUUGUGAUCGGCCAAGGAGAAGUGGGUGCAGAUGUGGCUUAAGCGGCUGAGGCACGCCGCCAUAGACAUCUCGGAUUUGCUACAUACAUCAUUGCACUUCCAAUUGACACCAAUUUAAAUGGUUCGUCUAGCCGCUACAAGGUAUCAUCAGAUAUAGAAGAAUUAGAGACUGGGGGUAAUAGCAAAAAAGGAAUAUAACUCGUCCGAGAAAUUGGGUGCAGGGGCGUGGGGUAAGGUAAUUGAAGUAACUAGCCAGUUUCUUCCCGAAACUUCCCAAGAAAAAUCCCGAAUUGGAUCCAAAAUUGACGGAUUAAUCAACCAAAAUAACCGUGAGCAGCCACAAUGUUAUAAGUCCCUUCUUCUUGACCAAAUUUGUAACCCUUAUUAGCAUACUCAUUUUCAGUGGUUUCCGUGAUCAAACUAGAGGUUACCAAGGAACCGUGUGCUCUAGCCCACAGGUGGCCGAAAACGGCCAAGAAGGGCUUCGGGGAUGGAAACAACGUGGAUGGUCAGAACACGUGAGAAUGACCACGGGAUGCAUGUUUGGCCCUGUAACAGUGUGCUAUAGAAAGCCGGAAAUGGCCAGGAGGGUCACCAGGGAUGAAGAUGCAGGGAUGGAUGGAACACGCGAAAAUGGCCACCAGUGAUUAGUGGCAGGUCUAGAGAGAUAUCUCAUCAAAUCGGUGAGUUAUAUCCGAUUUAAACGAGGAUAAAAAUGAGUGUAUUUUCCACCCAUCAUGUUGACUUUUCGCAGCUAUACUGCCUUUAGUGUGUUGUAUUGUUCCCAUGACACCAAGUCUCCAAGGCCCGAGAAAAUAAGGAAAGUGAUAGCAGCCCAGAAAUCGACCAAGUUUCUUUCCCCCUUUGGCAUUCCUACUAGGAUUCGGAAUACUCUUUCGCAUGACAAUCAUAAUUAUCUCCCAUAAUCCAAAACUCACAAAAACAUCAAAAAUCCGCCUAGAAUAAAUUAACUAAAAAACAUGCACACACAGAUAAUAAUAAUAAUAAUAAUAAUAAUAAUAAUAAUAAUAAUAAUAAUAAUAAUGUUUCUAUAAAAUUGCGAAGGCCAGAGACAAUACAUAAAAAUAUUAGACUGCUCAUGACACAUAUCACGGUGGACAGUGUCUACGUCCUUAUUACAAGCAGCGAGAGGAAUUAAACAUGCUUGUCACCACACACACGCGCGCGCACAGAUGCACGACACACAUAUGGUUGAGACCAACAAAUGGACCUCGACUAGAGGUCGCCCCAUAUGGUGAACAAUUUAUUGGAGAUAAACAUGAACAUAACUUGGCCAUAGCUUGAAGCAUAGCAACAUAUGCCUAUGAAUGGCAUUCAUGCUGGUAGCAAUGCAAUCAUAUCGUUUUAGGCUUGUCCAGCUUCUUCCAUCUUAGCAAGCACUGCCAUUUCUUCCAUCUUAGCAGCAACUGUCAUAUUGAGAUAUGGAAAUCCCAUUAGCGUAGGAGCUAAUUUUGCAGUGGAAAUAGAGUACAAGAUGUCUUCAUGAUGUAAGUAAUAUGCCUGAAGUUGUUAGAUGGGAAGUGAAGUCAACAAAUUACAUUAACGGAAAUGUAUGGAAGGCCACACAUACGUAUUAGUCCACGAUAUGCUACAAAGCUUGUAUGUACAUAUAACAAAUUAAAUGCAUUGAAUAGAGUGAGUUUACUGAAUUUACCAGAAUCGGACAGAACACAUGGGAAACAGCAAGUGUUCUUGCAGAGUGAGUCGGAGCCACCUGCAGUAAUACAAGCAAAACAACAUGCUUUUGCCCGGGCGGAUACGCAGCAGCUGCACUGUGCCGCGGUGGCCGGGUUAACAUUGAGGCUCAAGAUGACCAGGCACACGAUCACCAUCAAAGCGGUAGUCCUCUUUCCCUCCAUUGCCUCCUCUUUCUGCUACCUUCCUUGGUUACCUAGCUAAGUUUAUUGGUUUUGUGUUGAGAGGUGAUUCUUGAAUGGACGUUGCCGGCUGCAAUUUAUAGGCAGCUGCGCUAUGUGAUGAUAUGGACAAGGUGCAAAUGGGUGGUCCAAUGGCAAGGAAAGGGGGUAUUCUGCUUGACAUUGGCAUCAGACAAAGCCCAAUGGCAACUGCUGACACGCGAUUAAAAUCAGAUCCGCAUCUUAUCCAGCCAUUCACUAAUAAUUAAAGUAAACCCACGCGGUCCGCGAGAUGCAGCGUCCAUGCAUAGCACUUCCCGCCAAACAAUAGGAAAAAUUAGAAUUCAGAGAUAGCAGCUGCUUGCAUGAAACACGGUUGCACAGAAAUCAGUGGUGCUUGGACGGUAAGUAGUGUGGUGUACAAGCUUAAAGCGGCAGUGAGUCAGGUUGGUGUAACAAGCAGUACAUCAGCUGGAAGAUUGAUAUGUCUAUUGCCCACGCAGCAUAGCAUUUUAUUAUGAUACAUUGAGUUAUGUCAUAUUGUUACUUUAAGUUAUUUUUUAAGUAUUAGUUGUAGACAAUUUAGUUGCAAAUUUAAGCGGUUAUUUUAAAUUAUUUUUUAUAAUGGCAUAAGUGGGUAAUUUAGAUGAAGAUUAGGGGGUUACUUUAGCUUAUUUUAUAUAAUAGCAGAGGUGGGUAAUUUAGAUAUAAAUUUAGGGUUACUUUAGGCUAUUUUCUUAAUGGCAUAGGUGGGUAAUUUUUUUAGAAAUUAUAAUAGAUCCAAUGGCUACGAUGUUUGAGUCUACUCGUUGAUGGCAAGAUAUUUUGCUUGUUUGUGGAAAUUUUAAAUAUGUCUCUUUUUUGUAGAGUGUCCACCUAGGAUCCUAGGUGGCUUCGCUUGGAGGCUUCAAAAGGAGCUCCAAAAUUAGUAAUAGUAUGAUUUUCUCAAAAGAGACUUAAUUCUACCACUGUAACUUGAUUGGCCACCCCGGCCUCUACCUUUUCCCUCCAUUUGACUAUUUGAGUUGGCUGUGAACGAUUCUCGGCGCUAGCAACGUUACGUGUGAUCCAAAUGCCAGCACUCAUGUGCGCCACCUGUAUUCUAUGGGAAUGCCAUGAUGCAUGUGCAGUAACAGCGCGCACAUCUUGCAGGAUUCGCGCCUCGUUUUCACUAUUGUGUCAUCUUAGCAAUUAGGAGCGAAGUGUGCUUUGGGGUGGCAAUUGGGAUAUAGACAUUAUUCUCGAAAAGAAUCUUGAAGGCUUACAUUCACCCCCUCCGGUCGCCGGUUCCGAUCCUUCACCUAUAAAUUAGGAGUAGUAGUAGGUAGUAAGUGGCAGGUUAGGUAAGUACCCGUUGAUGAAUGUUGGCUUGGCGUGAUCGGCUCUGCUGGUUCCACGAAGAUGCCAAUAUACAGCAAGGACCUAAGUCCAAGGGGAAAAACAACCAACAAGUAGGUUUGUUGCCGACCGCUAGCUAAUCAACAGUGAUGUACGGGUGGAUUCGUGCGUAAAUAUUUUUUCAAUCAUGCCAUCAGGCCGCUGAUAAAAUGGGCUUAUGUUUGGCUAACCUUUAAAACAUUCUUAGAGCUGUUGGCCAUUGUGAUAACUUUGCACGUGCAUCAUUAACAUGCCAACAUACAACAAGGACAUAAGACCAAAGGAAAGAACAACCAACAAGUGCCUUUGCUGAUCGGUCAGGUCUCAGAGUUUGAGAAACUGGAUCUGACGGAUGUGAAAUUAAUCCAUGCGUGGCCUCAUGCAAAUUUGUUCACAGGUUUGAACAGCAUGUAAUCUUUUUCAGGCAUCUAUAUGGAGCGUGGGUGUGUUAUGUUAUCUUCUACUACACAUAUAACAUCAAAUUCAUUCAGUUUGGCCGAGAGCCCAAAAUGCAACGAAUAUGCCAUCCAACGUGAAAAAAAAGAGAUGAGGAACAGUAUACUCUAUCUUCGAAAUUAGUCAACGAGAUGCAGCUUCAAAAGAGAUAAGAGCAGACAAGAGGCACCAUGGGAUGCUGCAAAAUUUGGGAUCACGUGUGCAGAUCCCUAAUUAGGAAAAAAGAAUAAUUGAGCUAGCAACAAUAGUAGGACAUCUCCAUGCUCACCUAGUAUAGUAGCCACUUCUAGUGCGCGUGGAACACGACUGCCGGCCCAGUUGGCGCUAAGACAUCGUACGUGCAUUAAGUCUGAGGUGCUAGGACAGCUUCCUCUUGCUUCCCCACCAAAUCAUGAGCAACGAUCUCUUUCUUUCUAACUCAUGCUUGACUGUGACGGUGCUAUUAUAUAUUAUUGCAUGAUCAUCAAGAUAAGAUCGUAUAGUGACUGAGUGAGACAUCUAUGUACUAACUUGCAUUUAAGCCUCGAACUGUGUGUCAUUACGUGAGCUGCCUCCUGUCCUCGCCUCUGAAUUAUUGAACCGUUCCCAACAGCUAGUGUUGGUCUCAAAGGAAUUUGACACCAAACAGAUUGAUAAAGAAAAGAGAAUAAUACCUGGAAUUGGAAAAAGUUGAUCUCUCUAUACAAUGAGGUAGGGCUCCCCUUUUAUAGUGACCCAUCAGCCACUUUACAUUCCGAAAAUGUCCUUCCUCAACCACUACAUUCUUAGGAUAUGCCAUACAUAAAUGUCAUUUGAGGUGACGCGUACAAAUUGAACUCUUCCACGUGGUCACGUUUCUCACGCCUCUUGUUUUCCAACCUCGAGACUUCAUCUUCAUGCCAAGUUGAUCAUCUAGCCUCGAGGCUCCAUCUACGAUCCGGAAUGAACGUACAGCCUCGAGGCUCCUGCUUCGUUAAGCUUUGUUGAGAACUCAUAACCUCACAUAGUUCUCCUCCGAGUAUUGUAUCUGACUAAAGAGUAAAAAGGUAAAAGCUCGGUGCCCGGAACCGACUGAGAACACUCGAGGCUUAUAGCUCAGUUGGAGUUUAGCUAUUACCGUUGCCAGUCACCAGCCUCGAGCCCCUCCAGAAACAAGGUGAUGCGAGAGUACGAGUUUUACUAUUAGAGGUGUCCCCAUAGAACGUGCGAGGUUAAUGAGUUCAGUUUCUUUUACUGCCGACGCAUAACAUGCGAGGAUCAACGAAUAUGAGGAACACUAUAUGCCAUCCAACGGGAAAAAAAAGAUGAGGAACAGUAUACUCUAUCUUCGAAAUUAGUUAUAAAGAUUCAGCUUCAAAAGAGAUAACGAGGCGUCCAAGACUCGAGGAGCCAGUCAAGAGCAGACAAGAGGCACAUGAGUGCAUGCAUCCACACCUUGGGAUGCUGCAAACUUUUAUGAGGCUGCAAGCUGCAUACAUAAGUUUAUUUCACCUUUGUUCACAAUACUCUUCACACACCAUUCACACACGUCUCAGGGAGCUCUGCAGCAAUGGUGGAGAUCUUAGCUAGACUGCUCACUUCCCUUGUUGUCGCAAUUGCUAAAAACACAAGCUCACCUCUGCUAUUGCGAAGCAGGCCAAUUUGCUGUGGAACUUUGGCGACGACCUGAAGGACAUGAAGUCGAUGCUGGAGUCCAUCUCAGCAGCGCUCCAGGACGCUGACACUGCUAGAAAAACGACCUUUCAUCCUCAACAAAAGUCCCGGUAGCUUUUUUACCUGGAACUAAAGAGGUUUUAGUGCUGCGCAAACACCUUUAGUCCGGGUUGCUGUUACCAACCAAGAGUAAAGGGUACGAUGGCACCAACCGGGACUAAAGCACCCCCCACGAGUUACUAUAAAGGAUUGCAUCCUCCACUUAGUCAGAUUUACUGUGUAGGUGAGAUGGUAAGGAAGCUAUGCGCGAGGCUUGAGAUCAUCGGUUCGAAUCCCACGCACCGCGCGCGCACGCGCAUAGUUUGAGUGAAAAAUCAUGUCACUUGUGAUCGGCCAAGGAGAAGUGGGUGCAGAUGUGGCUUAAGCGGCUGAGGCACGCCGCCAUAGACAUCUCGGAUUUGCUCGAAGACUACCAAGACACUAGCGAACCCUUAACAGCAAAGGUGAGUACUUAUGCGUGUCAACAUCUAUGUUGUCCAUGCUUCCAAUGCAAUAAGAAGAAGGACUACUCUUCCUAGCGGACUCUUCACAACCACUCGUAAAGCUAUGUGUUUCUCAAUUCAAUUUCGUAGAAGGCAAUGGAUCCAAUCAACCGACUAAAUCAUUCGUCCUUGCCAAUGAUGUGCUUCAGGUUUUCUAUAUGAAGGACAUGUGACUACUAGAAAAACGAUCUUUCAUCCCUAGCCUUAGUACCGGUUGCAUUUGGAACCGGUACUAAUGUUUACAUUAGUACCGGUUCCAAAGGAUACUAUCCGGAGCGCACCUCGAUGACCCCUUUAGUACCGGUUGGGGGCAACAACCGGUACUAAAGGGUGAGCAUUAGUACCGGUUGUUACCUUAAUCCGGUACUAAAGGGCUACCCACCCUCUAUUACCGGUUGGUGGCAUCAACCGGUACUAAAAGGGAUACCCUCUAGCACCGGUUGCUGCCACAACCCGGUACUAGUGCGGCGCCAUGCAGAAUAGAAGGUAGAUCGAUUGUACAUGGAGGGGGAACAAAGGGAGAAAGGCAAAUCAUCAGCUUAUUAUCACAUGGUAGACUAGUCUUUAAAACAUGUUUAGGGCAGAGCACAUUACGUUUAUCUUGUUUUGCACAACAACAAAUGUGACCUUUAGAAGAUAGCCCUCCUCUAAUUAAACUAGUGCACUAUUACAGGAUGGUAUCGCACGCUUCCUUUUUCCCUAUGAAAAUGAAGUUUUUAAUGAUCUGAUAGCAGCUGGCAAAACAAAUGAUUGCAAAGAUGUUUGCAGAUGUUUGCAGAUGAUAAUGCCACAGUCGACGGAGAGAGCAUCUGGGUCUAACCAUAAUAACACAAGUCUUUCCUUUAGAUAACAUGCCAUCAGAUUCCUUGCAAGAGUUUGUAUGUUCGACCAACAGGAAGUUGACGAAAGAGUGGGACAAAAAUGUGACUCGAUCAUGUCAUUGUGGGCAAAGGUCCUAGUGGCUCAUGGAAUAGAUGAUAUCACUUGAAGUACAUAGGACAGAGAGGCCAUAGUCGGCACAAGGAGAAGCAUGACCAGAAACUUGAAAGAGGUAAGCUUCAAAGCUAGGAGGAAUGUUAUUCUUGCUAGUUCAAUGGUGUCUUCUUAUAGAUCAGUUCAUAGAUCUUAUAUAUUUGGCCGUGACGAUAAUAAAUAUUUAAUAUGAACUCAGAUAUAGAUAAAAUUUAUAUCAAAAUUGUUGAUCUCAACGAGAUUUACAACUUUGUAGUUCAAAUUAUUUUCAUUUGGAGCCAUCUUGGUGCUCAAAUAAUCGAAACAUUUUUUAGAUCUAAAAUUUAAUUUUAGAUCUAAAACUUGUGUCGAUUAUUUGAGCACCAAGAUAAUACCAAAUGAAAAAUGUUUGAACUACAAAGUUGUAGAUCUCGUCGAGAUCUACAAUUUUCAUAUAAAGUUUAUCUCCAUCCGAGUUCAUAUGAAUUAGUUCAACCGGCGGUAAUGCUGCUACAGUGUAGCUUCUGCCGUUUCAAACGACGGUAUAGGUUUAGAUUACCAAUUUUUUUUAACCCAUAUAUUUUUGCAAAAUACUAAAAUAAAAAAUAUAUAAAAAAAUUCUAGUUUUAAUCAGCAAUGACUAAAUGUUAGCCCGGUUAUGCCCCAUGUUAGGUCUAGUCAUGGACCAAUAAAACAUGUGCUAGACUUCAUGGCCACCGGAUGCGUGUUCAACCAUGUAAUCGUAUGCUAUACCUCACAGGAGGUUGAAAAUGGCCCGAAGGGGUACAGUGGAUGAAAACGUCGGGGACACUCGGAACACAAGAAAAUGACCACCAGAUACGUGUUUGGCCAUUGUAACUGUGCGCUAUAGUUGAUAGGUUGAAAGCGGCUCGAAGAGGCAUCAGGGAUGGAAACAUGGGGGAUGGUCGGAACACUUGAAAAUGGCACUGGAUAAGUGUGCUUAUUCCUUACAAAACGCUGAAAAUGGCUCGGAAGGGUCAUCGAGGAUGGAAACUAGGUGGUCAAUAAGUGAAAAUGGGCAGCGGACAUGUUCGGUCAUGUAACCGUGUGCUAUAGUCCACUAGAGGUCGGAAAGCUGCCCUAGGGGCUCUAGAGACGAAAACGUGAGGAACAGCUAAAAGGUUACGUGUUUGGUCAUGACAGCCCUAUUAGGAAGCGAUAGAAGUGGAAAGAUAGCUGGUUUCAGAUUGGCAACCCAUCUUUUGCUUCCCCCUUACUUCCAUCCGUAAUCCAUGGGCAUCGAAUUUAAAAGUAUACAAAUCACUUUUAGAUGUAAUUGAGGGUAAAGAGGGGAGGUUUCGUGAGACUCUACAAUGUUCAAAUCGUUCAUUCGUUAGGAUGCCUCAGCUACAUACAUCAUUGCACUUCCAAUUGACACCAAUUUAAAUGGUUCGUCUAGCCGCUACAAGGUAUCAUCAGAUAUAGAAGAAUUAGAGACUGGGGGUAAUAGCAAAAAAGGAAUAUAACUCGUCCGAGAAAUUGGGUGCAGGGGCGUGGGGUAAGGUAAUUGAAGUAACUAGCCAGUUUCUUCCCGAAACUUCCCAAGAAAAAUCCCGAAUUGGAUCCAAAAUUGACGGAUUAAUCAACCAAAAUAACCGUGAGCAGCCACAAUGUUAUAAGUCCCUUCUUCUUGACCAAAUUUGUAACCCUUAUUAGCAUACUCAUUUUCAGUGGUUUCCGUGAUCAAACUAGAGGUUACCAAGGAACCGUGUGCUCUAGCCCACAGGUGGCCGAAAACGGCCAAGAAGGGCUUCGGGGAUGGAAACAACGUGGAUGGUCAGAACACGUGAGAAUGACCACGGGAUGCAUGUUUGGCCCUGUAACAGUGUGCUAUAGAAAGCCGGAAAUGGCCAGGAGGGUCACCAGGGAUGAAGAUGCAGGGAUGGAUGGAACACGCGAAAAUGGCCACCAGUCAUUAGUGGCAGGUCUAGAGAGAUAUCUCAUCAAAUCGGUGAGUUAUAUCCGAUUUAAACGAGGAUAAAAAUGAGUGUAUUUUCCACCCAUCAUGUUGACUUUUCGCAGCUAUACUGCCUUUAGUGUGUUGUAUUGUUCCCAUGACACCAAGUCUCCAAGGCCCGAGAAAAUAAGGAAAGUGAUAGCAGCCCAGAAAUCGACCAAGUUUCUUUCCCCCUUUGGCAUUCCUACUAGGAUUCGGAAUACUCUUUCGCAUGACAAUCAUAAUUAUCUCCCAUAAUCCAAAACUCACAAAAACAUCAAAAAUCCGCCGAGAAUAAAUUAACUAAAAAACAUGCACACACAGAUAAUAAUAAUAAUAAUAAUAAUAAUAAUAAUAAUAAUAAUAAUAAUAAUAAUAAUAAUAAUAAUCAUGUUUCUAUAAAAUUGCUAAGGCCAGAGACAAUACAUAAAAAUAUUAGACUGCUCAUGACACAUAUCACGGUGGACAGUGUCUGUGUCCUUAUUACAAGCAGCGAGAGGAAUUAAACAUGCUUGUCACCACACAUGCGCGCGCACAGAUGCACGACACACAUAUGGUUGAGACCAACAGAUGGACCUCGACUAGAGGUCGCCCCAUAUGGUGAACAAUUUAUUGGAGAUAAACAUGAACAUAACUUGGCCAUAGCUUGAAGCAUAGCAACAUAUGCCUAUGAAUGGCAUUCAUGUUGGUAGCAAUGCAAUCAUAUCGUUUUAGGCUUGUCCAGGUUCUUCCAUCUUAGCAAGCACUGCCAUUUCUUCCAUCUUAGCAGCAACUGUCAAAUUGAGAUAUGGAAAUCCCAUUAGCGCAUGAAUUAAUUUUGCAGUGGAAAUAGAGUACAAGAUAUCUUCAUGAUGUAAGUAAUAUGCCUGAAGUUGUGAGAUGGGAAGUGAAGUCAACAAAUUACAUUAACGGAAAUGCAUGGAAGGCCACACAUAUGUAUUAGUCCACGAUAUGCUACAAAGCUUGUAUGUACAUAUAACAAAUUAAAUGCAUUGAAUAGAGUGAGUUUACUGAAUUUACCAGAAUCGGACAGAACACAUGGGAAACAGCAAGUGUUCUUGCAGAGUGAGUCGGAGCCACCUGCAGUAAUACAAGCAAAACAACAUGCUUUUGCCCGGGCGGAUACGCAGCAGCUGCACUGUGCCGCGGUGGCCGGGUUAACAUUGAGGCUCAAGAUGACCAGGCACAUGAUCACCAUCAAAGGGGUAGUCCUCUUUCCCUCCAUUGCCUCCUCUUGCUGCUACCUUCCUUGGUUACCUAGCUAAGUUUAUUUGUUUUGUGUUGAGAGGUGAUUCUUUAGUGGACGUUGCCAGCUGCAAUUUAUAGGCUGUCUGAUGAUAUGGACAAGGUGCAAAUGGGUGGUCCAAUGGCAAGGAAAGGGGGUAUUCUGCUUGACAUUGGCAUCAGACAAAGCCCAAUGGCAACUGCUGACACGCGAUUAAAAUCAGAUCCACAUCUUAUCCAGCCAUUCACUAAUAAUUAAACUAAACCCACGCGGUCCGCGAGAUGCAGCGUCCAUUAGCACUUCCCGCCAAACAAUAGGCAAAAUUAGAAUUCAAAGAUAGUAGUGUGGGACAUUUAAUUCCUGCGCAAGCGCGGACAAUGGUGCCAGCAGCUGCUUGCAUGAAACACGGUUACAUAAUUUGAAAAUAAUACAUAAUUAAAAACUAAUACAUAAUUUGACACGGUGAACCUCGAGAACGUUUUGAAAAUGUACUCUCGUUAGGCGUUCACCUCCUUAACAAUAAUGUAGUGUGGAAGGUGUGCGUGAGGAUCGUUAUCUAUAUCGUGUGUUAGAAAAAAGAUUGCAUAUAUAGUGCCAUCAUUCAAUAUACUUAAUUGCGUCCAUGCCAUCGUUACAAGAUUUCUAACAUUUCCCAACACUUCUCUUACAAAUGCCCAGUGGCGAAAUAGGGAUAUCACGAGGCAGCGGUGGUACUACGUGGAGCGUGUAGUUAAGGUUUGUCUUUCUUCGGAUAGCACGUUAGCUGACCAUUGACAACAUGUGAUGAUUUUACUAACAUCAAAAGUAGGCAUGCCCCAUUUUUUAAUUGGUGCUUAUAGAGGCAUGGAGUGUGAGGUUUUGGUGGGUGAGCAUUGGUGUGCAACUCGUGUGCGUGAGCAUGUGUGCAUACGAUACUGUGUUUUGUUAGAAAAGAUGAUAAUGCCCGGAAACAAUCCUGAAUGGAAGGCGGGCCCUGACCACAGGAUAAUGCAUUACGGGGCGAUGUCUCAACUUGUCACCUGGGGCGCUUUUGCAGUUUCCCCGUACACACACUAAGAGCCUCCGACCCUUUUUCGUCAUACCUUCCCUUGUAGUCAUGCAUAUAUCCAUGAUGAUUUGAGUCUACUGAUUGACGGCUAGAUGUUUUGAUUGUUUGUGAAAAUUUUUAGUUUCUGGUUUUUAGAGUGAAGCCACCUAGGAUCCUAGGUGGCUUCACUAAAAGCUUCAAAAGAAGCAUCCAAAUUAGUAAUCGUAUGAUUUUGUGAAAAGAGACUUAAUUCUACCAUUAUAACUUGAUUGGCUGCCCCAGCCUCUACCUUUGCCUCCACUUGACUAUUUGAGUUGGCUGUGGACGGUUCACGGCGCUAGGAACAUUAUGUUUGAUCCAAAUGCCACCACUCAUGCACUACUACAGAACUCGGUAUUAGUUCCGGUUCGUAGACUGCAUAUCUCCCGAAAAUGCAACCGGGAUUAAUCCGUCGAGAUAAAAGGGGGGGUCUUUUAUCACGGGUCCCUCAACCGGGAUAUAAAACUCUCCUUUAAUCCCGUUUUGUAAAACCAACCGGGACUAACGAGGCUGCCACGCCAGGCGGUGGACAGACCCCUUUAGUCCCGGUUGGUGUUACAAACCGGGACUAAAGGUCUCCUCUUAGUCACGGUUUGUUUUACAAACCAGGACUAAAGUGUGUGCGUAGGGCGCCUGCAUGGCGCCUAUAAUUUUGUGCAUAUCUCACAUACCCCUUUAGUUAACCUUUAGUAGUUGAGAACUUUUUUUUAUAAUGAAAUCAAUCAAACUAGUAUUUAAACGAAUCAAAUAAUUAUUUAAAUGAAUCAAACAAGUAUUUACACAAAUACUAUACAAUUCUUAGCGUACUAUAUAUAUACACAAAUCUAAUUAGCGUACGUAUUACAUAUAUAUACAAACUAAAUCAAACUAUAUAUAUAUAUAUAUAUAUAUCUACGAUGAUCUUCCCGUUGAGGUGCUGGGAGCGUCUAAUUUUCGUCCAUCGUAAUGAAAGUCUCCUUUUGGAUUUACAACCUCGUCCACCAGGAAUCCAAUGAGACCUUCACAUAUUGCCGGUACUCUUUCCUUCUUCAAGAGCCCUAAUUGAAUAUUCCACAUCUGUAAUUUGGAUACAUAUAUGUGAAUUUUACACGAACAAUUGUAAAAAAUAAAUAACUAUUAAUAGUUUUAUUUUACAUACUUUAAAUUCAUGCUCCGUGGCCUUGCUGGUCUUGGGUCCCAAUAAAUUGUGCAUGUGCUCACAGACAUAGUAGCCACAUAGAUUAUCAUUCCCAGGUUCCCGUCUUAAGCACUGUUGCGGGGAAAAACAAUUAAGUUAUUAAAUAUUCAUGCUAUAGAAUGUACAAAAUGUGCAGCUUCAUACGUAUCGGGAAGUCUGUUCUCUAUGUAAGUUUUUCUUUGAAUUGACCUGAUCUGUCUGCCCUGAUGAAUUCUUUCCAUGCUCUGCGGAUUAAAAUAAUGAAUGAUAUAGUGUUAGGUGAAAAUUUAGGAAACAAAUUUUGUAUAGAGAUAGAGGUCCAGAAUUAUUACAUGUCUAGCGUGUGUUCAACGUCUUGGUAGUCCUUCGGAUCUCUCCUCAACGAAUCGAAGACAGUGACGUGACUUCGAUCAAUGUUAAUAAUAAUGAGGAUCCAGUGGGAGCUGCGUACGUAAAUGUUCAUAUAUAUUAGAGGUAACUAACAUUAAUCAGGUAAGGAAAAAGAAAACGAAUAUAGACGGUAUACACACACUUACUUGAAGUUGUAUGGAAGUAGUAUGUGAUCCUUUAAUUUUUGUCCGUCUAAAGAAUUUACUGCUAGCAACGUUUUGUCUGGAAAAUCUCGUAUCUGGGCUUGGUUCACUUUGGAUGGAUCCAUGAAGCCAAUAUGGAGGUACGCUUCAUGUCGGCACGUCCGAAUUAGCAUCCUACAUAAAAUGGAAGAUGAAGUUAAUUAGUACGGCGACGCAUGCAUAAAAAAAUGACAUGAGCUAAUAUUUACAUGUACAUAUAAACAGACACUUACAGAGUCCAGGCGCUCAUCAGAGAGACGUCUAGGGCACCAUGAUGGUACACUUCGUAUAUAUCCUUGAAUCGUAGCCACAGGACUGCCUCGCCUUCGCCGUGAAAAUCUAUCGGUUUUAUCUUAAGGCCUAACAUCUCCCUCUCGUCGGUAGACAACUUCAUGUACCAUUGAUGGAAUUCGUACAUCUUCGUUGAUAGCUUCUUUAGCGAAUCAGGGUUAACCAUAGGCUUGCCUAGCUCAAAGGUCCAUUUUGGUUCACUUGGUGGUGCAGUUGGCAGCUCGACUUUUUUCCUUUUUUUUCUUCUCAUCAACCUUUACUAUUGCCCGUUCAUAGUUCGAUAGUAGUGGUUGACUCUUCUUGUCUUGUUCUUGCGUCUUGAUGAAUUUAUAUAAUUCUCUUCGAUCUACUGGCGGUGGCUCCAUCUCCCUUGCUUUUCUUAAUUCCCUCUGUUCCCUCAACCACUCACUAGCUUGCACUUAGAUUUCGGUCUAGCGUUCCUCAUCAGUCAUUGCCUCCCAGCGUUCCUAGUGAACCACUUCUCCUAGUGUUGUUGACCCGUCACCUGCUGGGAAGUCGAGCUCUAGGCCUUCAAAUUGGCUAUCAGGGAUUUUCUCUACGCCAACACUGGCAUAGCCAGGUGGAAGCUCCAUGCCAUGGCAUGCAUGAUUUGGCAGGAUUGGCAAUGCACUCCCGUACGCCACCUAGAUAUAUAAAAGAAAUGAAUUUCUUAAACUUCAAAUUGCCAAAGCACUCCCGAGGCUCCGGUGCAUAAAUAUUAUGUAUAUAUACAUACCUUAAUGCUGAGGUUGCCGAUCGCUAUAUGCAGCUCACAUGUGGUGUGUUGCGUGAUGGCAUCCAUAGGGAAUAGUUGCUCUUCCACCAGUAAUCCUGGCGUAUGUGGCUCAAGGAGCCCUGUGGAUGCACAGCUGCUCCCGAGGUGUUGAGAAGGGCUGUCAACUACGUCGGCCAUUCAUCUACUGCCUCCCUCCUGAUUUCUUACUUCUACAGAUUGCAGUUUGAAUUCUAUUGUGCGCUGCCACCUCUCAUCCUCUUGCUCCUUUCUUUGGUUCUGGCUUGUGUACUUGUCCAAGUCGCCUCGGAAUGCGAACUUCCACGGAACAAGCCUGAACCCUCGGGUACGUCCUGGGUGUUCGGAAUCCCGAGGGCCAUUGUGAGCUCAUCAUUCUCUUGGCACACCAUCAACGUCCCAUCCUUAACAUCUUUAAUAAUCUUGUUAAGCUUUGUGACCGCUUCACGUAAUAGGUCAUCGAAGACCACCGUCCCAUCAUCUGGGUUUAUCUCACCUCCAUGAGCGUAAUACCAAUUUUUUGAUCGUUCGGGCCAAUCAAUUGUUCCUGGUACGAUACCCCGCUCAAUCAGGUCUUUUUCCAUCUGAUUCCAUUUGGGAAUUGCUUUGGCGUAACCACCUCGCCCUAGCUUAUGAUGGUACUCCUUCCCCCCAACAUUGCCUGUGUUCUGGGCGACCUUGUUCUUGCUAUCUUCGAUGCUCUUGUAUUGUACAAAUGCCUCCCAGUGGUCCUUACACUGUGGAUACACAGUAAAAUCUGGAGUUCGGCCCUUCUUAAUAUAGGUGGUAUCCAACAUCUUCUUGAAUGUCUGGAAUUGUGUGGUCAUCUUCUUUAGUGUCCAUGCUUUCACAUCAUUUUCAAUAUAUCUGUCAAGAAAUGUGAAAUGUUUCUUAACUUCUUCCCACAGCAUAUUCUUUUCUGGUUCCUGGAGCGCGUAUGGAUUAGUCGUUUUGCCCUUCCAUACCCUUAUGCUGAUGGGCACGUUCUCCCUUACGAUUGCCCCAAUCUGACUCACGUACUGUGUUGCCACUUUUUGGGGAGCAACCGGCCUGCCCUCUUCUAUGACUUCCGUGAUGAUAGCCUUUUUUGUUCCAGUCUUCACCUUGGAAGGACCUCGGGGCUUCGGACGAUGGUUCGUCGAUCCAGAGGGAGGGCUAACAGUUCAAGAUUCAUUAAUUAAUUAGUACAUAGUAAUAAUGAAUAACAUCAUAUAUUAUAUAUACAGAGGGUUAAAAUAUGAUCUAUACCUCAUUGGAACCUUCUGCCACGGUAACGUUUUGUUGGGGCUCGGGCUCUUCAUUGCCUUUGGCAGACAGGUUGAGAAACAUGUGUGCCUGGCUACCCUCUUCAUCAGUGUACGCUAUGGGAAGGUUGGAACUACUAUCACCAGCAAUAAUCCACUCCAAUAGAUACCUUCUGGCCUCGUCGUCUGCCAUCGAUCUCAACUACUUUGUACAUGAAAUCAUAUAUAGAAAAACCAUGAAAAAAAAUUCAUUUCAACAAUUUUUUUUGAAAUAUACAAAAUGUACUACAUUUUUGAAAUAUACAAAAUGUAUUACAUUUUUGAAAUAUACAAAAUGUAACAUACAAAAUGUAAUAUACAAAAUGUAAUAUACAAAAUGUACUAUGCAAAAUGUAAUAUACAAAAUGUAACAUACAAAAUGUAAUAUACGAAAUGUACUAUGCAAAAUGUAAUAAAAAAUGUAACAUACAAAAUGUAAUAUACAAAUUGCAAUAUACAAAAUGUACUAUGCAAAAUGUAAUAUAAAAAUGUAAUAUACAAAUUGUACUAAAUUUCAACUAAUUUCUAAGCAUUUCAACAAAAAUUUGUAAACAUGUGUACUAAAGUUCAAUUAAUUUCUAAGCAUUAAUUAGCAGUAUACAACUAUAUUCAACAAACAAUUAGAAGUAAUCUACCAAAUUUCUAAAAUUAAUUCGGGCCGGGGCGACGGUCGGAGUUGGAGGUGGGCGCAUUGGCGAUGAGGACGCGCGGCGACGACAGGGGAGGCGGCCGGCCGGCUGGCGACGGGGACGGCUACGACAACGGGGAGGAGGUGGCGCCGGUGCGCGAUGAGGGGUACGCGCGGAGGUCGCGGUGACAGGGAUAGACGCGCCGGCGGUGGCGACGGGGACAGAGGAGGAGGCCGGCGAUGAUUGCGGGCAAAGAUGAUGGCGGCGGCGACAGAGAUGGAGGAGGCCGGCGAAUAGGAUGGGCCGCCGGUGGCGACUGGGAGCGGUGGCGGCGGAGGCAGGCGACGGGCGGGAUGAGGACGACGAGUGAAAAUUUCGCUAAGUGUUGGGCGGGGGGAGUGUAGAAGACUCUGUAAGUUUUAUACAGGACCCCCCCUUUUUAUCCCGGUUUGUAACUGAAACCGGGAUUACAGGACAUUUAACCCCGGUUUCUAAUACAAACCGAGAUAAAAGGGGGCACCUUUUAUCUCAUUUUAUGAUCACCCGCGAUGAAAACCCCCCCCCCCCUUUAUCUCGGUUUAUGAUCAACCGGGAUAAAUGGGUACUUCCAGGCGGGAAUCGAAAAAGUCCCUUUUAUCCCGGUUCUGUUUUUAUAACCGGGAUAAAUGGGGGCCUUCUCCUGUUUUUCAUCUUCCGACUGGUUUUUUGGUUUUUGAAAAUUUAUUCGAUUUAUGUUUUCACUGGAUUUCAGGAAGCGAAAAAUAAGAAAUUUACAUAUUUCAAACAUGCAAAAAUAUAUUAAAUUAGCAAAGUUUGUUUACAAUAAGUUUUAACUAGUCAUAAAUUCUAUACUAUUUCUUUUUGCUUCUAUUUGGAAAUUUAUUCUCGCCAGGUGGAACUUGUAGGCAUCGGAUCUCGCCGGGUUUCGCUGGAUUUCAUGAAGCAAAAAUUAAAACUUUACAUAUUUCAAACAUGCAAAAAUAUAUUUAAUUAGCAAUUAUAUUGACAAUAAGUUUGAAUUAUAGCGCAGUUCGGAAUGUUGUCAUCAUCAUCCUCCUCUUCACCGUGUAAAAUGUAUAACUAUUUAUCCGGAAAGUAUAACUCUCUUCUAUGCGGACACCACUAUUCUGGUUCGUGCUUUUCUGGUCUUGAGCUCUCGUGUAAAAUGUAUAACCAUUUAUCUCGUAGCCUUGGAAUUUCAUGAUUGUGCUAGAAUUUUAGAUAGAAAUAAAACAAUCCAUCAGAUUGCUAAAAUUUUAGAUAGAAAUAUACAAAUUAAAAUUUCAGAAGAAAACAACAUGAUACACUACGACAAACUCAAAAAUAGCUGAAAGUUUAAAUAGAAAUACACAAAUUUAAACUUGAGAGCAACAACAACAUGAUACACUACGACAAACCAUCCACUAAGUACUAUCUAGAAGGACUUCAAGCAUCCUUGGGAAGCGAAGACGAAGGUUUCACGGACGCAGCCUCAUCAUGUGGUUUAUUUGUACCUCCUGCAAUGGUAGUACUUAUAAGUGGAACAUCGGGGACUGGCGGUGGAGCAUAACGACCACCAAAAGGAGGUUUCUGAUUUGCCGCAACAGCAUCUUCGUGACAUCUUUGCAAAUAAUGAAGCAUUGCUUUCUCCCACGCACUCAUUUUCUUCGGCUUAUCGUGAGGGAAAACUAUGGUUUUCCUCUUGCCGCGAGAGGAACGACGAUCUCCCCCACCAUCGCCACUACCUCCAGCAUCAGAAGCCAUCUCUAUGUACCACAAAUUAUUUAGCUCAUAUUUAAUUUACAAAUAACUAAACUAUUAAAAAAUUCAAUAUUUCCCACGUAAUGUACUUAUUCUAAAAAUGGCUAAUUUCAUACCUUUAUCUGAAAAGUACUAAAGUAUGAAAUUACACCUACAAUUUAUAUGGCUAAUUUAUAAAUAUUAAAAACACAUUUACUCUAAUUUUUUCCUAAUACAUAAAAUUGAAAUAAUCUCAAUUCUACCUCACAUUUACUGUCCAUUCUCCCUCACAUUCAAACUAUCCAUCACAUUGUAGCUCAAAAACAUGUAUAAAUACAAAUCCUCUACAUGCUUAACAACAAACAAACUAAUUUUUCUCCCUCUCUAAAGUAUAAAACAAAGCUUAACAACAAAGCAUGAAGUAGCUAACCUUCACAACACUUUGGAUAGGUGAAAUCCCCACGGAAAUAAGGAAAAAAAAUUCAGCAGCACCUCCCCUAGGCUUGCUUCAGCGCCAUGGAGAGGAUGAGCUUCUCUGUCUUUGUGGAGUGGAGUGGCUCGGGCUGGAGGAGUGGAGGAGGAAGAAAAGGUACUUGUAGAUAAAAUUUUAUCCCGGUUGGUAAAUCCAACCGGGACAAAAGAUUAGAGCUUCUUUUGUCCUGGUUGGUGGUUACUCCCGGGUGGUAACGCCAACAGGGACAAAAGGUUGGAUCUUUUGUCCCGGUUGGAAUUACCAACUGGGAGUAAAACGUUUAUCCCGGUUGGUAACUCCAACCAGGACAAAAGGUUGGGUCUUUUGUCCCAGUUGGUGGCUCCAACCGGGGGUAAAGGGUGGCGCCGUCGGUGCCCGGAAAGUAGCCAUUUUAACCGAGACUAAAGGGUGGCAUGUAGUCCCGGUUGCAUAAAAAGAACCGAGAGUAAAGGUGCACCCCAUUCUAGCCUACCGUGGCGCACCCCUUUUCUCCCGGGCCGAAAUUAAACCGAGACUAAAGGGGGUGGGAUCUAAAGUCAGUUCUCUAGUAGUGAUGUGCGCCAGCUGUAUUCUACCAAGGGCAUGUGGUAAUGCCAUGCUUGUUUUAAUUUCGUCCACCAGCAUUCACAAUGAUAUCAGCACCAUUAUAUAAUUAUGCCACUGUUAAUUUGUGAAGUUAACAGAGACCAUUGGUUGACUUGUGGAGCCCACGUCCUGUGAUCAAGUUUCUGAGGAUUGCUAUAUCAUUGUUUAUUAUAAGAAAUUCACUAUACAUUUUAUCUACGGAAGUUGACAGCACAUCCACCAUAAUGCUACUGUUUCAAGGCUCACCAGACUCUAAGUCCACUGCGAGUAUAUACUAGAUGUACCAAUCAUUCGAUGUGAGGGACGAUUAUUGAACCGUACCUCCCGUUUUCCAAACAAUUAAAGGUACCCUUCCAUGAUGGUUGUACCGAUACCGACUAUCUAUAUUAUUGCUUUCUUGAGCAUACCAAAGGGAACGAGAUGAGCACAGACAAGAUAUUCUAUACUAAAAGGUGCAGAAAUAAAUUAAUCACGAGUUAAUUGGUAUGAUGAUGUUAUAAAUCAUUUAUAUAUGCAUAAACACAUAAGAUGGUGUCACCAAAACUAAUACAAAAGAAGUAAAACUUAUUAAAUUUCAACCAACAAUUAGAUACUCUCUAAGUACACACUACUGGAAAACUGACCUUUUAUCCCGAGGCUCAGUACUGGGUUGCUAUUGGCCCGGUACUAACCUAAGCAUCAGUACCGGGCCCAACGGCUAGACAUCGUGAAGGCCUCUGUGACACCUUUAGUACCGGUUGUCUUCAACAGUUAGUACCGGGUGGUGUCUCCAUCUGGUACUAAUAUGAAAGAGGUUUUAGUCAUGUGCAGACACCUUUAGUCUGUUACCAACCAGGAGUAAAGGGUCCGACGACACCAAACGAGACUAAAACGUCCCCCACGAGUUACUAAAUGGGGGUUACUGACCGGUACUGAAAGCGGUUUCCCUAGUAGUGACAUACAGGUCAAUUAACGGUGAAUUGAAGUUUAAAUUUGCAUACCACCACCAAAUUUACUUUGCAAAUUUCCUUUUGGACUUGCAAUGUUGGCCAGAUUAAAAGCAGUAGAUGAGCUGCUUCCAGUGUAGAAUGAAUUUUCCAUUCAAACAAGCCCCCUUGAGUGGCAAGGACAAUAAAUGAAUACCACAAAUUUUAGAACAAGUUAGGGUUACUCCUCCUUGUUUCGCAUUGUUCAUCAGGUCCCCAUGCCCAUGCAUUUUUUUAUGAUACAUUGAGUUAUGUCAUAUUGUUACUUUAAGUUAUUUUUAAGUAUUAGUUGUAGACAAUUUAGUUGCAAAUUUAAGCGGUUAUUUUAAACUAUUUUUUAUAAUGGCAUAAGUGGGUAAUUUAGAUGAAGAUUAGGGAUUACUUUAGCUUAUUUUAUAUAAUGGCAGAGGUGGGUAAUUUAGAUAUAGAUUUAGGGGUUACUUUAGGCUAUUUUCUUAAUGGUUCUUAAUGGCAUAGGUGGGUAAUUUUUUUAGAAAAUAUAAUAGAUCCAAUGACUAUGAUGAUUUGAGUCUAUUGAUUGAUGGCUAGAUGUUUUGCUUGUUUGUGGGAAUUUUAAAUAUUUCUCUUUUUUCUAGAGUGUCCACCUAGGAUCCUAGGUGGCUUCACUUGGAGGCUUCAAGCCUCCAAAGGAGCUUCCAAAUUAGUAAUAGUAAGAUUUUCUCAAAAGAGACUUAAUUCUACCACUAUAACUUGAUUGGCCACCCCGGCCUCUAUCUUUGCCUCCAUUUGACUAUUUGAGUUGGCUGUGAACGAUUCACGGCGCGCAACGUUACGUUUGAUCCAAAUGCCACCACUCAUGUGCACCAGCUGUAUUCUACCAAUAGCGAUUAGGAGCGAAAUGUGCUUUGGGGUGGUAAUUGGGAUAUAGACCUUGUUCUCGAAGAGAAUCUGAAAAAGGCUUACAUUCACCCCCUCCGGUCACCCGUUCCGAUCCUUCACCUAUAAAUUAGGAGUACCAUCUAGUAAGUGGCAGGUUAGGUAAGUACCUGUAGAUGAAUGUUGGCUUGGCGUGAUCAGCUCUGCUGGUUCCACGAAGAUGCCAAUUUACAGCAAGGACAUAAGUCCAAAGGGAAAAACAAACUAAUUAUAAGUCCACUCGAGGAGCCAGUCAAGAGCAGACAAGAGGCACAUGGGUGCAUGCAUCCACACCUUGGGAUCGAAGCUGCAACUCGUCGAGUUGGAAUUCCGAGCAGACAAAUCUACGUCGAGUCAGAAUUGAUGCACUCCGCAUUCAAAUCAAAGACGGAGUCGGUUUCACUGCUGUAUAUAGCCAAGCAAACUAUUUUAUCUACGGAUGUUGACAGCACAUCCACCAUUUCUGAGGACGUGAGGGACGAACUAAUUAAUUGUUUCUUGACCAUUAUUGCACCGUACGUACCUCGUUUUCACUAUUGUAAUCUAUGAAGAAACAAACAAAAAACAAAACGAUGGAUGGAUCGAUCAUCUCGGGAUCCACUUGUCCAAUAAUCGAGAGGGCCUAUACAUGGACCACGCGCAAUUCAAGGAAAAAGAAAAAUUUGAGAUCACGUGUGCGGAUCCCUAAGUAGUAAGAAAGAAUAAUUGAGCUAGCAACAAUAAGUAGGACAUCUCCAUGCUCACCUAGUAGCCACUGCUAGUGCGCGUGGAACACGAGUGCCGGCCCAGUUGGCGCUAAGACAUGCAUUAAGUCUGAGGUGCUGGGACAUCAAGAUAAGACAUCGUACGUGCUAGGACUGGCCCAUAUAUUAUUGCAUGAUCAUCAAGAUAAGACAGUAUAGUGACUGAGUGAGACAUAUAUGUACUCACCUGCAUUUAUAUAUCCAAGAAGAGACAAGAGGGAGGCACAUGGGUGCAAGCCUCCACACGUUCGGAACUAAAGAGGUUUUAGUCCCGUGCAGACACCUUUAGUCCGGGUUGCUGUUACCAACCAGGAGUAAAGGAUCCGACAGCACCAACCGGGACUAAAGCGUCCCCCACGAGUUACUACAAAAGGAUUGCAUCCUCUACUCAGUCAGAUGUACUGUGUAGGUGAGAUGGUAAUAAGGAAGCUAUGUGCGAGGGUUGAGGUCGUGGGUUCAAAUCCCACGCACCGCGCGCGUACACGCAUAUUUCACAUGAAAAAUCGCGUGACUUGUGAUCGGCCAAGGAGAAGUGGGUGCAGCUCAGGCACGCCGCCAUAGACAUCUCGGAUUUGCUCAAAGACUACCAAGACACUAGCAAACCCUUAACAACAAAGGUGAGUACUUAGGCAUGUCAGCAUCUAUGUUGUCCAUGCUUCCAAUGCAAUAACAAGAAGGACUACUGUUCCUAGUGGACUCUUCACAACCACUCGUAAAGCUAUGAGUUUCUCAAUGCAAUUUUGUGGAAGGCAAUCGAUCCAACCAAGCGACUAAAUCAUUCGUCCUUGCCAAUGAUGUGCAUCAGGUUUUCUAUAUGAAGGACAUGUCUAGCAAACCCAAGAUUUCAGAAGAAAAAGAAAAAUCGUGGGAGCCAAAGCGUCACAUAGUUCUUCCAGGUAAAAAAAAUCAUGGGAGUCGAAAACAAAUCAGACCAAUCAGGGGAUUGUGGUCAGCUUGAUGGCAUGCCUCCAUUCGAGAUCAAAGUUGACCCAAGCAUCAUGUUAGUCAAAGAUCAAAUGUUCAUGCGUUGCUACGGUAAAGAUCAAUUGUGUUUUUUAAACUCAUGGAAUUUUUUUAUCUAAGUUUUUAUUACACUUAUCGGAUGUCUACACAUUUGCUAGAAAACCAAAAUAAUUUUGACUUAAUUAUUUCUUUCAACUCAAAUACUCAUUAAAUUUCUACCUUUUUAUUUAAGCAAGAGAGUUGCUAAAAAAAAUGGAUAUGUAACCAUGUUGUAUCAUACAAAGCAACCACAUUUCACAUAUAGUCCGGCUUAGCAAACACCAUUUUUGUCUGAACAUAGCGUACAUGAGUUAGUAGACAUGGAUCUAUUUCUAAUUGCAAGUAGCAUAACGUACAACCAGUCUGCACCGAUGCAACUCAAUAUGCGAUGAUUUUUAUCUACCCAUGUAAUUUUUCCUCUCUAGUACAUAUUGAACUCCACAUGAAUGUCAUGUUCUUUCAUGCUACAGACGGUUCCUAAAGUUUGGAAACUAAAUAGAUAGCCAGAAAUUUUUAAAAAAAAUAUUUGUAUGGAUACAUGUAUGUUCUUUGCAAACUAACAAUAUUGUUUACCAAUAUCAAAAGGAAUAUGGCUAGGAUCGUUACUGCAUAUGGCAGGUGAUGGUAAAGUUAUCAACUGCAAAGUAUUAGGCCCCGUUGAGCUCUACAAUGUUGAUAUAAAGUUUCUAUUCAUCCGAGAUCAAAUGAAAAAGUUGGUACUCAAAACAUACAUCCAUUAAUCUAGUCAUGCUAAUCCUUACCACCAAAUAAAAAACUAGCAUGUGUUGUGUGUUUGUGACCCUAAACGGUCACAAAUGAAUAACUUAUGGGCGGUGCUAGUGCCCGGACGUACGGUCCGGAGCGCUAGCAUCGGACGCACGAGCAGCUUUCCGAUCGGGUCCGACACCACUUCAGGAUCUGGCUUAAAAAAUGUCCCACCGAAACAUUGUUCCAUGUUGCAUGAAACAUCCCACUAUCCAUUGCCGGGUCUAGAGACAGCACCAGCUUCCAAUCUGCUGCUCACCCAAGCUAAAUAGGGGCAUUAAAAUUGCAGAAAUAUGUCGCAUAUCCUUCUCAAAUUAAACUAAAUUGCAACAUCCGAAAAUUUCUUACACAAAACCAUGAAACAUAUCGGUUAGAUAGGUGUAACAAGAUGAAAUAUGGUAUGCAACAUAUAGAUUCCGAAAAACAGAUGAAACAUUAUGUAAUUAUUGUUGAAACAGUUGAGAAAAAUAGAUGUAACAUCUAAAGUUAAGAAAAGAAGCUUUAUGCAAAUUGCAAAAAGUUGAAAUAAGUGGUUGAAACAUUUCAAAUCACCAAAUGGCACAUUUGAAAUGACUAGAUGAAACAUCACGAAAUCAAUUGCAACAGUUGAAGAUGAAAACAUUCAAAUGCCUUGCCUUUCUCCAGAUUUGACCCUCAAGCAUGAGUACUGCCAUUUGCACAUUACACCCUUGGGAGGAGCUCACCGGAGAACAACAAGACCGUGUUCUCCAACAAUAUUCCGAUCAAAUUGCAACAUAAAAAACAAAGCAUUGCAAUAUCUGGCAUCACCAGCUACAACAUCAACCAGUUAGGAUCAGGAGAAAGAGGGCAAACACAAGCCUAACAAUGAGUUUUAUCUGGUUUAAAUGAGGAUAAAAAUGUGUAUUUUCCACUCAUCAUGUAGUCUUUCCGCAGCUGUACCGCCUUUAGUGUGUUGCAUUGUUCCCCUAACACCAAGUCUCCAAGGCCCGAGAAAAUAAGGAAACUGAUAGCAGCCCAGAAAUCGACCAUGUUUCUUUCCCCCUUUGGCUUUCCUACUAGGAUUCGGAAUCCUCUUUCGCAUGACAAUCUUAAUUAUCCCCCGUAGUCCAAAACUCACAAAAACAUCAAAAAUCCGCCGAGAAUAAAUUAAGUAAAAAACAUGCACACACAGAUAAUAAUAAUAAUCAUGUUUCAAUAAAAUUGCUAAGGCCAGAGACAAUACAUAAACAUAUUAGACUGCUCAUGACACAUAUCACGGUGGACAGUGUCUGUGUCCUUAUUACAAGCAGCGAGAGGAAUUAAAUAUGCUUGUCACCACACACGCGCGCACAGAUGCACGACAUACAUAUAGUUGAGACCAACAGAUGGACCUCGACUAGAGGUCGCCCCAUAUGGUGAACAAUUUAUUGGAGAUGAACAUUAACAUAACUUGGCCAUAGCUUGAAGCAUAGCAACAUAUGCCUAUGAAUGGCAUUCAUGCUGGUAGCAAUGCAAUCAUAUUGUUUUAGGCUUGUCCAGCUUCUUCCAUCUUAGCAAGCACUCCCAUUUCUUCCAUCUUAGCAGCAACUGUCAAAUUGAGGUAUGGAAAUCCCAUUAGCACAUGAGUUAAUUUUGCUGUGGAAAUAGAGUACAAGAUGUCUUCACGAUGUAAGUAAUAUGUCUGAAGUUGUGAGAUGGGAAGUGAAGUCAACAAAUUACAUUAAUGGAAAUGCAUGGAAGGCCACACAUACCUAUUAGUCCACGAUAUGCUACAAAGCCUUAUAUGUACAUAUAACAAAUUAAAUGCAUUGAAUAGAGUGAGUUUAGUGAAUUUACCAGAAUCGCUCAGAGUACAUGGGAAACAGCAAGUGUUCUUGCAGAUGAAGUCGGGGCUACCCGCAGCAAUACAAGUAAAACAACAUGCUUUUGCCCGGGCGGAUACGCAGCAGCUGCACUGUGCCGCGGGGCCGGGUUAACAUUGAGGCUCAAGAUGACCAGGCACAUGAUCACCAUCAAAGCGGUAGUCCUCUUUCCCUCCAUUGCCUCCUCUUGCUGCUACCUUCCUUGGUUAUCUAGCUAAGUUUAUUGGUAUUGUGUUGAGAGGUGAUUCUUGAAUGGACG
This 110446-nucleotide long non-coding RNA is filed under the name Setaria italica (foxtail millet). Its description in RNAcentral is "long non-coding RNA (SITA_LNC006094)". The stretch from base 60878 to 61013 matches the Rfam family "Small nucleolar RNA Z247". Lineage: Eukaryota; Viridiplantae; Streptophyta; Magnoliopsida; Poales; Poaceae. The record is from RNAcentral.